RNAcentral lists this long non-coding RNA (96139 nucleotides) under Oryza sativa (Asian cultivated rice). RNAcentral's name for it is "long non-coding RNA (OSAT_LNC001702)". The stretch from base 56750 to 56942 matches the Rfam family "MIR812 microRNA precursor family". Lineage: Eukaryota; Viridiplantae; Streptophyta; Magnoliopsida; Poales; Poaceae. The record is from RNAcentral.
UAAAUUUACAUGUUUGUGAAAUAACAUAUUACAUAAUGAUCUAUCUUACUAAAUUCUUUCAAUUUUUUAUAACAUUUUAAACGACAAAAAAAAAGUGAGAGAAUAUCCUCUCCCUGAUGUACUACAAUCCAAACAACACUUCGCUCUCAAUACAUCUUGAGUCAUGAUGGGAAAAGCGAAUGAUCGCAUCACUUUUUGGAGUUUUGGUGCACUUUUCGUAUAUCUCAGAAUGUGUUGCUUCACUCCAAAUCAGUUUGACGUGUUUUUUUGGGGGUAAAUUAAUAUGGUUAUAGAAGGGAUAAUCGUGAUAGCGUUUUCGAUCAAUUCGUAGGAUUUUUGACAUUUGAUUUGGCAAGCAGGCAAAUCAAAAUCGCCAUUCAAGAUAAGGUGCAUAGUACAAGUGGUGACCAAGAAGAACAGGUGGGCUUGUCAUGCCUAUGCGUCGUUCUUAUCCUCUAAAACUCGAGCUUAAAUUUGGUCAGGCAUGGUUUGAAACGAAGCUCGUUAUGUACUCCACGCUCUCUUCGUGUUAAAAAAAAAACUUUUAUCUAUGAAGCUAGAGAGACUCUUGUCCAAGUCUAUGGCAGAUUUUGGCAGUUUGUGAAAUCUUGUCAUAUACCAUGAGCAUUUAGUCGUUGUUUGAGUAAUAACAUCAUCUCUAGUUUAAAUUGUGUAGAUUCGUUUACAGCACGUGAGUAAACUCACGAUCGAGGUAAUCGAUUCGAGUUUGUUAAGAGAAGCUGAGAACGCUGGUCAAAUUUGAGCUUGUUAAGAGCACCUGAGAAUCGACUGCGUGUGAAUUUUGAGUUUGUCUACGGGCAAAUAUAUUUGCGCCUUCGCCGUUAGUUUGCUUAUUUACCUUAUCCUCGCUGGCCGCUGCGACACGGUUUGACGACGUCACAUCAGCACCGUGCUCCACGUCGGCCUCGCGAUUUACUGGGUCCCACUUUCAGUGUCUCGUCUGGCCACCUUCCUCCUCUCCGAGACUCCGAUCACACGUGAAGCGAGAGGGAUGCCGCGGCGACGGCGGCGAUGGACGCAGCGGCCACCGGUGGGAACGAGAGCCCUUGCCGCUGCUUAAUUAUUCGGGGGAUCAUGUGGUCGGCGAGCCCUUCUGCAUUAACUUGGAUCUAUAGUAGAACAUAUUGUCCAUCGAUCGUCAUAGCUAAUUUUAGUUUUUUUCCCGAGGAGAUAAAAAUUAAGGAAUUGCUAUAUAUCAUUCGUCAGAAAUUUGGGAAUGAAAUCUUAUAUAUUUUGGACCAUUGGAUCUGUGCCUAGAUUCGUGCAUCGACUUCUUGUCCAACUUUGACGAACUCCCCUUCUCAUGUGUCGGUGACACCCCAAUCGAGAAAGAGAUAAAUCGAUAAAGCUGACGGUUGGUUUGAGGUGGGUGGCUCACCAAGGAACACAGUCAGUUAUAUUUCACAAUUAGAUGAUCGGCAUCCUAUUUAUACCUGCAAUAUGUUUUUUUAUUUAUUAUUAUUAAGUAAUUUUUAGAAAGCCCUAUAUUUUAUUAUGAUUAAAGUUGUACAAAAUCACAAGUAUUAUGACUUGUGACACAUAAACCAUGUAUUAUGGAUUUAAAAGUUUCACAAACUUCACAUUUGUGCAUGUUUAGUACAAAUUUACCUGAAUUCUAAAACAUAGAGUGUAUGCAAUAUUUUUAAUUAAUCAAGAUUUUAUUAAAGGUGGUGUUUUAGAAACAUACUAGUAAUCGUGCACGUGCAAUGCACGUUUCCAACAUAUAAAAACACUCAAAAUAUGUCAUUUUCCUGCAAUAUAUGUCAUUUAUAAUCUUUGUCCUUCAACAGACACCAGAAAGUUAUGGCACCUCACAAAAGGGAAAAUGAACCUUCUGCUGCAGCCUACAUAACACAUUUAAGUGGCAAACAUGUAAGCAUAUCAGUUAAUGCUAAUGACCUCUGAAGCAAAGGACAUACUUAUGGGCACAUAUCCUUUUACAAUUGAAGUAAAAUGAAGCACUGCAAGAUUCAAAGAGCUGCUCACUCCACCUAGAGAGAAUUUGAUCUUUAUGCAUACAUAGAUGGAAAAAGAAAUAAUUGACUAAACCUGGUGUUCUGAAUGAAUUUCAGACUACAAACUUGUAUGUAUAACUUGAUGAAUAGAAGCUAGCAACUUCCAGAAUUUAGCACAGAGAAGAAAAGACUGUAAUCAAAUGGAUUCUGGAAUUGAAAUGCUGCCAGAGUUAAGUGAAUAAUCAGUUGGAACUAACCCAAUAUUCAGACCAUAGGAGGAAAAUAUCAGAUAUUCAGAGUUAUUAAUCUAGCAAGAAAGUGCAGUGGCAGUGUGCUGAAGAUCACUAUAGAAUAAAUAAUGGUUUUAGGCUGUACCUUACUCAGCUCUUCUGAAGAUCACCUUUCCCUGAAAUGAUUACAGUAUGCAGUUAAAACUUAAAACCAGUAAUUAAUUCUUCACAGGGUACACAAUUUUCGGCCAUCAAAUCCAUUCCAUAUGCGCCAACUACCAUUCUGAAUUCCUGAUACUUCUAUUACACAUGUUUAAUUCUUAACCUUGCUUUAGCUUUAUCCACUUGAAAACUUAUACUAUCUUGUUCUGCUACCAACCACCCGGAGGAAGCUCUACCAUGUAUUAUAUCCAAAAGACUACAAAAACCAAAAGAAUUGAGUUUAUUUUAUCGUCCCACGCAGAACGAAAAACUUAAUCACAACAGAGUUUCAUCGAGCACCAUGUACAGGAAUGAAUGAACGAAUAUGAAUGAAGUUGUCGGCUGAGGAAAAAGGUAGUGUUAGACCUUAAUUAGAAGCAUCAAUCUCCUGAGAUGGCAUGGCGGAUGGAGAGGAGGCAAAGCCAUGAUAAAGGAAGAGGAACAUCCCUGCUUUCAUAUGGCUGGAGCAGCAGAUGGUGAGGGUCUGAGGCCGAUGCCAUCCCGCCGGAGCUUACCACCCUCUUCGUCAGACCUGGUGCCUGCAACAACAGUGAGCUGCUUCUGGCUCCCGGCAUCGACGUCUCCCACAGCUCGUUCUUCAACCGCGCCGACGCCCCAGGCGCCCACGGUGCCCCUGCCGGCUUCCUCGACACUUUCGACGUCGCCAUCAACGGCGCGCUCCGCGCCGCUCCUGCCGCGGCUUCACCGGCUUUCCUCCUGCCGAACCUCAACGAUGACGCGACUGCGACUCUCCACGCCCAAGCCGUCGCCGUUCUGAACCACGACCGCAGAUUCGGGUGGCGCUGCCAUGGAAGGUGGAGAAGAACCGGGGGUGGAGCCGUCGGCAUCGGCGACUACAGAGGAACCGACAGCGAGGUGGAGCAGAAGUCAGCGAGGACGGAGGGAGUGGGUGGUUAAGCCGUGGUGCACUUCCGACGGGGGCGCCGAGGCAACGGGUGGUUGGUGCAUGUGUCCCAGCCUCCGGUGGCAGCAGCGGCCUCAACCCUCAGAUCUGGGGCGGCACAGAGGAAGUUACAUGCCAGAAGCCGGCGGCGACAAGAAGCAGCAUGGCGGAGAUGGAGGCUGGUGAUAAAAAGAACAGCGAAUGGUGGAGGCCGUGGCAAUGUGAAACAAUGUGGACAGCAAAAUCUGGAGAUGGAAUCAACAAAUGGACCAUUACCUCGCUAGCUCCCUUGAGGCUUCUUCCAUUGUCAAGAUCCAAAUCAACAACAGCCCCCCCAACCUUCCAAUUGAGCCAUUGAGGAGUGAAACGACGGCCGACAUGCAACGAAACGGAGCGGCCAAGAUACACUACGAACUCCACCACGGCCGGCUAGCUUCUGAUCUGGCCACUGCCACGACGCCACACCAGCACACGCUCUCGUGAAACCCUAGGCCCCUCUCCCGCAGGUGUGGCCUUCCCCGACACCGAGCCUUCACGCGACGGCGGAAGAGAUGACCGGCGGCCUGCGGCCACUACUUAUUAGGGGAGGAUGUGCGCACUGGUAUUCAAUGCGCGAGGAGGCGCAUCAUCCGGUGUCAUUGCUCUGUGCGCGGGAAUAACGCGGCAAGCGGUGGCGGGGAUAGCGCUCGAGGCGGUGUUACUGCGAAAGGGGUUCUCGCGCUCGCCCGGUGGGAUGAGGAAUCGGUGAUUUCACCGCUACACAGAGGGUGGGGACAUGGGGAUUGAUUUCACCUGUAGGAUUGCUAGUCACAACUUCUCCUUUUUAUAUUAGUAUAGAUAGACCAUAAAACCUGUGAUUAUUUGCCACGCUUCAUAAUACAUGUGGUUUUGUGCAAAUUUAACCAUAAAAUAUGGAGUGGAGUUUUCUGAAACUUUUUUAAAAAAAUAAAGAAAAGAAAAAGCUACUAAUCCAAACCGUAAAGAAGACGGGGAAUACGAGAAAUAUCUCCAAACAUAUACGCUGAAAAACAAGAAACCGACGCAGACUUGGAUCGAUGCGAUUUCAGCAGCCGUCGUCGUUGAUUCGGAUUCGGGGAGUAACCGCGCAAGAGCAGCGACGAUGAGGUUCGGUUUCCGUCUCCGAUUUCCCUUGGGGUUCCAUCCCCUUCAAAUUUAACGCGACCCUUCACUCCCCGUCGCAUCGCAUCUUGGCUGACUCGUCCCGAAAAUCUUGAGCGACCGAGUUACCGGCGGCGGAGAUGGUGGUGGCUGACAAUGGCAAGUGGGCGCUGGAGAAGGCUCGGGCGCUGCAAGAUUUGGAGGAGGAAUUCAACCAACAGAUUGCAAGGAUUCUCAGCUGCUACCAGCUACCUGACCACAUCAGGCUGGAUCUCCAUGAGCAGCACCGCAAUGACUACAAGGUGCCUGACGAUCUCCGGCUCAAGUUCGUGAAUGCCGUUUUCGAGGGGAAAUCCGGGAUGCUUGAUCAAGACGAGGAACUCAGGGUUCAGGCUCGGAAGGAAUCCGAGAAGUUUUGGGUGGAGGCGGCGGGGGCGGCGAAGAAGGCGCAAGCACUACAAGACAUGGAAGAGAGAAACAGGCAAUUGUUCUUUAAGCAUUAUCCUGGCGUGCAAGACAUGCCUGACCACAUUAGGGAGUACUGCUUCAGGAAAUUCAUGGAAGAUGCCAGGGAUGAGGUAGAGGUCAGAUUCGGGAUACGUAAUCACGAAAUGCGACUCAGGAUCCGAGCUUGGGAGGAAUCGCAGCAGUUUCUGAUCAAGACAAUGGCCGAUGGGCGGGCAGCCAAGAAAGUGCAGACCUUGCAAGAUGAGGAGAAGAGAUAUGUUCAGGGUGUUAAGAAAACUUUUGACAGCGAAAACAUAUCUGAGUACUUCCAACAGGCCUUCCUCCAGCAAGGCCUACUUGAUAAUAUCCGGCUGCUUUUCAUAGAUGAUAUAGAGGAGAAAUUCAAUAUGCCUGAUGACGAAGAGGAACCUAAGGGUUACAUUUCGGAGGAUUACAACAGGUUGAAGGCGCAGGCCUUACAAGAUUUGGAGUACAAAUUCAACCAACAGACUGCAAGGAUUCUCAAGCGUUAUGACCUACCCGAGCACAUCAGGCUGGAUCUCCAGGAGCAACACUACAACAACUACAAGGUGCCUGACAAUCUCCGGAUCAAGUUCAUAAAUGCUGUUUUCAAUGGAAAUCCCCGGAUACUUGAUCACAAGAGGGAGCUCAAGGUCCAGGCUCGCAAAGAAGCAGAAAAGUUUUGGAUCGAGGCGGCGGCGACAGCGAAGAAGGCACAAGCACUACAAGAUUUGGAAGAGAGAUACAAGCAACAAUUUAUUAAGCCUAGUUAUGACAGGGAAGACAUAUCUGAGCACAUGCAGGAGUAUUUCCUCAGGGAAAGAAAGAUAACUGACAAGGCCUAUCUCGAGUACAAGAAUAAUGUAGAGGAUAAAUUCGCGAUACGUAACCACGAAAUGCAAUUGAAGUUUCUAGCCUGGGAGAAAACACAGCAGUUUCGGAUUAAGAUGAUGGCUGAUGAGCGGGCGGCGAAGAAGGUGAAGGCCCUGCAAGAUAUGGAGGAGAGAUAUGUUCAAGAUUAUAUCAACAAGGUUGAAAGACUAGAUGUACCUGACUACAUCAAGCAGGGCGUUAUCCAGGAAUACAAGGUACCUGACGGUACCCGACUACGUUACAUAAAUUAUAUCGAGGAGAAAUUCAGGAUGCUUGAUGACCAAGAGGAACGUAAGGUUCACAUUUGGGAGAAUUUCAAAAAGUUGAAGAUCCCUCUCACAAUAAAGUCUCCCAUCACUGUCGCUAUCAUGUUCUCGAUUGGCAUCAUGAUCUUGUUCUCCGGCUUCCUUGUCCCCAAGAUGCCCAAAUCGUUGAAGAUCAUGUGUUGGGCGACUUCAAUUGUCAUCUGCUUUGCGGCCGUGCUCAGCUACGAUAAUGAAAGCUCGAAGACCACUGCCCCAACUGAAAUGCAUGAUCUGGAAAAUCCUCCAAGUAUUUAAUACUGAAUAAUGCCAUUUAACUGGCAUACAGUUCCAUCCCUGUGUAAUCUAUUGUUAGAUAGGAAAUAGUGCUAUUUAACAGAUCGGUUAGUAAUAAGAACUUGUUAGUAAUAAGAAGUCAUCUGAGAACUCGUUCCAUCCCUAUGUGGAAAAACAAGUUCUUUUUUAUUUGGAAGGUAAACAAGUUCUUUGUUCUAGUGCUUUAAGUCUAGCUGUUUACAGUCUUGUGCUUGAAAUUUUAGACUUCAGUGUAUUUCUAUAUGCUAUGAGCCUGUUAAUGACAUACUAUCAGACUGAUGAAAGAUGUUUUGAUAGAGCAGAAAAUUUAUCUGAAUAUCCAAUCACCGGAUCAUGAAUUCUGAUAGUACAUCUUUCUUGUUUUCUGUAAUUAUCUAAGCACACCCACUAUUAUACAAUGCUGCGAGGUUGGAUAGUCAGAUUAGUUUUCUUCACUAUCAAAACAUAGUUUGAUCAGAGAAGGGAAGUUUUUCAGAAAACCACAAGUCAAACUUGAUGAGGCACAGUAAGUCCAGACUUAUGAGACUUGUUUACAGUCAAUUGAUUAUUUGUUAUCUUGAUUGAUAUACUUCAAUAGUAACUUUGGUAAAGUAUAAAGAAAUGGUACAUUUCCUGGGCUACUUUAUCAACCAACUCCGAAUCUUUUCUUUAGAUCAGUUGUAGUAAAGAAGAGUUAAUGUAUUCAUUUCACAAUCUGCAUCCUUUGUUUUGCAGCCACAUAGAAGACAUAGCAUGUGGUGCUGGAAGCUUUUUGAUGUUUUCAAUUGUUUUUGACAAAUUUAAAUGCUGGGUUUAAAAAAUUCAGUUUACCUUCCAUCUUCAUGGUUCAAAGAAAUUACUACCCCCUCCAUUUCAUAUUAUAAGUCGCUUUGAUUUUUUUUUUUAAGUUUGACCAAGUUUAUAGAAUAAUAUAGUAGCAUUUCCAACACAAACAAACAUAAUAUCAAAAUAUAUUCAAGGUUAGAUUUAAUGAAACUAAUUUUGUGUUCUAGAUGUCGCUAAAUUUUUCUUUAAACUUGGUCGAGCUUAAAAAAAAUUAACUAGGAAAAAAGUCAAAGCGACAUACUCCCUCCGUCCCAUAAAAAACCCAAUCCUUAUGUCCAGAUUCAAACCAAGAAUUGGAUUUUUUAUGGGACGGAGGGGGUAUAAUAUGAAACAGAGGGAGUACAUGUUUGCAAUGAAUCAUUAUGAUAAAAUAAUAAACAUUUCUGUUACAUUCAAUUGGUUAUAACUUUUUGUUUUUUGUAAUCCUCAGUUGGACUGGUGAAGAGACUAAGGAACUCCAGUAUGCUGGCACUAUUGCAAGAGUGUGCAACAAAGUGCUUCCUAUUUCAAGUAUUACAACACAUUAACUCUUAAUGCUGCUGUCAAACAUUUUCUCUGUAACACUCAAAAUUUUCAGCAACCAUCUUGAUAUCAUCUUCUUGUUUUAGGCAGUUAAAGCUGCUUCAGAUGCUGAAUCAGGAGGAGUGCACUUAAGUGGUGGUUCAGCUAUGACACUAGAAAAUAAGCAGCAAUUAUUUUGUUUCUUCAUCCUUCAGGCAUUUAAAACCUAAUGUUAUUGUGCAUUAUGCAUGUUUAUUCUCCUGAUCGAGCCACUCUUUUGCUGAGAAUGGCUGCCAUUGAAAUGAUUACCCAACUUGCAUUACAGCGUUUUUCUAAACGUGAAGGUACUAAUAUGAUGUCUUAUCAUCUGUGAGAAAGCGUGUUUAAUUCGUGAAAAUAUUUUCAAAUAAUGUGGAAUUUCCUUGUGAACAUUUUAUGAUAAUGGAAAAUUUUCAUCCAUAUAUUGUACAUAUAAAAUUCAUAUUUGGUGAGGGAGAUGCGUGGUCCUUUGAACUAAUAGAUAGUUGCUUGAUCUACUUUUGAGUUUUGGCUCAGUUUGAUUCAAUUAUAAGAUAUGCUUCUAUCUCUUUCAUUAUUGCAUUACUUUCUCAAAUUUGUAGUUCAUGUCACCUUUUAAUUACACCAUUUGCAGGCAAUUCUGUCACUUCUGUCAUUGGAUGGAAGUGUGUGAUGAGUCUGUGAUGUCUCAAUUAAUCCUGCUGUUCUUUUACGAGACAUUCAGUAUCUAACCCUUUCGGUAAUUCUCACAUCUAGGUAAAUCUCCGUUCAUGUUUUUCUUCAAAGACUUAGUAGAGUGCUUUGCUUUACUGUAGCAAAUAUGAUUGUGAAAACAGCAUAGAGAAAAUAGGUACGUGGUACAUAUGCAAGCCAUGCAGAAUGGUAGCUAUAAUUUGAAUUUAUGCAAUUCAGGCUUCUGCAAACUGAAACUUGAUAAGGUUUUCAGCCUUAUAGACAAGCUCGAAAAAUAGGCUUUUCAGCAGUACACCUUAUAGGUGCAUAGCACACUGAGAUAUAGAGAUCUUCCAAACUGAAAAUUAUUAUGCUAUGCCACUUUUGAAGUUUUCUGAAAUAUUCAGUUCCUAUGCAAUAGGAGAUAAUAUAUAUAGCUGGUUCUUAACUACAUCUUCAAAGCACACACUCUCCAAUGGGAUCCUUUGCAUCUGAACUUGGUUUCCAGUUUGAAGUUUGCAUGGAAGCUCCUCAUAUCAAUGUUGGUUCUCUGGUAUAUUUGUUGCAAUUUGGCUCUGCUAUAGAACUGCAUAGCCUUGAGUUGAUGAAUUUUUGCUAUAGGGUGUUAAGGGCCCACCUUAGAAAUGUUCUUUCAUCCUAAACAUUUCAUUUCAAACAUUUUAGUACAUUUUUCUCGAAAUGCAAUGACUUCGUACAAGUCUCAUUCAUUCUGGUACGAAACAGUUUCUUUCCUAUCACUAUUAGUGCAAUGAUACACAAGCCUUUUCUGUAUUCUCCCAGGCAUCAAGUGAUGGCAAUUGGCGCUGGAGUGUUUACAUUUGAUUAGUAGGCAUACUGCUAGCCCUAAAAAAAUGUGGAUAUUGCUAAAUUGGCAUGCCAAUCUGUACAAUGUGUGGUUAAAAAUAGCUUGACUGAUCAAAGGAUAUGAAAGCUAAAUAUUUUGCAUUAACUGACAAAAAUGGAACUACUUGUCUCACUAAUUUGAAUUCUACUUAUAUCUAACUCUACCCUGUUUCCAGUUUUUGCACUAGCUCUAGAGUCUAGGUUAUAUCUAACUCUAGAGUCAAGAAGCUUUUACCUGGAGAGCUCUAGCCCCUCAAUCACAUUAGUGACGUAAGUUAAAAUCAACAUUUAUCUCAGUGUAUCUUGUGCACAGGGCAGGUUUUUGCAACUGGGCUAUCAUCUUGCCCAUCAGGAUGUCGACUGAAUGCCAGUUAUAGAACUGCAAACGAACAUUCUUUGCACGUAACUUCUCAUUAUCCUUUUUCUUUGUUUUAAUCUGAUACAGUCAUAUGAUUCAGAAUUCUUUUUGCAUUUAAACAGGAUGAACUUGGAGCUACCCUAGAAGAAAUAUGCAGAAUAGUGCCUGGCGGUGCUCUCGUGUUUUUUCCUAGCUACAAUUUGUUAAGAGAAACUACAAAGGCGCUGGUCUCAGACAGGUCGGCUCAAUAGCAUGUAUGCACUGGUAAGGUUUUGUCCAGGAUUCUAAAACAUUUUUCUCAAAAUUCUAGAAGGCAGCAUGUCUCAUUAGAAGCUGCCUCCCUUUUUACUACUUAUUUAAGAUUUGAUUCUUUCGGAGCCUAGAGGAAGUACGGAGGAACUUGAGCCUGUCCUAAAUGAAGUGCUACGUACAACGAAAUCCUUGGCAAGGCUCCUCUAAAGAAAGGAGGAGCAAAACAAAUUGUGAAGAAAUGAGUGACAAAGGGUUCCCUCACAAAGUUCUCGGGUUGAUGGGAUCGAGGACGGGGUUGAGAAAUAUGGUACGCUACGUGCAAAAGGUUUUUAUAAAGUGUGGACAAAAAUAUCCCCGCGUUCGAUGGGGACAACGUUUUCGGGUUAAGAAACACUACCACCAAUCCCGUUUCCUGUGAGGCUGUGACUAUACUUCCCCACAGGACUCUGCUAAAGGUAGAGGAGCUGCUUUUCUUGCAGUUUGUCAAGGAAAGUUGCUAAUUCCAUGCCUUUCUAGUGGAGUAUCAAUCAAUUUGUGCACAUGCUUAAACUUAUUUUUUUUUGGUACACCAUGUGCUUAUACCUACUAUCAUCAGCUUAUGUUAUGUAGUUACUGAUUUUUUAAUUAACUAGCAAAAUGCCCGUGCUUCGCUACGGGGUAAAGGAACGGAUAAAUUCUAUAAAGUACACCGUUAACAUGAAUAUAAUAAUGUUCCAAGAUAGGUAAAUUAUUCAUUGCGCUAAUGAUAAUCAAGAUAGAUAAAAAUAUUCUUGCUUAGCUCGCAUCACGAAAGAAAAAAACGAGAAAAUUGAAUUAAAACAUAUCAAAUUCUAAUUUAAUGAAAUAUAAAUUUUCUGCAAUAUUAAUUACACUCUUUCAAAUUAUAGCAAAAGUGGUCGUGCGUUGCAACGGAAAUAAAAAAAAGAUAAAAUUGAAUUAAAACAUAUUUAAUUCUAAUUAAAUGAAAUAAAAAUUUUCUGAAAUAUUUGGGUAUUUUUUAAUUAGGUAGGUAUAUAAUUAAAUUAAUUUAUAAGUAAAGUAAGUGUGAGAAAUAAAAUGUUAUGGUUGGAAAUAUUUGGGUAUUUUUUAAGUAGUUAGGUAUAUAAUUAAAUUAAUUUAUAAGUAAAGUAAGUAUGAGAAAUAAAAUGUUAUGCUUGGAUUUAAUUUUUAUUAAUUUUUCUAUAUUAUUAAUUACACUCAUUGAAAUUUUCUUGGAAUUUACGUAGCUUAAUUGCUAAUUUUGAUAAUACAAACAUUAUUUUAGCAUUUAUUUAAAUAAAAAUCUAAAUAAAAAUCCUUUUAUCUCUAUGCGUCUUUUUCAGCCCACAAGCGACCAAAGUCUAAUUUAUAUCCCUAACUCUUCCUCUCGCUUGCUGGACUGCCGGCUCGCGUGCGGCUCAACGCUCGAUCAAUCUGAGCCGUUCGUUUUGAUGGACGCCUCAGAUCAGUACCAAAUUGAUGAAAACCCCUAACCCUAACCUUCCCCCUCCCCCUCCACCCAACCGAGCCGGCCGCCUCCCCCGCCCCCAACGCCGCCUCUCCCCACUGGUGCCGCUCCCUCUCUCCUGUCUCACCGGCGGGGUGCGGUGGCGACGGCUUACCGCUCCCUCUCUCCCUCUCCCUCCUGUCUCACCGGCAUGGCGCGACGACGGCGGGGUGCGGCGGAGACGGCUGAGAUGGCCGUCCCUCCCCCUCUCCCUUUCCCCGUCGGCCUCGACGGCCGUCCCUCCCUCCCUCUCGACGACGGCAACCUCCCAACGGCAGCAUCGUCGGCGUCCGUCCAUACGGCAGCGUCGACGGCGUCUGCGGCGUCCGCGGGUAGAGCCGCCGCUGCCGGAUCUGCCCACGGUCGCCGCCACCGCCGACGGAUUCGGCAGCAGCGGCUCACUCCGGCGGCGGUGGUGAUGUCGGCGGUUGCUGAUUUUUUUUUUUUGCAAUUUUUUUAAUCGCUAUUGUUAACCAAAUUGGAUUGUGUAUGGAUGAAAAUUAGAUGUGACGAACGGAAAAAUACGAAUAUUUAUAUUAGAUAUAAAUUUAUGCACAUCGUCACAUGCGCGUAUUCAUGCACAUAUUUCACCCUGUCAUUCUGUCAUUAAACACCCUGUCAUUUCAUCUGAUGGGAUCGGCGGCGGUAGUGAUAGGGGAGGAGGACCUGCUCGAGUCCGGCGGCGGGCUGCCGCUUGCCGUCACGGUGAGGGCGCGGUCUCGGUACCGGAUGGUGGGGAGCCUGGUCAGGCUGAGCUACCGCCACGACGCCCAGUGCGUCGUGCGCCUCAGGAGGACACCGCGGCGGAGCAACGCCAUCGACGCCAGCGGGUGGGGUGGAGACUGACAGUGCGAGGUGGGAGAGGAGGUCCGGCGGCCGGCGAUGUGGCGGCGGAGACGACGCGGGAGCAGGGGAGCAAGGCGGCGGCGGCUGCGGCGAGAUGUCCAUGGUGAGGUACUGGAGGCGGAGCUCCGUCGGGGUGGGGCGUGGGUCGACGACGGCGGACGACGGGCACGGGAUCGCGUCGCGGCCCCACGUCGGCGCUAGCGCCGGCGUCGCCCGCCCGUGCGAGAUCUCCCCCACUGCCGUCAUGAACUACAACGCGCCGAGGGCCGAGGGCCGAUGCGGCGGCGGCGGCGUCACCGAUGGCUGCCGUCGAGGCGGUCCGGGAGAGGCGGCAGAGGAAGGGGAGAUCGAGGAUGACGGCGCCGUAUUGACGGCGUGUCCCGCUUCUCCCUCCCGGGAGAGGUCGUAGGUAGAAGACAUCAAUGGAAUGGAAGGCUUGGCCAUCUUGGCCUGCCGCGCCGACGUCGACGCGUUCCUCGCCUCGCUCGGCGUCGACCCGGGCGAGCUCGCCGGCCUUGAGCUCCCCGCCACCGUCGACGUCAUGCGCGAGCGCGUCGAGUUCCUGCAGUCCCUCGGCCUCUCCAACGAAGGCCUCGCCGCGUACCCGCUCGCCCUGGGCUGCAGCGUCCGCAAGAACAUGGUCCCCGUCCUCGACUACCUCGGCAAGCUCGGCGUCCGCCAGGACGCGCUCCCGGACCUGCUCCGCCGCUACCCGCAGGUGCUCCACGCCAGCGUCGUCGUCGACCUUGCCCCCGUUGUCAAGUACCUCCAGGUCAUGGACGUCAGGCCGCACGAAGUGCCGCGGGUGCUCGAGCGCGUCGAGUUCCUGCACUCCCUCGGCCUCUCCGCACGAUGUGACGAUGGAGGGGAUAUCUCCCCCCGCUGGCUGCGUGCCACUCCUGCCCCCGCCGCUCGCGACUCCUCCCCCUGCCGGCCGCGCGCAGCUACUGCCCCCGCCGCCCGCGGCUCCUCCCCCCGCCGCUCCUCGGCCAGCCGCGCGCCGCUCCUGCCCCCGCCGCCCGUGGCUCCUCCCCCCGCCGGCCACGCGCCGCUCCCUCCCCCCGGCCAGCGUCGCCGCCAUCACCGCCGGAGCAUCGCCACCUUGCACUGAGAAGAGAGAGAGAUGAGGAAGGGAGAGAAGAGGGAAAAAAAGAGAGUGAGGCUGACGUGGUCACGCUGACAUGUGGGGCCCAUAUGGGUUCCAUGCUGACUCAGCCGCGCCGCCACAUCAGACAAAACCGGAGUCAAAACCACCUAAGAACCUAAAGUGAACGGUUUUAUUAGUUGAGGGUUUUAUUAGUUGAGAGACGUCUGGUAUCUGGUUUUGCGGUUUGGGGACGAUUCUGUAACUCGAUGACGAGUUGAGGGACCUUCGGUGUACUUUUCCCAUUUUACUUCCCUGAUUAUUGGGUCGUGCCGUGCUGUGCCCAUCGUGUCGACGAAGAAGCCCAGGCACGGGCAAUGGUCGGACGGGGCUGGCACGGGCCCGUAACCAAUCAAGUUGUGGCGUGCCUGGGCCGGGCCAAAAUUCCAUGCCGUGGGCCGACCAUCGGGCCUGGGCUUUUUGCCAUCUAUACCUCCACGCCAUCAUGCGGUGGGCUCGGCUGAAGAAAGGAACAAAUCAGAGAGUAAUGUGUGCAUGGUAUAUGAUGGGAGGGGCGCCCCUAAUGGGCAGUUGAUCACUCCCAACAAUCAACACGCCCCUCCCCCUAUACUCCUCUCCCUUUUCUCCUUUUCAUCAUACUCCCAUUAGGGAGUAAUUUUUUAAAAAAAAACAAAGUUAGUAAAAAAAAUUAGAAAAAAAUCUAAUACUCUCAUUCACGCGCAUAGACUUUAUAUUGUAAACUUUGCACGCAUAAACUUUAUGUAUAGAAAUAUUCUAUAUAUAAAAUAUUUGAAUUUGAAUUUGAAUCUGAAUCAGGUAUAUAAACUUUUGACUUAUAAACAUUCGCUCUACAAAACUUUAGGUGAAUAAACUUUAGAUGUCUAAACUUACUAAAAGAGGACAAUAAUGCACGCAUAAACUUUAUGUAUAGAAAUACUCUAUAUAUAAAAUACUUAAAUACGAAUUUGAAUCGGGUAUAUAAACUUUUGACUUAUAAACAUUCGCUCUACAAACUUUAGGUGGAUAAAGUUUAGAUGUGUAAACUUUAGGUGUAUAAACUUACUAAAAAAAGAAAAAUAAUAUGGUGACCAAAAAAGAAAACAGGUGGGAAGGAGAACCGAUCGCGUGGGGCGAUCGUUUGCCCGUUAGAUUUUUCGUGAUGGGAGUGGCUUGACUAGUCAAAUCAGGCAGUAAAACCAAGUUAGGGUGCUAAGUUGCUAACUACUCCCUCCGUCUUAAAAAAAACUUAACCUAGGAGAGGAUGAUCCCUCCUAAUACAAUAAAUCUGGACUAUUCUUUAUCCAGAUUCGAUGUAGGUUGAGUUUUUUUAGACGGAGGGAGUAAGAUACUAUUAAUAUACCCUAUAAAUAUAUAUUAAUAUAUUAGAGGGUUAUAUGUGAGUAUAUUUACGAGUUGAUUGUACCAUGCAAAUAGUUUGAGAUAGUAAAAUGGAAUUUUUCCAAACGAAAGAGAAAAAUGCGUGCAUCCUAUUAGUAAAACUAGUAACUAAGGGGGAAAAAGUCUAUUUUAUUCCCUUGAACUUUUUCACUGAAGCACUUAACUCCCUAAGCAAUUUAUCGACUCAUUUUACACUCUGACCUAUUGAACAAGAUUCGCCUUUCUCCAUAAUGGUUUUUUUGGUCAUUUAUCUCUAUAUAAGUUGUAUUUUGCAAUAAAAUAUGAUGGAUUGAUAUAUGCAUUACCACUUACCUCUCAACAUUUUUUCGAGUUUUUUUAGGCUGUUUACAUAUGUUGGAAACACUAGUACAAGGUUUUAAAUUUCAAGUAAAUAAUAAUGAAAAUUUUCAAAACGGUUUAAAUUUUGAUAAUAAUAUCAUCUAUGCCUCUAGAAAAUUUUAGAUUAAAAUAUGACAUGUAUAAAGAUAAACAAAAAAGAUAAGUGCUAUUAACCGGUAAAAUGUACCAUUUUCUAAUAAUUUGGAGGGUAAAAUGAGUAAAGAAAGGAUUAAUAAAAAGUUUAGUGAUCCAAUGGAAAUGUUUGGUGAGUAAAUUAGAAUAGUUUUUUCUUCUUCUUUUCAAAUUAAGGGUGUGUUUAGUUCGCGAAAAGAAAAUUUUUUGAUAUCACAUCGGACGUUUGAUCGGAUGUCGAAAGGGGUUUUCGGACAUGAAUGAAAAAAUUAAUUUCAUAACUCGCCUGAAAACCGCGAGACGAAUUUAUUAUGCCUAAUUAUUAUGUCAUUAGCACAUAUAGGUUAAUGUAGCACUUAUAACUAAUCAUGGACUAAUUAGCUCAAAAGAUUCGUCUCGUGAUUUCCAUGCAAACUGUGCAAUUAGUUUUUUUAUCUAUAUUUAAUGUUUUAUACGUGUGUCAAAAGAUUCGAUGGGAUAUUUUUGGGUAAUUUUUUUUAACUAAACAAGGCCUAAAGAGUAGACCUAAACAUGCAUUGGUGGAAGGGGAGCCUAUCAGAAUUGGUGAUUUAAAGAAGAAAGUGAUUAAGGAAGAUGGUCCUAAUUAGGAAGACGAACUUGCGCAUUAAUUAGCCAGAUUAGGAAGGCAGGUUGCGUCUAACUUUCCCUUUCCAGCCCUCUUCGUCUCCGGUGUCUCCGCCUCGGAAAAACUCCGCAAAACCCUCACUCACUCACUCCACGGCGGGGGUCACCUCACCAGUCACCACCCGCAAUGGAGGAAGGCGACGGCGUCGUCAUGCCCUCCCCUGCUCCCACCUCGCCGCCGUCGCCUCCACCGCCACCGCCACCGCCACCGCGACCUUCCGCACCCGCAGCUACGGGAGGCGUCGCCGGCCGCGUCGGCGACUCGCCUUCAUCGCCGCUCGAAUCGGGACCGCUCCUCCCCGCCUCCAAGUCCGAGCUCCUUCGUCUCCCCCACCUCCCCGACGCCGGGAGCCGCAGGCGUCCCCGUCUCGCCGUCGACAUGUCCGACGCAGCCGGCACCAACGGUCGUGUCAUCCCCUUCCGCGGCUUCUCGGGAAGGCCACGUCUCAGCUGUCACUCCGCCUCCCGGAAGCCCGCAGCCGCAGAAGGCCCUCCCUCUCCAACGCCGCCCUCGCCCGGCCGUGGAAAGGGACGCCAUCGGCGAUGCCAACUCGCCGUCGCUGCCCUCCUUGCCGCCUCGGAGCCGCUCCACCUCCCCUCCCUCCCCAACGCUGCCCUCGCCCGUGGUAGGGGACACCAUCGGCGGCGCCAGCUCGCCGUCGCUGCCCUCCUCGGAGGUUCGGGAGCGCUCCACCUCGCCGCCUCGGAGCCGCUCAACCUCGCCGCCUCGGAGCUGCUCCACCUCCCCUCCCUCCCCAAUGCCGUCGCUAUUCUCGGUGGUUCGGGAGAGCUCCUCCACCUCUCCCGCCUCUUCAUCUCCCACAGCCCCUCCUACCGGAGCUCCAUUCAAUCCAACAAUUGACUUGAAGGCAAACAACACCAAGAUGUCUGCUAUGGAGAGGGAGGAAAAAGGGAAGAGGAGGAAUAUAUGUGAGGGUGCUGAGGCGAUGUUCAAACUUGAGGCUGUAUUGAAGGAAGAAGAGGAGGUGAGAGUGAGACACUCAGUACAGAAGCUUCUUAGGCUGUGUUUAGUUCAGCGCAAAGUUUGGAUUUUGGUUGAAAUUGGAGAUGAUGUGACUGAAAAGUUGUGUGUGUAUGACAUGUUGAUGUGAUGGAAAAGGACUGAAGUUUGGAUUCAAACUUUGGAUCUAAACACAGCCUUAAUGAACAAGCAGCAUCUAUGGAUAGAAUUCAGGAUCUGUUGAAGCAAGAAGAGCAGUUAAAGCAGUCACUACAGGAGCUUUUUGAGGCACAUGCAACAGUUAAGGCUAGAAUUGAUAAGGUUCAUACUCAGGUUGAGAAAGAUGAGGAAGAAUUAGAGAAAUUACGUCUGGUCGAGAGACAAGCCAUGUCCCGAGCUGACAAAAUCCGCCGUGAUGCUGAGAUUGCCAAAGCAAAUGCCAAUGAAUUCGAAAAGAAAGCCAACCAGCUCCAAAUAAUAGCAGACAUUGAAACGGAGAGAGAGCAAUCUGCAAAAAAGAAAGAGCAAGCUGCACAUGAUAGACUUCGUGAUGCAAGUACAGCAAGAAUUGUGGCCAUAGAUCACACUAAGUGCAUUAAUGGUAGAAGUAAAGAUAUUGAAGAUUGGACUGAAGCUAUUGAGGAGCGCCAGAAAAGACUUGAAGAGGAGAAGAACCGGUGCAAAAGGUUGAUUAGUAUAUUUUGGGCACUUGGAAUAGUACACUUUUGCUUGUUUUGGGUGAAGUUUGGGCUGAAAAAGCACGAGAAAGAACUGGGAUCUUCAGUAGGCUGGAUCGAGGGAUUCUGUUAUGUGCUUGUGUUGUCCCUUUUCGUUUUUUGCAAGUCCUUCAUUGACACUCGUUUGAAGUUCAAGCCAGACCGAAGGGCAGAAUGGGCUUCUGUGACAUUACAUGCGUUAUCCCGUUUUAUUUUUGAGGGUAUAUUAAAUACCGCUAUGGGAGAAUGUACAGGAUGUACCGUUGCAUUGGUGGUAGCUCACUUAUGCGCUUUUGGCGUUGAAGUGAUAGGUGCAAUGAUAUUUCAACUGAAAUUUAAAAUUGGAUCCUCAUUUGAAUCAUUUGAUGUAUGGUAAGUGAAAAUAACACGUUUGGGAGUUUAUUCAUUUUUUUAAAAAAAUUUAGGCCUCUCUUAACAUGCUCUAUUUUUGUAGAGCAUGGAAGUGGGAAGAAAGUUGCUGAAGGGCUCUACUGUUGAUCAUGCAUUAUAUCUUAAGGUAAAGAGUUAAUCCUUUCAUGGAACUGCUACUAUUUGUUUCUAGUUUAGCAAUUUCAUGUGCACUGUAUGGAAGUAACUGCCCUGCUCCUAAAUGCUCAACUUAUUGGCAUGUGUGUUUUAUUUAUUUGGUAUUUAACAAGUAGGCGCUAGACAUUUCAUAUUGGCAUAUUAUAUGGUUUAAAGUAAUUAUUACUCCUACUAGGUAAAAAAAGCUUGUGUGAGAUUCGAACUUUGGCAUGUGUGUUUUAUUUAUUUUGUACUAACAAGUAGGCGCUAGACAUUUCAUAUUGGCAUAUUAUAUGGUUGAAAGUAAUUACUAGGUAAAAAAAGCUUGUGUGGGAUUCGAACUCUGGUCUCCCAGCAUACGUUGCUCUCCCCUAGCCAGUAUAGCAGUGUAGUUGUUGCGCUUAAUUGGGAAACUUUGAUUUAUUUGAUCGGUUUUUGACCAGCAACGAACCGGAAGAACUGGCGGUCAGACUGCUCAACCCACGAACUAUGUUAUGAACCUGCAUGAUUCAAAAGGGAUAUGUGUGGAUAUGAGUAUUACAUUAUUGAAACAGUAAAAAUUAACUCUUCAUGAUAAUAAUGUAGGUUGAUUGGAUGCAUAUAUACUAUUCAACUCUUGCCCCGGUAAAAAUCCAAGGAAAUUUUACCCACCAGAUCAUGUUGUUUUUACUUGAUUGAAAACCAAGAUUUUUUUUUCCGUUGGCAUCCACAAAUCAAAAAAAGUAGCAACUUUACGCACUGAAUCAUGUUGUUUGUACCACAAGCAACUACAGUGGAUUUCUUUUAUGUAUAUAUAACAAUAGAUGGUUUUUGAGCAAUCGUUUUGUACACAGUAAACUGAUUUUAAAUGUAGUUUUUAUGCUUUAGAACAAUGUCCAUGCAGUUUAUGCUUGUAUCAGUGAAUUUAGGAAUGAUGAUCUUCAGUCUGCAAGUUAUUUCUUUGGAUAAAAUCCUUAUUGUACCCUGAACUUACUUUAUAGUCAUUUCAUUAAUAGAAAUGAGAUUCAAAGUUACAAGAUUUUAGGUUAAGUGAGAGAGAGAAAAGGAAAGAAAGAACAAGAUUACAGAGAUACAGGGUGAGAGGAAAAAUAAAGAGAAAAAAAAGGGGGUGGGGGUGGAUUUACAGGGGUAUAAACAGCAGGCUGUUGCCUAUGACAGCCUCGCACACCAAGAUUGAAUUUCGUGGCUAGUUCCUGCGUUGCUUCGCAGACACCAUAGCUUUAGGGUAUCACAUAUUUGUUGUGUGAUGUUCUGAAAAUGGUCCAUCUGUCUUUCGAAGACCAUGUUGUUUCACGAUUUCCACAGCGUGUAAGCACAUGCUGCAAACCAGAUUGGUUCUAACCUUUUUGUUGAUUGGGUCCUGUCAAUGACUGCUUGGAUGAAGUCAGAGAUUGUUUCAGAUCUUUUGGCCAAAUGCAUGUCCUAAUCUUUUCCAAAGGUUGUUUGCAUUUCUGCAUCUUAGGAUAAUGUGGUCCGCUGAUUCCAGGGCCGGGUAGAUUGGGCAGUGGGGAUCAUUACUCCAUUUUUUGUUGACCAUAUUGGCUUUGGUAUUUAAUCUCUCUCUAAAAGCUAGCCACAGGAAUACCUUGCAGUUUGAGGAAUUGUGUAGAUCCAUAUGUAAUCAGCCGGAUUCCAAAGGGAUCCAUGAAAAGUCAGCAGUCUAUAAGCAUUUGCCGUUGAGAUCAAAGGCUUGGGAUACAGUUCUCUUGUGUCUGCUGUCUCUGGAGAGGGGCUUAGAUUUUGCAGGUUUUGUAAUAGUGCUUGUAACUCUGUUUCUGCCUGGUAGGAGAGGUUGGGAUGGAGCUGUAGCUGCCAAGUAUUGUGACUAAAUUGUGAUUCAACUGUGCACUCCUUGUUUAUGGCAAAAGAGAACAGAACUGGGUAGGUAUAUUCCAGACGUUGUGGCAUCCAUUGGUCUUUCCAAAAUAGAGUUGUUCUGCCAUUCCCAAGCUUUACCUGUGUUACUGAGCUUAGGAUCUAGAAGCGAGAUAGAAUUUCAUGUGGAGAUUUUCAUGUUUUAUCAUGCCUUCUGAAGAUUUUAGUGUUGCCCAGAAAUAUGGUGGUGAUGGGUUUGUGGGGAAUUAAACAUAAUUGAAAUGCACACCAUGGCUUCUCUAUAGAUUAGAUCUAGUGGUGUAAGUCUUGGAAGAGAGAAAUGAAAUUGACCUAGCCACCUAGAAGAAUCUCAGAUUUUGUAGUGCCAUCAGUACUGAAAGUAAACACAGCGUUGCUCCUACCCUUUAAACAUGUCUUUUCAUUUUUCCUUGGUUGAUGCCUUCCCUGAGUUCCCUCUUAAACCAAACACAUGGUUUGCAUUAUACUCCCUCCGUUUCACAAUGCAAGUCAUUCUAGCAUUUCCCAUAUUUAUAUUGAUGUUAAUGAAUUUAGACAUAUAUAUGUCUAGAUUCAUUAACAUCAAUAUGAAUGUGGGAAAUGCUAGAAUGACUUACAUUGUGAAACGGAGGAAGUAACUUGCAGAGGUAUAAUGCUAUGAAGGUAUUGCUGAUAGCAUAUCUACUCAUGCCAGAUCCUAUCAAAAAAGAAGGAAAAGAAAGAAAAAGAAAACAAAAGGAUAAUCCAUGCAUGAAACCUGAAGCAUAUAUAGUGAUUUUUUAUGAAAUUCUUAUACCAAUUGGCUAUGUAGCUUAUGUGGUUUACUCAUGUUUGAUUUUUUUUUCUUUAUAGGAUGAAGAGGAGGGUUAUUGAUGAAUUCAAGUUUUGGGAUGCAUGGUGUCGAUUCUUCAGUUCUGGGAGGGAUAUUCUGAAGCUACAUGAUAUUUGAGCAUGAUGCAAUUUUGUUCGGAGAUCUUCAGCCUCGCAGACUGCUAGCUCCUAUUAAAAAACUAAAUAGAACCUUUGUCUUGUAUGACAGCUUCUGUCGCCUGCCUGGGUGUUAGGCGGUUGGAUCCAAUCAGAACACAGUUGCUAGCUGUGAAUGUCAAAAAAAUGAUUUAAACUUUUUUAUUUAGGAAUUGGAGAUUUGGGGGCAUCUCCACUGGUUAUCUGCAUGCAGGUGCCUGGAGAAUUGAAGAUCGAUCGGGCCGCCGCCGACUUAUCAAACAAAUCCUUUUGUUACCUGCGAUACCCUUUUUACAGUGCAGCCUGGCCCCUCUCCCCGCCGGCCACGCCCAAUCGCCCAUCGCAGCUUCAGCGCCCGCUCUCCUGCCCGCCGCCGCUCCCUGUGGACGAAUGAAGGUGAAGAGAACGGGGAGAGAGAGAGGGAGGUGGAAGAAGGGAAGGAUAGAUGAUGUCAUGUGGACCUCACAUGUUAGUAGGUCCCAUAAUUUUUUUUAAUAACAAAAGAGUCUCACGUAUAUUUCUUAAUUCUAAUGCCACAUGAGACGAAGACCAUAUCAAAACUGCUAUCUCAGCGAAACUGUCCUUUAAAAUUGUUAAGAGAGUCAAAUUGCAUCGGCUUUAAUAAUUAUAAAGGGUUGAGAUAUUCGGUAUUGUGAUUGAGGGGUAAGAGUAAGUUUCGGCCACCAGUCAAGGGAGUCAAAGUGAACUUAACGCGCGGCUCUGGCUCAUUUCGAUUUGUAUCGGUGCGGCGCGGAGCGAGUCCCUCGUCCUCUUUAAUGGGCCAUAAAGUGGGCCCAACAUUUUGAGAAGGAUUGGAAAGCCAAAAGGCCCAUUCCACGGAGGCGGAGGGCGUCGUCUGCUUCGUCGCCGAUCUCGUCUCCGCCGCCCGCGAGCGAAUCGCCCCCAAAUCGGGAGGGCGGCUGCUCUCGCCUGCAGAUUUGCGCCGUCGUUGCGGCGAAUUGAUGAGGUAGAAGUGUCCAACUACUCGCCCCUGGUUCGCGAUGCUGCGGAAGGUGGCCGUCGCCUUCCUCGCUUGCGCCGCCCUCUACCUCGCCUUCGCCGCCUACUCCCGCCGCGAGGUAUGAUGGGCUUUCUCUUACAGUUGGGGACGGAUUUGUUCGAUUCGGUUGAUCAGUGACCUACCGCGCGGCAAUUCUUGGCUUCGUAGGUAGUGGCAACGGAGUGGAAUUAGACUGGAUCUUUCUGUUCCACUGUUGAUUUGUUCUACAUGAUGCAGUUGGGUUUUAGCUGCUCGCACCUACAGUUCUGCAAUGUGAUGUCUGCAAUUAGUAUGCUCGUGUUGCGCUGCUCGAGAUGCUUCAGUAGCUAGACGAUAUUGUUUACUAGUAGGAUUGUAGAGAACACCAUCCCCAUAAAUCGUUUAGGGGGAGACUUUUUUCUCACCGGGCCAGAAGGGAAAGACUUAAAGCAAGGAAUACAUAUAUAUGCGAGUUGCUGGCAUCUGACUGCACAAUGAUUUCUGUUUUGCUGACAACAGUAGCCUUAUUGUACAAUGAGUUGAACCUCAUGACUAUGGCCAUCACUCCUUGUCUCAAGAUUAGAACAUGGUGUUUAGAUUCUGAAAAAUAUAUAGACGUGGGGCGCUCGUUUCAUUUUGUGGACGAUCUGGGAGAUAGGUUCUGGCCUCGGUUAUGGUGGUAGUGACUAGUGAGACGAUGAUUCAAUGUUACAGAAUAUUUAUUCUUCUUUCUCACCUUGUACAGAGCCUUGGAGAGGUUCGAUUACCUGCAGUUACUAACAGGGUAUACUUGGAUGUGGAAAUUGAUGGGCAACAUAUAGGUAUAUCACUAUAUCAUCAUGACAAUCUGUCUUGGAUGUUCCAAUGGAAAGAAUAAAACUUGUUGCUUGCACCGUUACUAUACAUGUCACUCAGCUUAAGCCCUGGUUAACCUAAUUCUUGUGUGCUCCCCUCAUUACAGGUAGAAUUGUCAUUGGCCUUUAUGGAGAUGUUGUGCCAAAAACAGUUGGUAAUCUUACGCCCAUUCUUUUCUUCAUCAUAUUUAUUUACAAACUUGAGAUUAAUCCUUUGGAGACAGUGGCAUAGCAGAUUGUGGAAUUCUUAUGUUUUGUUUGUGUGGACAAUAAAUCUCCCCUUGAAGAUACUUUGAUUAUCAUUUGUAGCAUAUAGUUUGUCCCAUUUGUUUGCUACUGUAAUAUAAAUUGGCAAUAAUAGCUUGUUGAUUUUUUAUUUCUCAUUUUGCAGCAAAUUUUAGGGCUCUUUGUACAGGUAUUUCUUCUUCCUAGAUCUAUUCCUGUUACAGCUGAAAUUCAACCUUCUGUUCACAUGAUUAUCCAUAUUGCACUCUGUUCACUAUUGCAGGAGAAGAGGGCAUUGGGCACAAGGGUAAAUCUCUUCACUAUAAAGGAUCAAGAUUUCAUCGUAUUAUCCCAGGCUUCAUGAUUCAGGGUGGGGACAUAGUUAGAGGUGAUGGAAAAGGAAGUGAGUCUAUAUAUGGGGGCACCUUCCCAGAUGAGAAUUUCAUAGUAAAACAUACACAUCCAGGUCAGAAAUUCAGAAUGCUCAAUUGAUUUGUACUUUCUACUUUACCUUUAUUUAUGAGUUAUAUGUAUCGCUAAGUUGCACAUUUUUCUCCUAUACAUGGAGCAUAGAUUUUUAGAUAUUCUUUAUGCGCUCUGCCCUGCUUCUGAUUAUCUCUCUUGGUCUGCUGUCAUCAUGCAGGUGUUAUUGCCAUGGCAAAUUCUGGACCUGAUUCCAAUGGAUCGCAGUUUUACAUUACCACAAUCAAGACAAGCUGGUAAGUUGUAUUACACUAUAAGUUACCAGUGAUCAAUCUAGAUGGUACAACUCCUGAAAUUAUAAGUACCGCAGGUUGGAUGGGGAGCAUGUUGUGUUUGGCAGGGUGAUUCAGGGAAUGGAUUAUGUGUACGCCAUUGAAGGGGGUGCUGGAACUUACAAUGGCAAGCCUAGGAAGAAAGUUGUAAUCACCGACUCUGGUGAGAUACCGAAGGAGAAAUGGGCUGAAGAAGUGUAGGCUGUUUUGUACUUUGGUUUGCCCUGUACUUUUUGGGCAGCAGGUGCAGUUUUACAUUACCACAAAUCAGGCAAGGCGUCUAAAAUGUUGUACAUUGUAGUUAGUUCAUACUCAAUCGAAUCCCACUUGCUGACACUGAUUACUCAGUGAAUUCUGCACUGUGAUGAAGAUGAACACACAUAUUCUCAGUUUCUCAUGAUGGUUUAGCAAGGUAGAACUGUCUUUUGUAAUGCUUCAUUUUUUUAAGGCAAUCUGCAAUGCUUUGUUUGGUAUUGCAGUGGUUUAUAACUAUCCCUGUAAAUUUCUAUUUUUGAUGAAAAUAGUUAGUGCUGUUAUUUUUGGGAACUAAUUACAAUGCACAAUACUGGUUGGCCUACUCAGAUCAAUUUAUGAAAAUAUGCACGUGUAUGUUGUUGUCUUGUCAUACGAUCUCAAAAUAAUACAGAAGGCGAAACCAUUGAAAGGACUCUCAGAAAGUUGUGGCCACUGCUCCCCAAAUUUACCACGGGUGCCUUUCAGAAAUGACUGGUCUGCACACUGCACGGUUCAAUUUUCCGUUGUUUUCAUCAUAUAUACUUCAAUGUUGCUAAUAUCUGCAUGGUGCUGAAUGUAUUGGAUGAUCGGAGCUAAUGUCUACUUUCUGGAUAGAGUUUGUUUCUUUAAUUAUUUUUUAACAUGGAAUACCUUUUAAUUAUACUUACGAGUUACGACAUAGCAAUAUAGAAAUUUCUCUAAAUAUAUUGAAGCUUGGAUGAUUUUUUUUCCGGUAAGUUUUACGUUGCCAGUUUUUAUCAAUAGAGAAAAAAUGUUCAGUCAUUUUUCAGAAAGGAAAAACUCUGGAGUAAAAAAACGCACAUUUUCUGUUUGCGUCGCUAUCAUUUCGUUGUAGUAUUUUGAUUUCUAAAGCGACACGACGACUUCCAACCGUCCAGCUCCACAUAACUGCUGCUAUCAUGUUGGUUGUGCCUAGAUCUUUCGACUAAUUCAAUUUUGGAUUUACUCAUCAAACCAAAUUAAGCUGUUCGCGACAGUUUGGACCAUGCAUGACACCUGGUAACAAGCACGUGCGUGGAUCUCCCGAUAAUUCGAUUAUUUCAAUGUUGGAUUUACUCUCAUCAGAGUAACGCCUUUGACUUUUCGACCAACGUUUGACCAUUUGUUUUAUUCAAAAUUUUUAUGCGUAUAUGAAAAUAUUUAUGUCAUGCUUAAAGAACAUUUGACGACGAAUCAAGUCACAAUAAAAUAAAUGAUAAUUAUAUAAAUUUUUUGAAUAAGACGAACGGUUAAACGUUGAAAAAAAAAAUCAACGACGUCAUACAUUAAAAUAUGAAGGGAGUAGAUCGCGACGGGUUUGAUCAUGACAUUUGUGUAAUGUGCGUGAAACGAAUUCAUGCAUAGGCGAGCAUAGGUAUACGAUCAGGACGAAACUAACAACCGAGUGGUCAUUAUGCAAUUGCACGUCGUACACGUACGUACGCGGCGCUCGAUCGAUCGGUGGUAUUUUCACCGACAUAUGCUGAUAUGCAUGUAGUGAUAAUCAGUAGCGGAGCUACGAAUUUUAUGAAAUCUGAGCAAGUCUAACUAAAACGGUUACCACUUACGUAUUGUUUAUAUGCUAAUUUUUCUAUCAAAUUGAACGUGGAACAAUUUUUUAAUAAAAGCAUAGUUCAAUAUUAUCCCAAAUUAAUGGUUCUCCUCCGUUUUAAGUUAUAAGACGUUUUGACUUUGGUCAAAGUCAAUAUGUUUUAAGUUUGACUAAGUUUAUAAAAAAAUAAAAAAAAUUUCAGCCCAAGAUAAAUUUAUUACGAAAAUAUAUUCAAUUAUUGAUUUAAUGAAACUAAUUUGGUGUUAUAAAUAUUACUAUAUUUAUCUGUAAACUUAGUUAAACUUGAAGUAGUUUGACUUCAACCAAAGUCAAAAUGUCUUAUAAUCUAAAACGGAGAGAGUACUUAACAUAAUUGUCCAUGCCACAUCUCUCUGUUUUUUUUUUGGCAAGGAGGAGAACCAACAGCACAAAAAGUUCAUAAUACAACACGUUAUAUAUUCAUAAUAUAUCCAUUCACCUCACAGGUGUGCACAAGACCUGCACAUGUAAUACAUAACAUAUGCGGUACAAUACUUCAUAUAUAGUACUGCACAUAUUAUUCAGAGGGCACAACAAUGUAUAAAAGUUGCGCGAUUAUUCACCCAAAGCAACAAGCUAAGCAUAUGCUACAUGCUCUUAGGACAGGUUGAUCAAGUAGAUCAUGGCAGCUUAGCUAGCAAAUUAAAGGCUCUUAAUUAGGCCAGCACAGUUUCAGUGGGCAUCACGAUGUUGGCAGCCGAUGUGGUGUUGAGCAUCCAGGUGUGGAACGGAUGGAAGAGCACCUCGGCAGGGCAGCUGAGGUUGGGCAGGACAGGGCAGUCGAUGAAGCUCUUGGCGUCCUUGUCGACGCAGAGGUAGAUCUCGUACAACUGCUUCUUCCCAAAUGGCCCGUCCCUGCACUGCACUCCUGGUGUCACACCCAGCUUCUGGUUCACUGCCCACUUGAUGAACGCCGUGUUGUACAGUUGGUAGUCCGGCUUGAUGCCUAUUCAUCCAUCGGCCCAAAAAGCAUUCAGACACAGAUUUUACCUCGGUUUUCAUUAGCGCGUAUGUUUUUUAAACUACUAAAUGGUGUGUCGGUAUGAUUUGUACAUGUACCUUGUUCAGCGAGAGCAGAGAGAACAUCUGCGUUCUUUCUGAGCUGGAGACCGGCCUUGAAGUAGUCCAACUCCUUGAGGCCGGAGCAGACGCCAUAGCUGUUCCACUCGCUCUUCCAUGAGUUCACGCCGUCGGUGCGAGGACACUUGAUGUUGCUCCAGUAGUGGUUCAGGUUGUUCUCGAUUGAGUCUAGCUGCAAUAUACAUGUAAUUAUAUAUUUACAGACAUGAAGCUAAUUAAAUGAGACUGCUAGCUUGUAAAUUAAUGUGUGCUAACCUUGUUAAUGUCGAAAGGAUUGUCGGAGUUGCACCUGACAACAGCUGUGUUCUCUGACGAGUCAAAGGUCAUGAAGCUCUUGACGAAGAAAUCUUCUGACGGGUAACCAUACUUGGGCACGCAACAACCAUACUCGCUGUCAGUGCAGUAUGCUCCAGGCCACUGCAGGCACGAAUGCGAAUCGAUUUAUACUCACCAUGGAAACUGCUGAGCUAUUGAGCUAGAGAUCAUUUAUAUUUGCUCUGCGUUUCAGUUUGAAAUUUUCCCCCUCGUUUGGGGCUGAGUCCUGAAUCCUAUGAGAUAUAUAUCUUCUAGUUGAAUUUCCUUACUGGUUUUACGUACUAUUGAUAUGAGUAUGCUCUAAAUCAACAUUGUUGAAACUUCAUCAGACUUUUGUCAUAUAUAUCACAGUAGAUUUUGUCGAUAUUGUCUUGCAGCUCCUGCUUGCUGUGCAUGUUCAAAUAUGUUGAUGUGCUCGUUUGUCGUGCUUUCAUUCUUUGACCUCCGUUUUAGCAAGAACACAGGACAGUAGCAAAAUCUCGUACAGCUAAUUUGUCCAUUUAGGCUGUUUAUGUGAUAUUAAUAUUUCUAUUUUGUAAAAAAAAAGAUGAUAUACUUGUUCUGAGGAAACUUUCAUAAUUUUACAAAUUCUUAAUUCACGUGAAUAAUAAGGUUAGAUGCCAAUAGUACAUCAUGUACAACAUGCAUAUCCUUGAACAGAAGUUUUAUGUAAUACUAAUAAGAAUUACAAACAUAGAAUCUUUUUCAUUAAUUUGAAUAAGAAAGUGUAAAUAAGAAAAAGGUAGUCAUAGUUUAUAACUAAACUUAAUGCGUAUCAUUGCAAGAAGUUAAAUAUUUGAUGAUUCGCAGUUCAUACCAUGAGGAUGAGAUAAUAAAAAUCAAAGGGCGAGUCAGCAUUGACGGUCUUGGCAGGUCCUGAAGUCGCAAGUAAGCCAAGAAUUAGGCACAACAAAAAUUUCCUCUGCUCCAUAGUACUCUCUAGGCUUGUUUCUACAAGGAGAGAAAUUUCUUCUUGCUUGUUGGUUGGCUACCCAACCAUUGUGAGGGUAUUUAUAGGCUCAGGUUGUGGGCAAGAGGCAAAGGAAUGGACCUUUCAUUCUUCUCCAUCUUUUUUAUGGUUUUUCAAGGGAACAUGCAUGACAAUUUUGAGUGUUAAUUCAUGGAGAAUUUUUAUGGUACUUAAAGAGGUACCCUGAGGUAUGUGUUUUUUUAGUGUUAACAUUUUGUGAAAAGAAGGCAGUUUUAAGAAGAAACUUAAUAUCAAAUUAAUAAAUACUAUGCAUCUAAUUAUGUGGAGUCCCAAAGAAAAGGUAGUAACGUAAACAGUCUAGUUCAAGGCAAAUUUGUCCUAACAGGCAUCCACGGUGAUUGAUCAAAUUAAUGCCAUAACCAAUCAAACCAUCGAUGCAUAGAUAGCUAAUAACAGAGAGCUAGAUAAUUGGCACGCAUAAAACUAAUCAUGAUUAGUAAUUUUCGUAAAAUUAUAAUUAUUUAGUCAAAAUUAUCAUUUUGCAACAGUUUUAACCUAACAUGUCAUUAAACUGCUACGAUAACAUGUAACUACUAUUACUUAGUGUCACAAUUUUAUAAGAAGUUGACACAUCUAGGUGUAUUUGACAUGUAUGCCCAACAUGAAACAUGUGUGUUUGAUGGGUGAAUCUAGAUAAUUGUUGCUACUGUAAAAAAAUAAUUUUCGCACACCCCCUUAUUUUCAUGAAUGGGCUAUAAAAGAACCUGUCUACAAAAAUAUACGUGAAGAGCUAGUGGACCAUUAAUAUUUUGCAUGAAGCUAGACGAGCCAUCCUGUGCAUCCCCAUUGGCUGCAACCCUUUUCCCCGCACCUCCACCUUUUUAUCUCAUCCUAUUCCUCCCCUUUUUCUCUUCUUCCCUUGACACUCCUCUCCUCUCCACCAUCCCCUCCACACCGCCUCCCCCAGGGCUGAUUCGCUCCGCCUGCCAUCAUCGUCUCCUUUCCCGCUCCUUGCCUCUUCCCCUUCCCUCUCCCCUUUCUUAGAACGGAGACGUGGUGGACCCAAGGGCCACGGCCUUAGGAAUGGUACAAUAGGCUUCAUGUGACAGCCAUAAUCACGGUAGUGGUGGAUUCCUUGCCUGCAGCAACAGGAGCGGCGGAUCUAUGGGUGAUGGCUAUUAUUGUUUCAGUGUCUAAUAUGCCUUUAAAAUUGUAGGAAAUCAAUAGUAUUAGUUGUUUUUACAAAAUUUACUCAAUUGUGCUACUUUAUGAACAAUGAAUGUAUAUAAAUUGGAGUAAACUAUCUUCACUCGUACGGCCAUACCUAACGAUCAGAAACGAUCAGGAUGGACCAGCCCCACCUAUUUACUCCACGGAGAAAUACGGUCCCACCCAUUCAAUCUAAGAAAUACAUGCACGUGUAUAUUCUGCCCUAUCAUUUUAAUAUCCAUAAAAUAUGCUCCCUGACAUAGUCAAAUUGAAAAAAAAGCUUAUAGGGGUAGGGUUUGCGUGCGUGUGUUCAUAGGGGUGAGUACGCGUGCGUUAUGAGUGUCUGCGUUGUACUGUGUAAUUCUCAAAAAAAAAUGAAAAGAAAGCUGUAGCUACUCGCUACCAGUCCCCCAGCUGCCUUGUGUCUCUCUCACAAGAACAAUAAUGAUUCCCGUCGUUCACCUUGUAUAAAUCGGUUCAUAAGAACGGUAAAAAUGCUAGUGCUACCACUUCUUAAUGUUGGCUUUUUGAAAGAGAUAUGGGUUGUUCAGGUUAAUGUCAUUUUAAACCAUACUAUUUUUUAAAGUAAAAUUGCUAAAUAUGUGUAUCCAUGAAGUUUUUUUUACCAAACUCUCGUAAAUACAUAAAAAAAUACUGCUAAAAUUUGGUAAUAUUGCCAAAUUACCAAAAUUUGGUAAGGUUCAUUCGCUCGUAUCAUUCACUAGCAGAGUAGGUACCUAUCUAGAGUCUAGUGUACACCGCUGGAGAGAUUAGGGCCUCAUCUUUUCGCUUAUCCUUAUGCUUAUCAGCCAAAAUUUAAAUUUUCAACUUUAAAUUUAAAGCUAACUUUGAGGUAUUUUCAUCGAAAUUUAUUUUUUCAGCCUUUAAUUUUAAAUAUCUAGGAACACGUAUAUAAAAGUUAUAUUCACCAAUUAUUUUUCGUUUGCAAAUAUGUUGUUUCGCAUAUUCCUGGACUAAGCGAAACGAUGGCUCUACAGAUCGAAGCCAAAAUUAUCUUUUUUUUAAAAAAAAAACCCAUCGGAGCCAAAUUAUCAACACGUACGAUUCGUCGGAUAUUCGAGAUGAUGGCAAUCUCGCGGCCGGAGAUAUCUGGAAUCGUCCUACUCCUACUCCUAGCUCGCUGUCGCUGGUGUGGUGUUGUGCGGACCGGGAGCGAGAGCCAGCGCGCGAUCGCCGCGUCAACAAUCAAUGUAGGAGAGCGAGGUCGAGAGCGCGCGCGCGGUUGAUGUCGCCGUCGUCAAUAAUUCGUCGGUUGGUUGAUCGCGUCGCGUACGUGGCCCAGAGGCCCCGCGAAGGUGAGAGGUGUGUGCCUCGAUCGUGCACACAUACGCGCGCGCGCGCCCGCGUCGCACCGGAUCGGUAGAGUUUGCCGUCGAAAACGGCGUGCGCAAGAUUGCACGUACGUUAGGCCGCUGGUGCGCUGUGCGGCUGGGUCCGGUCGAGUGGCAGCAGCUACGAGCUGAAGAGAUACAUAUGCAGGUGCAGGGCAGGUUUAAUUAACUGCAUUUCCUUACAUGUACAGGUAUUGAAAAUGCGAGAAAGGGAGUACUUUAAAACCACACAACGUACGCCAAACAUUUCCUGCACUAAUACCCUAAACUCCUAAAGCCAUCCUAUACUCACAUCAAUGGUGAAGUGAACAGGAACGAGAUCCUCACGUAUCAAUAUCUAUAGACACGAUGCAUCGAUAUUAGCGAGUUAUAUGGAUUAACCAGUUUAACUCAAAAGUUUAAACUAAUAAAAAGAUAAGCUCAUCAGGUAGAGUUUUAAACGUGGAACAUGAAUGAGCAGUAACUUUUUAUUUGAUUGCAUGCUAACUAGAAUUCAGACUUGGAACCUUUGGUUUUUAUUGAGUUAUGUGCAUCAAGCAGUUUAUUUAAAAACUUAGAUAAAAUUAUCUAAAGGCACUGGCUUGAUCAAAAUGUGGGUCGCCGACAUAUUUCUUGGUGUCAAUGGCUUUCGGGCAUAGUAAAAGACCAGACCUCUCAACAUUUUUGGAGUUUUUUUAGGCUGUUUACAUAGGUUGGAAACACUAGUACAAGGUUUUAAAUUUCAAGUAAAUAAUGAUGAAAAUUUUCAAAACAGUUUAAAUUUUGAUAAUAAUGUCAUCUAUGCCUCUACAAAAUUUUAGCUUAAAAUAUGACAUGUAUAAAGAUAAACAAAUAAGAUAAGUGCUAUUAACCGGUAAAAUGAACCAUUUUCUAAUAAUUUGGAGGGUUAAAUGAGUAAAGAAAGGAUUAAUAAAAAGUUUGGUGAGUAAAUAAUAAUAUUUUUUUUCUUGUUUUCAAAUUAAGGGUGUGUUUAGUUCGCGAAAAGAAAAUUUUUGGAUAUCACAUCGAACGUUUGAUCGGAUGUCGAAAGGAGUUUUCGGACAUGAAUGAAAAAAAUUAAUUUCGUAACUCGCCUGGAAACCGCGAGACGAAUUUAUUAAGUCUAAUUAUUCCGUCAUUAGCACAUAUAGGUUAAUGUAGGACUUAUGGCUAAUCAUGGAUUAAGGGCCUCAUCGGUUGGCUUUUAUCGUAAUAAGCCAAAACAGCUUAUUAAAGAAUAAAAAUAAAUUUGUAGGUAAAAUUUUUAUAUAUAUGUUCUCGGUGACUUAAAAGCCAAUGCUAAAAAAGAAACUAUGUUGAAAAUAUCUCAAAAUUAAUGUCAAAAUUAAGUUUGAAAAUUCAAAUUUUGGCUUUUUCUUUUGCUGAAUAGGCCAUCCGAUGGACUUAUCUCCUACAAUAUCUACCCUAUAGUUGAACAAAUGGUUUUAUUCAUUCAUCAUUCAUCAUAUCACACAUCCAACGAUCGAAACCAUUUGAAGAAUUUGGAUCCAACGUCCCAGAUCAGCGCGCGUCCCACACCUCCCUCUCUGCCGCAAUCACCGCACAUCCGCGCGACCGCGCGCCUCCCGAUCCGAUCCGAUCCAGAUCGGAUCGCCUCCCCUCCACCCGGAUCCCUCGCCUCCGCGUCGCCGGUCUGCAUUCGCGCCGCCCCCGGUCAGCCCGCGUCGCCGGUCCCCAUCAUCGGCGGCGCCCGACGAGUUUAACCCUUGCGCGGCUCUGCUGGAGUGCGAGUACAAGAACGACGCCGCAGCCGAGAACACGCUGCUCUACUCGGCGGCGUCGGUGGGGGACAUGGCGUUCGUGCAGGAGUUCAUGGACAGGGACCCCUUGCUGGUGUUUGGCGAGGGCGAGUACGGCGUGACGGACAUGUUCUACGCCGCCGCGAGGGGCGGGAACGCCGAGGUGUUCGGGCUGCUGCUGGACCACGCCAUGUCGCCGACGUGCUCGACGAAUUGUCCCAACGGGGAAGGCGCAGCAGCGGUGGUGGCUGCUCCUCGGUGUUCUGGCUGGAAAUGAUGGGCAGGGCAGUCCACGCCGCCGCGAGGGGCGGCAGCGUGGAGAUGCUGAGGGAGCUCAUCGAGCGUCGCUCCGACGUGUCAGAGCAUCUCGACUUCCGUGGAUCCACCGUGCUGCAUGCUGUUGCAGGUAGAGGGCAGCUAGAGGUGACGGUGAGGCAUCUACUUCUUGGCCAUUGCUUACUUCUAUAAAAUGCUUGAUACAGUAAAAUUUUUCUUUGUGCCAAUAUGGAUGACAAAGGUAGAUCCUCAUUUCAUCAGGAUGUCUGGGUGAAAUAUUUCCAAACCCGAUAUCUUUUGACGUUAUGAAACCCAUUUUGCCUUUAGAUGCGCUGCAGGUUAUUAUCUGGUAAUCGAUUUCAACAUAAAUAUUAAAGUUGCUCUUGAUCAUGAGAAAAUAGAUAUAUUAAGGAUCAACAUAAAUAUUAAAGUUGCUCUUGAUCAUGAGAUAAGGAACAAAUUAUUUUCAUUCGUCCUUUCUGAUGAUUAGUUUGAGCUUGGAAGGAUAUUGUUCAGCUAGAAUGCUGCGUGUUACCCAAGUAGAAAUUGAGAUAUGCAGAUAGUUGUAAUUAAAGAACAUUUUUUUAUCUUAUAUAAUAAGCAUACCACGCCCAGAUGAUAAAGGCUCAUUUAGUUAAUAUCGUCAUGCUCAACUCUCCAGUGUAUUAUGAAGCCAAAGAAUAAAUAUAAAGGCCAUACUGAUUUGGCCUCUUUAACAUGGACUUCAAGUUAUGCAAUUCAUGACCGGAUUUUCUUUUGUAAUUUUAAUUAGAAGCAACCCAGCGCUUCCGACUGAGAUGGUUGUGGGACGACUGGUAGCGCCCAGCGGUUGAGUUCUUGGGCGAAGCGGCAAAAUGGCUCGCGAAGGCCAGCGGCAGCUGGAGAUUGACGAUGAAGAAGCGGUCGGUGGAAUUUCUCUUCUCCAUAGCCAUUUAGCCUCUCCUUUCAAGAUAACUCUGUACGCUUGAUGCCCCUCUAAUAAUAGCUUAGGAUUUUUUGAGGCAUCGAUAGCUGCAAUCAGUGCUCAUGUCAUCAUUCAAUGACCUGUAACAAUUUUGAAAGAACUAUGUUGGGCACCAGAUGAACCCAGGCAGAUGUUCUUUGGAUCGGUUUUUGUACACCACAAGGUUCUAUCUGCAGGAAAUUUAACAAAAAAUAAACUGGCCAACUAUAUUCGCUAUGCAAUGGAGUUUAUGGUGAAAGCUCAGUUGCUUUUUGUUCCAUAUAAUAUCCUUGAAUUGUAGUCUGAAACCAACUUCUUAAUAUAAUGGGCAGAGCUCCAACCUUUACUUCAGAAAAAGAGAAAAAGUCACCUUCUCCUAACUUACCCACUGUGUUGUUUUUUCCAUUCACAUGCGUUUGCAGCUUGGCAACUAGAGGAGGAGCUGACUUCUAGAUUGAUCUGCUCUCUUAUUUUCCAACAAUGAGCAUUUGUUACAGGCAAUGAGCUUGUACAGCAAAAAAGGCUCAAAUAUGAAACCAUCUGUUACAGCUUAUAUGUGUUUGCAUUGAAUUAGCAAGUACAACAAAGAAGGCUCAAAUUUCCCUUUUGUUAUUGCUAAUACUUCAUGAGCUUAUGAAACUAUUUUAGUAAAAUUCAAUUCUCUCAAUUCCUUGGCGAUUGCGCCAAAAACGCAAGUUCCAUUUGGAUUCCCUUUUUAUCAAUGAUAACCGCAGCAUUGUUGUCAUAGCGUAUUAUUAUACCGUCUUCGCAUUUGAACUCAGUAGUUCCUCAUUGAAAAUUAGACUCUGGAUAUGGUAAUAUGGAGAAUACAAAGUGGUUUGAAGCGCCCCUUGUUUUAAAGAGAUGACGAGUUAUUCAUAUUCAAUUUGAUGGUCAGAGGACAAUCUGUAGUCGCGCCGCCAUCCCUCCUGCCGAUCUCCAGCAACGCACGGCUGCCUAAAGCGCCACUGCCGCCGUCUCUCCAAACUGCACUCACGCUGUCUCUUUGUCAUCGAAAGGUCCUGCGUGCACGCUUCCUAAACUAUUAGACGGGGCAUUUUUUAGCCAGACAGAUAGAGAGGUAAAUAUUAACAGGGAGGGGAAAAAUGUAGAAAGGUGAGCCGAUACGGUGAACAUAUCAUAUAAUUUCUUUUCCUCACAUAAAAUUUUCAAAGUUAUUAAAGACAAUGGAAUUGCACCGUAGCGUUUAGCACGAACAUAUUACUAGUUAAUCAAAGUUAGUUUUCUACCAAUCACAUAAAACAAACUUCUCUCUUUUUUUAGGAAACUUAUAUUUAUUUCUUGAUAGAGAAGGAAACAUGUGGGAUUUUACCUCCUCAUCGGCAAUGGGCAGUGGCCGAUACAAUCAACCAACAAUAUAAAAAAUUGUCCCUGACAAUUUUUAGCCGUCAGGGCUAAUUCAGUUUCUGAUAGUGAUUAGCCUAUUAGUUUGGUUGUAUCUAUAAAUAUUGAAACAGUAUAUCUAUCACUAAAAUCAACUUGGUGAAAAUUUGUAUCGAGGUAUUAUAUAUAUUUGUCGCCAAUAUUUUUCAUAUGAACCGUUAUGCGUUUUUUUAUAUAUAAGGGGUUUCAAACUUUCCCGAGCAUUUAUUGUACAAAGAGUUGUGUUCGGGAGGAGGGGUUCCCAACAACGAAGCUUGUAUUAUUGCAUGAUUAAUUAAGUAUUAACUACUUUUUUAAAAAAAAUGGAUUAAUAAUUUUUUAAAACAACUUUAAUAUAGAAAGUUUUUGAAUAAAUCAUACUGUUUUGUUUUGCAGUUUGAAAAGCGUGCGAAAAACGAGAGGGUUAGGAAAAUGGGGGGAAGAACAUAGCCAAGGUGUGCAUCGGAAAUCAUGAAAUGUCCGAUGACAAAGUAAUCCCACUACACGAGUUAUUCAUGAAAACAUUAACAAGGCCGCACAUAUUCGGACUUAUUCUCUGAAUGCAUCACAGAGACGGAUUCAGUGCUACGUAGGUGUCCCGGAUCGUACCCAACCGCGCGCGGGCGCGAUGAGAGAACAUCACGAAAUAAACACGCAGAAAACAUCACGAUCGAAACAGACAACACACACGCACAAAUCGCAUAUCACAACAAGGGUUAAUUUGUCUUCUUGAUCGAUCGAUCGAUCGAGCUCAGAUUUCCAUGACCGCUUCGAGCAGCUGGUCGAUGGCGUCGGCGGCGGCGUAGGAUUUGGUGGAGUUGGUCUUGAGCAUCCACUUCUUGAAAGGGUGGAAGAGGAUGUCGUCGCCGCAGGUGUACGGCUUCCUCGGGCUGGGGCACUCCACGAACGUCUUGGCGUCCUCCGCGACGCAGACGUAUAUCUGGUAUAGCUGGAACUUGUUGAACGGGCCCUUGCUGCACUGGAUCAGCGCCGGCGCGCCGAUCCCCUCCUCGAUCACCUCCUUGAUCUUCUUCACGCUGUACAGCCCAAAGUCCGGCUUAAUACCUGCAUACGCGCAGUAUAACAAACUGGUCGGUGCAUGAAGCUCAAAUCGUGUAAUCGUGUCGUUUUUGUUAUCAGCGUAGUAGUACUAUAGUAUGUUACGUUUGUACGUGUGUGGUGGUGUGCGUGCGUGUUUUUUUAUUUUUUAGUGUACCGUUGCUGACGAGGCGAGAAAGGGGGUUGAUCUUGUCGCGGAGGGCGAGGGCGGUGUCAAAGUAGGCGCUCUCGGUGAGGUCGGAGCAGACGCCGGACGUCUCCCACGCGUUCUUCCAGCCCUUCUGGCCGCUCUUGCUGGGGCACCUGAUGUUGUUCCAGUACUGCAUCAGCCUCGUGACAUCCCCAAUCUGCAGUACACAUCACAUCCCAUGAUAAAUAAAUGAGCAAUUUUACAGUCCUUGAGAAGAGUACUAUAAGGUACUUUCUUCGUUUUACAAUAUAAGUCAUUCUAGCAUUUCUCAUAUUCAUAUUAAUGUUAAUGAAUAGAAUUUCAUUAACAUCAAUAUGAAUAUGGAAAAUGCUAGAAUGACUUACAUUGUGAAACGGAUGGAGUACCAGGUACUAUGAGGUAUCAAAUUUUACACUAAAUUUUUGGUACCUCAAGGACCGUAGAAUAGUUCUAAAUAAAUAGAAUCAACCAAAGAGUAGAUCUAGUCAAGUUUGUAUGUAUUGAUGUAUAUAUACACAUACUUGGUUCAUGUCGAAUGGAGUGUUGCUGCAGCUGGACAGGGAAGAGUUGGUGGUGGCGUUGUAGACCGUGAAGCCGGCGACGUAGAAGUCGGACGCCGGCGCGACGUCGGUCUUCGGCAUGCAGCAUCCGGCCUUCGUCUGCGCGCAGUACGCUCCCGGCCACUACAUGUGCAUCCAUAUCCUUAAUUAAUCACGUUAUUAUUGUUGCCAGAUCUAGUGAGUGUUUUAAUUGCUACUACCAUGAACAAGCAAGAACAAUAAAAGAUGCUGCAAGAACAAUCAAGUUUCAGCAAAUACGGACGAAUUAUUAGGUGGUAGCUUUCAUGAGGUGAUGGGUGGCCAUAUGGUUAGCUGCACGCCGUCGACAAGGUCAGUAUGGGUUAUCACAAAUUUUGCAUGGAUGAUCAGUUCGUGUCUCGACAAAUUAAAACCGGUGGUCCAUGUUAAGCAAAACGUGCGUUUUUCCUCUUUUUUUUCAAAAUAAAAUCCUUAGUUUAUUUGCAGUGUCCACAUCUGUCGUCCUCGAGCUUUGUUCGCCACGUUUCAGAAUUCAGAUUUAAAAAUGCAAUAGGUGUAGAUCAUCAGAUGUGUUUUUUUUUACGCGAAUCAGAUGUGUUAUUUCCUCUUCUGCUAUUAAAAAUCUGAUACAUGCUGGUGAUGAUAAAUCUCGACGGUUAUAUUUCUCCCUUUGCAUAUUUAGAGAACGGUCAGUUAAUUUAAUUAAUUAACAGCUUUACCCAUGCGACUGAAAACUGAGCUGGGGGGUCAUGAAUCAAUUAACAAUCCUGCCUGCAAAUGUUAGUCUCUCUAUAAAAUAGAAACGAAAAUAAAACUCAAAUAUAACAGGUGAGUUCAGAGUUUGCACGUAUUUAAAUCGAUCAUCUACAAAUAGCUACAGGGCUUAAUUAAUCUGUGCAUCCAUACCAUGAAAGUAAUCUGGUAGAAGAUUUUGUCAUCUUUGGCAGCAAUGGCAGCCGGUGAGGCUGCUACCAGCAGCAAGCCAAGAAGGCAGAGCAGAGCUAUCCUGCCGGAAGCCAUAUCUGUGGUCUGUGGAGAAACUCAACUGGAAUUGGCCUGCAAUUCAGAUGAGAAAUCGCCGCUGCGAUGAGGAAUGGAGGGGGAGCACGGUGGUAUUUAUAGGCCGGCCUACGUAUGUAGGACGGGCAUACAUCAUGAGAAGCAUACCUACCUACACAGCGGCGGGUCUGUUCAGAUUAUAGCCAAAAUGAACCUUAUCAAUUUUUGGCAAUUUAACAAUAUUGCCAAGUUUUGACAUGAUUUCUUAUAUAUUUACUAGAGUUUGAUAAAAGAACUAAAUUGAUGCACAUAUUUGAUCACUUUACUAAAUUUUGGUAAGGUUUAUUUUGGCUACAAUCUGAACAGGCCCUUCGUUCUCGUUUGGACGGGUUACUCCCUCCAUCACAAAGAAUGAUCAAAUUUUAUCCAUUCAUACCUACUAAUACAAAACCAAAAUAAAGUAGAAUAUCUAUACUUUAUCAAAUCCCAACACAAAUAUUCUUCACUUUAUCUACUCACAGUGCAGUUAUUCUUUACUUUCACAAAGUUUGGUGCAAUGAUUAUUAAAAGUAAAUUUAUUUUAGGACAAAUAAAAUGAGCUAAAAGUAAACUUAUUUGGGACGAAGAGAGUAUGUACACAGUACACUCCUGUCGGUCUCUAUCUUUUUGUUACUACUCCAACCCAUAGUAUAACAACAUAAUACUAAAUGGAAGAGAUCUCCUUUUAGUUAUCUGAAUGGUCAAAAUUUAAAUUUUAAAAUGUUUGGAUUCUUUCUUUUAAGUGGCUAAAAAUGCAUUCUCCUGCACUAAAAUUAGUGUCUUAGAGUAUUUAUAUUGUGUAUAAAUUUAAAUCCUAGAAAACCUUAUAUUUGGGAGGGGAGAAAACAGUAGUUCCUUGUCUCAUGCUUUUUGUUUUUCUUGAGGAAAAGAUAAAUUAUUUUUCACGCAAAUAAAUAAAAAAAAUGUUCAUGUAGACACAAGAGCAGAUAAAUUAUGACCGUCAUAACGAUGCUAGACAUCGCAUGGCAUUGAAAGUUCAUCCAACAGAUAAGAGGUCUUCAUAGCGAUGGUACACACUAUAGCCUUAAUUUCGUUCAUCACACACCUGUAAUACUGCAGUAAUAUACACUCUGUGCAUCCAUGAUUGCUGGCUGUCACAUGUACACAGAGAGAGAAAGCAAACGUGCCAUCCUAACACGUCCCCUACCUGCCAGUGACAACGGCACCUACCACCGGACCGGCCGUGACAUCCAAAUCGACGUAGCACACGUUGGCAACGACGCGACACCGGCCGCCCACGGCCACCUGACGGGGAACGUGCGCGGCGCCGCGGCGCGCGCGUCCUCGAUGCUCCACCUCCAAGUCCAAGGGACGGUUAAUCACUAUCUCCGUUCAAAAAAUAAUCACUAUCUAUGACCUGAAAUACAAAAUGAAUAUAGGUAUUAAGAGCAAGUACUAUAGGCAGCCAAACACAAGCUCAAGAUGUCACAUAUGACUAAAUAAUAAGGUGGAUGAGAGAAGAAAGAUGAGAGAGAAAUAGUCACCUCUUAUAUAAGGGGCAACCCCUACACAAACUUCAAUAAACAUGUGAGAGUGUUAGAGAUAUUAGAGAUUGUAUGAUAGAAGUAACCUAUAAUACAUGUUACUUCUUAAUUUAGUGGUGUAUGUCAUGCAUGAAAUUGAAUGUGGUAGUCACCUCUACUAAACUUGCCCUAAUGGGCGAUCGAUCGCUGGGCACGAUCGGUCCCCCUCCCCACAUCGAUCACCCCCUCCUCCACGUGGUUUUCUUUUUUGGUACCGCAUUACUUUCCUAUUUUUAGUAAAUUUAUACACCUAAAGUUUGUACACCUUAAGUUUACACAUCUAAAUUUUAUACACCUAAUUAGAGACCAAAGUAUAUAAGUCAAAAGUUUAUAUACCCGAUUAAAAUUUGAAUUUGAAUUCAAAUAUUUUUUAUAUAUAGUAUUUCUAUACAUAUAAAAUUUAUACACCUAAAGUUUAUAGACCCAAAAUUUAUAAGUCAAAAGUUUACAUACUCGAUUCAAAUUUAAAUUCAAAUAUUAGUUUAUAGACCAAAGUUUAUAAGUCAAAAGUUUACAUACAAGUUUCAAAUUUGAAUUUGAAUUCAAAUAUUUUUUAUACAUGGUAUUUUCAUACAUAAAAAUUUCUAACUUUGUUUUCUUAUAUUUUUUUAAAAAAAUUUAUGGUGUAGUAGGAAGAGAAUAAGGGAAGGAGGAAGGGGCAGAGAAGCGUAUGAGGGGAUGGGGGUGGGUGAUCGCUGUGGGCGAGAGAGAAUGGAGGUCCGGGUAGCUGCACUCCCCUCCGUUAACCCCGUCUAUUAACUCCCCACAGUGCGACACGUCAGCAAAACCGGGCAAAAACUGAGUCAAUACUGCCAAGGGACCUUCUACGGACGGUUUUAGUAAUUUUAGGGUUACACAUUUCUAGCAUUCUAGUUAAGGGACUUUAAAAAAUCUCGGUGUUAAUUUAAGGGACCUCUGGUGAACUUAUUCCUUAAGAGAUACAAAUCAGAUCCGACCACUUUAUUCCCGGAAUAAGAUCACUUUGACUCCCUCAACUGACCACCAAAUCUAAAUCGUAUCCCUCAACCGCAAUACCAGAAAUCUUGACCCCCGAACUUACAAAACCAGUGCAAUUUAACUCCCUCGGUGGUUUUGGAGGGUGGUUUUGCUGACGUGGCGCAUAUGUGGCAGUGUUGACCCGGUCUUUGUGCCACGUGGCAUUGACGUGGCGCUUAUGUGGCAUUAAAAUAAAAAUAUAUAUGCGGGGCCCAUUUGUCAUUCACAUAAAAAAAUAUAUGGGACCCACUAACAUGUAGGUCCCACAUGUCAUCCUAUCUUAUCCCUUCUUCCUCCUCCCUACUCUAUCUCUUCUUUCUCUUUGUGCGUGGGGAGGGGCGUCCGGAUCGGCGGCGGCGACGCCGGGCAAUGGCCGGUGCGUGCUCGCGCCCUUCACCGCCGCCGCCGCCGGGGAAGGCGGAAAUGGCGGGGGCGGCGGAGGGAGGGAGCGAACCCUACCACAAGGCGCCACCGGAGGACAGCGAUCAACAUAUCUCCUCAUCCACGGCAUGGCGUGGUGGUGCCUCGCCGGAGUGCGCGGCGGCGCGUAGGCGUAGCAGCUCAGCUUAGGCUUCGCCCUAACUCUGGAUCCCAAUCCACCAUGCGGCGUCUCUACCUCUACGAAUCAGGUCAGGCUUCGAUCCCCAUUCGCUCGUGCUCUCGUUGGCGUGGAACAACAGGUGCAAGAAGCUGGGCAAGCUGGCCAAGAUGUCCAGCGCCGACGUGGAAGGGGCCGAGAAGGUGGAGGAACUCCAUCUCGUGAUGGAAGAGUAGCUGCCUAGCUAGAUGCUGCAUGGUUGAUUGGUUUCAAGUAAUUUCAUGGGUCUUUUGUUUUUUGAGACAGUCCAUUUUGCUCAGUUUGAUGUAGUGAUGUUUAUGGCGUGCAAAGUCUGAGGACUUCUCUCAUUUUGCUCAGAGAGAAUUAAUCCAUUUUGUGCAGAGUAUGAGGACUUGUCAAGCAAAUGAUUUUAACCAAACAUUGCAAAUGAUUUUGUGCAGAGCCUGCCGCCGGCUCAUGUAAGGGCGGGAGAGAGAGAGAAAUAAGGGAGAGAGGAGGAAGAAGAAGGGUAGUGAGAGAGAGGAUGACAUGUGGGACCUACAUGUUAGUGGGUCCCACAAUUUUUUUUAAUGACAAAUGGACCCACAUAUAUUUUUUUCUUUUAAUGCCACCUAAGCGCCACGUUAAUAUCACGUGGGAUAAAGACCAGGUCAACAUUGCCACGUGUGCGGCCACGUCAGCGAAACCGCCCUCCAAAACCACCAAGGAAGUCAAAUUGCACCGGUUUCGUAAGUUUAGGGGUCAAGAUUUCUGGUAUUGCGGUUGAGGGAUACGAUUUAGAUUCGGUGGUAAAUUGAGGGAGUCAAAGUGAUCUUAUUCCUUUAUUCCCUGCAAAUCGUCCCAGGCCCAUAUAGAAAAAGUUGGUCCAACAGAAUCGUAACGCAAAACGAUUUCGAGCUCGUCGGCCCAUCCAGGAAGCCUACCACAUCAAGCCUGCGAGUCUGCGACGUCUUCUUCUUCCCCAAGAAGCAGCAGCAGCAGCCCAACUAGUCUUCGCUCCCCACCAAGCUCCGCCACCGCCGGAACCCUAGACCCGCCGGCGAUGGCCCGCUACGACCGCGCCAUCACCGUCUUCUCCCCCGACGGCCACCUCUUCCAGGUCGAGUACGCCCUCGAGGCCGUCCGCAAGGGCAACGCCGCCGUCGGCGUCCGCGGCUCCGACACCGUCGUCCUCGGCGUCGAGAAGAAGUCCACCCCCAAGCUCCAGGACUCCAGGUACCCAUCACCUCCUCGCGACCUCUCUCCCCAUACACCCCCAUAGAUCUCAUCUCGCCGGUGGGGGAUUCGAUUCGCAGGUCGGUGCGCAAGAUCGCUAGCCUGGACACCCACAUCGCGCUGGCGUGCGCGGGGCUCAAGGCGGACGCCCGCGUGCUCAUCAACCGCGCGCGGGUCGAGUGCCAGAGCCACCGCCUCACCGUCGAGGACGCCGUCACCGUCGAGUACAUCACGCGCUACAUCGCCGGCCUGCAGCAGAAGUACACCCAGAGCGGCGGGGUCCGCCCCUUCGGACUCUCCACCCUCAUCGUCGGAUUCGACCCUUACACCGACAAGCCCGCGCUGUACCAGACCGAUCCCUCCGGCACCUUCUCCGCGUGGAAGGCCAACGCCACGGGGAGGAACUCCAACUCCAUGAGGGAGUUCUUGGAGAAGAAUUACAAGGAGACCUCUGGCAAAGAGACCAUCAAGCUCGCAAUCCGUGCUCUCCUUGAGGUAUUUUUUGUUUCUCUUGCUUCCUCAGCAGUUUAUUUGAUGUCAAUUGUAGACUACAAAUAGUGCUUGACAUGAUUUAGGAAUAACCAGAGGUAGAACGAUAUAAAUAACAGACAUAUGAAAUGUACUCCUGAUUUGACCUUGCUGGCUUGCUCAUCUAUCAACAGUGUCAUGGUGAAAUCAAUUAUGUUUGAAGAAAUUAAUUAAUUGUAGAAGUUGUAAGAGUAAUGUUUUCCCAGUGGUAAUUUGUAAUGCUGAAUUGUGUGGUUCAUUAAGAUAAAUGUAUUUGAAGUGCCCCUGGGAAUAUUAAAAUCUAGACAUUGGGUGCAAUCUUUUAUAUACCAUACCAUAACCCAUCCAUGGAGAUUUUACUUUUGUAUGUCUUGCCACUGUAUGUUUGGAGUAUUCUGAACCCAAAUUGACAAAGCCUAGUGUGCUUUGUCAAUCUACACAACUGAAGUUCCUUAAACCUUGUUGGUAAAAAUCUCUGGUACACGUGAAUCUUCUAAUAACACACUUGUAAAAUUCUUCUAUAGAACGAGUGUUAUGGAUAACAACCAUUUUAAUUAAGAAAACCACAAAUUAUAGGGAGUUUUUAUUGAAUCCCGUCUUCUGAAAGGUCUGUGACUUUAGGCCUAUUGUGCAAUUAUUAGAUGAUCCUUCACAUCCUCUGGCGUUCUGCUCUGAUUCCAAGAAUGUACAUAAGCAUGAUACCAGAUUUAACAAAUUGAGGGAUUUCAGGACCUAAAUUCUUAUAUUUCAGGACCUAAAUUCAGAUUUAACAAAUUGAGGGAUUUCAGGACCUAAAUUCUUAUAAAUUUCAGAAGCCUGAUGCUUUAAUUAAUUUUGUCACAUGCAUCAUAUUUGUUUCCAGUAUAGGUUGCAUCCGAGUGUUCAGGCUCUCUAUUGUCAUAUCCUCUCAUGGUAUUUGUAGACUAUGACUAAAAACUUUGUAGUAAGAUGGUUGAGUGUAUGCCUUAUGCAGAGGCUAUCUAGAAAAAAAUGCCAUCUCAUGGUUAAGUGUGACCAUGUGAACAUGACUUAUUUUUCACUACUUGAACUCAUUUGUCUUUGGCCUAUGCCACUACGCUAGUAUGGUAUUUGGUUGCAUUUAUUUAGAUUGUUUUUGUCAAGCAAUUACUGACGAACUGACAUAAAUUGCACAGGUUGUUGAGAGUGGCGGAAAGAACAUCGAGAUUGCAGUGAUGACACAGAAGGAUGGUCUUCGCCAACUCGAGGAGGCUGAAAUCGACGAAUAUGUUGCUGAGAUCGAGGCAGAGAAAGCUGCAGCUGAGGCUGCAAAGAAGGGUGCCCCUAAGGAGACCUAAUUCUUCGCUGUACCAAAUUUUCAUUCCAUCAACACAUUUAGCGCAUUACUUGUGUUCCACAGCACUGUUUUUAACUGUUCUAGAGGAACGCUAGAUUGUUUGGAGAGUGAAUGAUUCUAUUCUUAUUGCACAUCAAGAUCCCUUAGACCCAAAUGCCUUGUGAUGUACUUGUUUUCUAUAUACAUGGCUUCUUUUGAACAAAAGGCUCCUUAGGCUGACUGUAGACUUCAUUAAGUCUUGAGGGCAACUGUCAAAUCUUGUGGAGCAUGAUGUUUCCGUUUCUAAUCUUUGCUAGAUGCCUAGAUGUUGUGCAGCUCAGAUUAUUCAUCAUUAGCUCUUAUGAUUUCCUUUAUCUGAAAUUAUUGUAAGAUAAUCCAUCAUUAUUGUAAGGGCAAUCUGCACCCCAGCACGUACGAGCCGAGGCCUGGAAAACAGAUCGGGCCCUAUGCUAACCGCAGGAUACACACCCAUGGCUUAUUAAGCUGCAACAAGAAAUAUAUUGUCAAGCAACAUGAUGCAUCGCACUUGUCCUCCCAUCUGUCCUUUUUUUACAUGCCUGAAGUUGUCAUCUUCAUCUGAUGACAAAACUGAUUUUCUUGUCAGGCUUCAGAAUGCAUCCCAAGUAGGGCAACUGCUUUUGUUGUAAGAUUCAUAAUGCUCCCGUCUGUCCUUUUUUUUUUUUUACAUGCCUGAAAUUGUCAUCUUCAUCUGAUGACAAAACUGAUUUUCUUGUCAGGUUUCAGAAUGCAUCCCAAGUAGGGCAACUGCUUUCGUUGUAAGAUUUCAGAAUGCGUGUCCCAGCUAGAUGGUAGCAUUGCAUCACCUGCCUUUGCUUUUCGUUCUUUUGGCUGAAGACAACAGGGAAGCUUCAGGGUCGGCUGUUAUAAGAACAACGAUAUGUCGAUAUGCCACAGAUCAAUAGAUGAUACAUUGCAUAUAUAGGUAGAAUUAGAAGGUUUUCUUUAGGCAUGGAGGCUGCCAAGGUGCAGUUGUUCUUGUGCCUCCUGCUACUGCUGUUCAUGCCAAUCUUCUUUGCUCCAAGUAAGCCCAUGUCUUGAAACAAAUAAAACCAAUGACGAAUAAAUGAAACCAAAUCCUCCAAUAUUUUUUAUCUAAAAUAACAAACAAAAUUAUUUACUGAAGAACUAAACCAAAACUGAAGGAAACUUCCUUUUCCUUUUUCUGCAGGCUGUGGGAACAAGGAAGUCUGCGAGGAGUGGACGAGCGACAUGUACAGGAUGUUGUUCUUGUGCAGAAGCACGAGAUGCAACCAGUACUGCGUCAGCGAGGGCGCCACGAGGGGGAGAUGCGGUUUCUCAUCAGAUCCUUCUGCUACUGCACUAAAGAAUGCGACUGAAUGUCUGAAUUUUGUUCAAGCCUGUAAUGGGAACUAACAUGAUGAUUAAUAAUGGCACAAGGUUCAGAUCUUAUAAGGAGGUUGCUGAAUCCAUGAACAUUUGAGUAUGUUGUAAUGUGUAGAUGCAGCCUUAAUGUUUGUUCUCUGAGAUGGUUGUUGCAUCAAAUUCUUUCUGCUAUGCUAAUGGAUUUCAGGUUGUUAUGCCUUCUUCUCUCUCUGCACUCAAUUUUUGCUCUGAAGAUUUAUAGGCCUGGUUUAGUUCCUAACUUUUUCUUCAAAUUUCCAACUUUUCCAUCACAUCAAAACUUUCCUACACACACAAACUUCUAACUUUUCGGUCACAUCGUUCCAAUUUCAAUCAAACUUCCAAUUUUGGCGUGAACUAAACACAAAGUCUAUUGUCUCCUGCUGCUCAUGCCACUCAUCUGGACCCUGUUUAAUUUAUGGUGUAGUAAACUAGUAACUAGGUGCAGAGUUGGUUUCAAUGCUCAUUGGUUCAGUAGCAUCUGGAAUUCCGGAACCCUGUUUCUGCUGAUCAGUUUAUUGACAAUGACAUUUAUGUGUUUGGCAGUUGUGUUUACCUGUUUAAGGCAUAAGGCAGACAAAGUCAUUUGUAAAUGAUUUGCAUUGCUUUCUCUCGUGCCUUGUGGGCUGUCACUUCUGUGUGCCUUUUUCAGCGGUGCUCCGAUGAUUUCACCGUUUGAAUUGGGCACAUAUUAAUUUAUUUAUACCUGAACCUUACGUAAGUACCUGCCAAAUAUUAAAAACAGUCUUCCAUUGUACUCGUGCUUGCUAAUGUCACCUGGAAACAAAUAAUAAUCUCACCUGAUAAUGCCGGUUUAAUUUUGAUUUCUUGGUGUGUGUAACUUCUUCAGCUAAUCUGAUAACGCUGCUGCUUUCUGCAACUCGUCAUCUCUGCACUCAAGAGUCAAUGGACAAGUUGCAAUCUUGCGAGAGCCACGCUCUCUUUUCAAUUUCUAUCCAAAGGUAGAGCAAACCUGAAAGCAAGAAGCUGAAUUUCGCAGAUGCAUAUCUGAAUAUUCUAACGGCUUCAGUUUCAGAUUCAGGAAACAGCCAACAUAACUGCUCCUACUGUGCUUCGUCAGGCAAGCGACUUUCUCCAUCCAGCACAUCGCCAUGUAGCAUCAUCAUCAUCAACAGCUGCUGCUGCUGCAACAAUGCCCUUUCUUAUACGGAAAUAAUACUGCGUUCGAGUCACUGGUGCCAUUGAAAAAUAGCACCAAUCUGACGUGCUGAAAUACACAAAUGGCUGUGGAAUUCUAACAUAAAAUAUUUUUAGGAAACACAACCCACAUAUUGAUGUAUAUACAUACACCAAGCUUGCCCACAAGCAAUAGCAAGGCAUCUGCAGCCGACUUGUAUCUGUGACGCCUUCACGAGCUUUUAGCAGCUGCAGGCUGCAGCUACUCAUUAAAUCUCUAAUUCUUUAAGGGUGCGUUCGUUUCAUGGACAUUGAGUGAGAUAGCACAUCGUUUUCCGCGCGCACGCUUCCCAAACUACUAAACGGUGUGUUUUUUUACAAAAAUUUUCUAUAGUAAAGUUGCUUUAAAAAAUCAUAUUAAUAUAUUUUUUGCAAUUUAAAAUAGUUAAUACUCAAUUAAUCAUAUGCUAAUGGUUCACCUCGUUUUGCAUAUCUUUCUAAUCUUUUUAAUCCCCUAUUCCUCAAACUCACCCUAAAUGACAUAGAUUCUUGUCAAGAUUCAGACUCGCUAACUACAAUAUCUCAAAAUAAGUUAGUAAACCGCUUCUCAGAAUCUUCAGCUCCUCCAACCUCUAAAGCUUAGUAACUUGCUAGCUACUGUAGAUAUUACCGUAUUAGUAAGUUGGGUCUGAGCCCUUGGAUCUCGAUUGGACGGUGGAUACACACACCCCGAUUAGCAAUAUAAGUACGGUGAUUCGCAUGCAAUUGCGAUUGAUCAGCUGAUCUGAUGCACCGGACGCCGUUACACAAUCACAUUGACGUGACAGGGUGCUGUCACUCUUAGCUGCUUGCUUUUUUCGAGAAGCAGAUAAUUAAGCAAAAAUAAUCAGGCACAACAUUGGGCAAUUUGGUCGUAACCUUCUCCCCGUUCUGCACCAAGUUUUAGACGUUGAUACAAUAUAUAUAUGCUGAUGCUGCUAAUGGGUAGCUGGCCUGUACCCAAAUAGCUACAGCAAUAAAACUUUUUUUAAUUAUUUGAAAAAGCAAUAUACUUUUCAACACGUUGGAAGCAACUAGAGUUGACCAGAGGGGAGGAGACAGUGGGGAAGGAGGUGUGACGCAGUAAUGGGUAAUGACAUUAUGUGUUAAUUAACCAUUUUCUUAAGAAACUGGAAUUAACAAUUGAUUAAUUCUUAAUUUGGUGGCAAUCCAUUGUCGAUUGAUUACCUUGCCAGAUCAGGAAAAGGGAGCCCACGGUUUCGGAUAAGACUGGAGGCGCAGUGGGUCCCACCCCUUGCCUCGCAUUGGCACCCGACCAGCCACUGCCUCGCUCCAUGCCAUGUGGGGCCCACCACGGCCCGGGCCCACAGAAGAGGACACGGACAGAAAGGGAAAGUUGCAGCACCGGUACCAACCAACCCAAUCUAGGCUAUCAACUGGUUAUACUACCUGGGAAAAUUGAUCUAGCUUAGCAAUGAGAAUAUUAAUUUCAUGAAAAAAAUGAUUUGGUUAUGGAAAAUUUAAAACCAUAAUAGUGCAGUGGUUAUGGAUCUCUCAAAAUUUCAUACUACAGUAGUAGAAAACAAUAUUCAUUUGGUGUCGAUCCGAUCAGGUUGGUUUAACUGACAAUCAGAUCAUAUCCAUCGACCAAAUUAGUGGUAGUACGAGCUAAGUGGUACGGCUGUGUUUCCUCUAGCUUAGACAUAAUUUUAUUUGGAGUAGGGUCAAGCAGUCGCAAGAGCUAAUCAUACAAUUAGCCAGAGGUUGAGCAAUUACCAGACACCGAAAUCCUCCAAACCUAUCACACUCCAUGAACCCCAUCAGGACAUCACACACUGAGAGACAAAUCACAGCGUUAAGUCAAAGCAACCAUCAACUCCCUACUCCACAAUACACAUGUAAAGUAAAAAAAUUAAUCAAAGAGACAAAUCAAAACCAAAUAAACUAAUUAAUCAAAUACUCUCUGUGUUUCAAAACAUAGAUAUUUAUAGGUUAUUUAGCAAAUACUAAGAUUAAAAGAGAAAAAAAAUAUUUACUUUCAUUUAUCUUAGUGGCCAGUUUUUAAGUUACCUAUAUUUUCUAUGAAAUCAAUGUCUCAGAGAUGCUUAUAUUUGGUAAGAGUAUAAAUUCUGAAUCCUAAACGUGCUUAUGUUUUAGAAAGAAUGGAGUAAUUAAUCAAUUAUAUAGCAAACACACCAUGCAUGUAAUUAGGUGUGCCACACAAAUAGCCAAAACUCUCAUUAUGCUUGGAGAUUUUGGUCCAAGAUUCGCCUUGCAAGUAGCUAGGAUCAGCAAAUGAUUAUUGCCGUGAGAGGGGCAGCAGCAACGGGAAAAAGGCAACUUUACGGCCGUGACAAGGUAGCUUAGGGCAUGCAAAAUGCAAGGGAGAUAAGGUUGUUGCAUAUAUAUAUGAUCACUACAUUGGAGGUGAUGGAGAUGCAGCUAGCGGCGUCGCUUUCCUGCGGCACCGGUCGGUGGCAGCGUUAGUUUCCAGGUAGGAGAGGAUAAGGAGAGACGGCAGCUAGCAUAUGCAAUAGCAACCUCAGUCCUACGUGUGCGCACACUUGGACUCACACCUAACGGCACUGUUGGUGACUCAGCGGUGUAUGUCCUCAUCAUGUUUGGGUUAUACUUUUAAGACAGGUUAUAUAGUAUUACUCACCCGUCCUAAAAUAUAAGGAAUUUUAGAUAGAUAGAACGCGCGUAUCCUUGAGUGAGAGAGAGCGCCGAGACGACACAAAUAGAUGGCAUGGAGGAGUGUUGUCAACGACCCCAUAUUUCUUGUUACAUCGGACGCCCGCUGUGAAAUGUUUUCAUCGUAUUUGAGAAGGGACUCUAAUAAGAGAAAUAUUAUGGUCCUUGGAAAAGUACCUCGAGUCACCUAAAUUUUACACUAAAUUUUCUGAUACCUCGAAGUACUUAAUACUUGGAAAUAUGCGUGCGGUAGCAUAAAAUACCAUGAAAACAUUAACCCCGUCUAUACAACAUGACACUCAGCACAUAUGUUAAGCAAAACUGCAGAUCUAAUAUUUCAGUAUAUAUUGGAGCCAAAUAGCCAAUGAUAUCCGGCUAAAAUAACCUCACAUCAUGCAGCUGAAGUUCUUGUGUCAAUCAGGCCGCAAGUGUGCAGCACUGCCCUGGUGCACAAGGGUGAUUGAGGUGGUUACUCCACUUGGGUUUACAAGUGCCUCUCUUGGCUGGUACACAUCGCACACAAACAGUGCAAAGAGAGUUGGCGCUAUUUAUGAUAUUUUAGGUUUGCUGUAGAUGAGAUAUUUAUGGCCUCUGCCAAACAAGCACAAAGUGGUGCCAAGCAUGCACACAUCACUACUGAACUUUUGACCUUUUCCCUUUGUAGAGCUGAGUAGAUAGAUAUUUUCAAAAGUCUUAAGUUUCAAAGGUGUUAUUCAUUUCAGCUACUUUAUUGAAUUAUUGUCGUAGAUUAUUUGUUCCACGUCUUAAAAAAUAUAUUGUAUUAUUUAUACCGUUUAUUUUAACUUUUAAGAUAUUAAUUUGUUAAGUUUAUGUUUAAAAAAUAUUUAAUAUAUAAUGAAGUAGAUAAUCCCUGACACUAAUUCGGUCAAGUCCACUAUUAUGAGAGAGAAAAAAAUGCCUUGUACAACUUGCACGUUCUGUUAUACAGUGGUUUGCUUAGCUAGCUAGUGGUCAUGAUGUGGAUUUGCACGGAGAAUUUCUGUUUUUCUUUCCCUCUCAAUGUGUGAAUUGUGAUAAGGUGCUGGUGGUGAUGUGGGCAUCCGAGAUGGUACGAUCAGUGAACGAAUGAAGGGUGUUAGUGACAUUGGUUCUGAAUUUCUGAACAUUGGCAAUCAAGAUGGAUAGCUUUGGUACGUUUGAAAACUUUAACCAAUCGGUCAGUUUCCAACCAGGACUAUCGUGUGCAUAUCUAUCUAGCUAGGCACUCCACUCUGGCACACUUAACUAGUAAUAUCGAUCAAUCUAAUCUAGUAGUACUACUUAGAAAAUAUCUCUCACUUGCGUCAUGUUGCUGGUAAAUUAUACUGUAACUAAGAACUAGGUAAAGGCGAUGAUGUGUACUCUUGGGUUGCCUAUUGGGUGCAUAUCCUUGGCAGGGCUCAUGUUGUUCAGUUAAUAAAGAUAUUAAGUAGCUACCUAAACAUUGUACAUGUGUCUUAUUUAAUGGAACAUUUUACAAGUUGAUAAGAAACUUUGCACACAACAUGUAUACUAUAUUUAAAUGACGGAAGCUUUGUUGUUCUUAGCUAAUUCCUGAAUUACAUCAAGGUGAUACAAUCGUCCGAGAACAUUACCGGACAUAGCAUAUAUACCCAGUGUGACGGAGUUCUAAAACUUGUGAUAUAUUCAAGUACUCUUUUCUAUAGGAUCAAAAAUUCAAGAAUUGAACACAUGAACCCAGGGAAUGGAUGGACGAGUGAAUGAUUGGAAGCCAACAACCCAAUCAAGAGAAGGAUCUGCGAAAUCCAUGCAUCCAGGUUUCAUCACCCUGUGAUAGGAACAGUGCCACUCUCUGACAGAGCAACAGCAAGAAUGUCCUUGUCUCCCUACCCAGAAACUGAAGGCCAUGUGACCUGGACUUUUGCCAUCUCCAAACAGCUGCAUCCAUAUAAUUCUCAUUGUCAUUGCUAUCUUCAUAUAUAUAUCCGUUUCCCCCAUUGGAUGGCUCCACCCCUGCACUAAUGUUUUUUUUAAGUGCUGGUAGUAUGUAUCAGCUCUCUUGUUUUGUCAUUUCGUUUUGUAUGGUUGUUGUUGUUCUGUCAAUCUGUCAUGACACUUUUGUAUCUGUUCAUGUUAAAUAACUGUGCUGUACCACAUCACUUUUGUUCUCCAUCGAUUCUGCCAUUCACGUCAUUUUCCAUGCAAUUGGUAGCCCUCACACAUCCUUCACAGAACAAAGAAAUCUUUUUCCCGAAUUUCACUGAAAUUCAACUGAUUUUUUUCUUUUUUUUCGAACACCCAAAAAAUAUUUUGCAUGUCGUUGUAUUAGAAGCUAUGAAAAAAAUAUUUACGACCGUGCGCUAAUUGGCACAUUCAAGUGAUCAGUUCGAUUAUUGAGAAAUCAGUUCAGUUCAAUAAUGGAACAGAUUUCUCUGGAAACCUCAGAAAACUCGUACGAAAUUCAUGCAUUCAAAAAAAUACUUAAAAGGCUAUAAUUUACCCUUUAACUCGGCAUGCAUUAAAAAAUGAACAGGAGCGCAACAGUUGUACCAGCAAUGGGCCGAGGAAUGAAGAAAUAGUAACUCCUAACAACAACCGCAACAAACACCAAAUAACAAACACAUCAAUGAAAUCGAUCGAAGGGUGUACUGGAUGGUUGGAAAAAGCGUUGUUGGUACCUACCCAAAGAAAGAGAAGAGAGAGAGAGAGAGAGAGAGAGAGAGAGAGAGAAUCCUUGUGUCACCAUCCUCACACUUGCACAUAGGUUGGGAGCUGAAUUAUUAUUGUCUCCAUUAAUCUUUGCAACCACCAAGAUACAGUGGUCUAGCUAGGAUAUAGACCAUGCUAUCUGAAAAAGAAAACAAAAGGGAAUUCGUCUAAUAUUCCAUAUUGAAAAAAAGGAGAGGAAAUUCUAAUAGAAAUUGGUGAUGGCUAUAGCUCACUUGUUCUUGUCCUAAUUAACAGCAUGACUAACGCUUGACAACUGAUGCGCAUGAAAACGCUUCAUUAGUUCGUUGUUUUGCGUCACAAUAGCGACUCAAUUCGACGGCUAUGUUCUAUCCCAUAACGAAAUUGUUUUAUAAUUAAGUCCCUCAGAUGCUGAACUUCAACCGUAUCCAAUUUAUAAAAUAUUUCCUUCAUGGAUCCCAUCCAUAACAAUGACUGUAUAGUUUAUUAUGGACAAACUACUGAAGAGAUAUAAUUAAUUUUGCAGUGAUUAUAUUUUGCAGAAGACAACAAUCAAUCAGACGAGAAGAGAGAAAAAUAAAUGUGAAUACAUCGAGAGAUGGUAAACUUAAAGAAUUGAUGAAAAAAAUAGGGCAAGAGAACGUCUGGAUCAAUGUUAGCUUCUGAUGCCUACCGAUUGGAACUUGCCCAAAAUUGGCGUCCUAGCUUGAAUGAUGUAACAGUAGGUAGGCAAAAAGAAAAGGACUCCUCUCUUGUAUAAAUUGUUUAUCUCGUUCUCCAUGUUUUUAUAGUGCCCAGCUUGGUAUCAGGGGAAAAAAAAUCAAUCUGAUCCAACUACUGAGAGAAGCCAUGUCGAUUAUUUUUGUUCCUUUGGUUUAUAAUAUGCACCAGAAUUGUAUACCAGCGACCUAGAUUUUUUAAAAGUAACAUUUUUUUAAUAUUAGUGCUGCACAUGGUUUGGUUUUGAAAUUAAGAAAGAAGAAGCAGUCUCAUGCUUUAAGAUUUGCACAUAUAUAUGUUUGUGUCAUGUGUGCCAGAUAUAUAAGCCAUUUGUGCCACUAGUGCUACAGAAUUUUUCAACUUCUGCGAGUUGUGGAAGCAAUGACGCGCAAUCAUCGCCAUGGAGCAAAUGAGUAGAAUCAGAAACAGUUCUUUCAAAAAAGAAAACAAAAACACAUGCAGCUUAUUUUCAGGGGUGGGGUGGGGUGGGGGGGAUAUUUGGCAUGCCUUUUUUUAAUCAAAUACUCCCUCCGUUUUAUAUUGUAAGUCGUUUUUUAUCAAACACUUCAUCUGUUUUAUAUUAUAAGUCGUUUAAUUUUUUAAAGUCAAACUUGUAUAAAUUUGACCAAGUUUACAUAAAAAUAUAGGACUAUUUUCAAUGCAAAAUAAGCUAAUUAUCAAAACAUAUUCAUUAUUAAAUUUAAUGAAACUAAUUUGAUAUUUUAGAUGUUGCUAAUUUUUUUUAUAAACUUUAUCAAACUUAACAAAGUUUAACUAGUAAAAAGGCCAAACAACUUAUAAUAUGAAGCGUAUAGAGUGAGCGACUACAUACUUGCUAAUAACUCUUUCUAUGAAAGCAACCAAUGAUCAUCUAGUUGCAGCUGCACAAAUACCAUUUUUUUUCCUUUUGUUCCAUUUAUUUGAUCAAUCAGUACAUAUGACCUUCGUUCACUGUUUCAAGGUCGUAGGAAUAUAAAUGGAUGUGAGAGAGAUUAUCGCCAUAUCUUCCUUCACUCAAGACAACCACAAUUCAUGCCAAGUACAAAAAAAAGUUCAAUCAUAAAAUAAAAGGAAAUACGUGGCGGCUUCGCCAUCAAUCGAAUUGGCACAACUCGAAAGUUACCUAAGAUACUGUAAAAACGUCUAACCUUUUUUUUUUCCUCAAACAAGAGCUUGCUGUGUCUCAUUUAAUUGAUAGAAAGUGAAAUAGGAUAAAGACACAUACGUGAGCACCUAAAAACACCACCAAAAAAUGGCAAAAAAAAAAAACCGGUGGAACUGAACUGACGGAAUCAACUUCGCAGGUUCAAGGUGACGUAAUCAUGCAGCCUGCAAACAAAAAGAAAAACUGAAAAGAAAAAUACAAAGAUCAAGAGGAAACAACCAUUUCAGCUAGCUCCUGCACACAGAAUUGUUUUGUGCCUCAUCACUAGCAGCAGCACUACUGCAGCAUGAUAUAUAUCUCAAGUCAAGAUUAUACUAUUGUCAAAAACUAUAUUUUUUGCAUUUGAUAUAAAUAUAAUAUAAUGCUUGGUUUGUUUGGACGUUACGCUUGCAUUUCGCGUGGUUUUACCAGGAUUUAUAGCCGCUGUGUUUACUGAAAAGUAUAAUAAUUUCGAUACAUUUUCACAUGUGUAACAAAUUCAUUCAUUGUUACCGCAUGCAGAAAGUACCAAAAAAAUCCCAACUUUUUUUAAAAAAGGCUACUUUUCUUCAUGUCCAGAUAAUUAAACAUAGCCUCACAUUUUGGAAAAAUAAGAGCAUGUGUACUGUACCAAGAUCAGAGUACACAGAAGAAGAAACUGUCGAUCGACGAUCAUCAAUCAGGUCGUGAUCCCCGUUGUCAAUUCAAGUUGUCAACCAGAAGCAAAAUAGGCAGAGAGAGAAGCUAGUAGUAGCAUUAAUUCAAGAGGGAUAUAUGAAAAUAAAAUCACUAAUUAAAAGUUGGCUGGUGUGCGGGAAGUUGCCGGAUUGGCUCUUCAUUAAUCCUGGAGGAGAUAGAUAGAUAGAAGGGGGGCCACUUAAUUAAGGUCCUUGUUUAAUGACGCCGGUCAAGGUAAUUAAUCUAAUCUGGAACUGUCCCCAGCGUCAACAACCCAUCAGUCAUGAGCAUGAUGAUGGUCUCAUUGAUUAAAGCUAGCUGAAUAGCUGAUCUUCACUCAGAGCAAGGCUAAUAAUACAAUCGACUUAUUGGCUAUAAGAUUCCUUGUAGUAUUCUCUCAAUCCACCUAUAUAAUAGUUAACUCUUUACAAAUAAUAUAAGAUCUAUUUGUUUCUCUCACAUAGUUUCUUGGUUCUUAUGUUUAAGCUGGCUGUAAAUUUACAGCCCGCUUCUUCUCUCUCCUCUCUUCUCCCCUCCACUUCAGUAUUUGCUCUCACCGGUAGGAGCUGUACUAGUUUCUAGGAGUAGCAUGGAUGGAUGGAGUAAUGAUCCAAUUAACAAAGGGGGAUUGGCUACCAACCCAGCUUCGUCACCGUCAUCGGCAGCGGCAGGCCGGACGGCCGGGCGGCGCCGCUGCAUGCGUCGGUGCAGCUGUGGCCAUUUAUGUAUGCAGCUUAGGCAGGCAGGCAGGUAGCUCACCGGCCGUCUCCCGUGCAUUCACUCCAGUCUCCCGUACGUACGUGUGUGUCUGUGUGUGUGGUUGGUCUUGCAGAAGUGCCGUUGCUGUAGGUCAUUCACGUCGAUGAUCGGCGCUGCGGCUGAGCCCACCAAGUUUGUUGCGACAAUGUUUGGGAUUGGCGGCAUCGGAGUCUCGCUCAAUUCCUCCCUGCGCCGUGUCGGUUGGGAGUUACUCCCUCCGAGUGUUCUAAACUGAUGAGAGAAAAAACUGAUGAUUUAUCAAGAAAUUUAUGGAAAGAGAAAAAAAUAGUUUCAUCUGGAAGAAACCUAUUAUAUACUCUUAUUACUAUGAGUAUACCGAGCAAUUUUGAUAUUAGCUCCAAAUUCUUUAUAGUCAAUUUUAUAGCUCAUCCAACAAUAGUUACCUAUAAAUAUAUACUACUCAAUUAAUAUAUAUGGUCUAACCUCUCAUACACACGUAAUGUUUUGAAGCCCGUGCCGCAGCUGGCUAUAAAUCUGUAGCCCGCUUUCUUUUUCUCUCUUCUCUUAUUUUCUUCGCGUGUGCAUAUAGCUUACUUGUAGCAUUCUAUUGUACUUGCUCUAAAACUUUAAUGUGACCUAAUCCUUUCAUCAUAUAUAAGCCUUAAAAAGGGAAACAUAACUCUAUUACGACUGAAUUGUUUCACAACAGAAUCCAACACAAUUGAGUGUUAUGACUGACAUACAAAACCACAAAACGUAACCAUUCAUUACAUGCAGUGUUUCAUUCAUCAAUCCAAACCUCUUAAUAAUGUGGCGUUAUUGGAAAUUAAAUCGCAAAAUGAAACUCACCACUGCAAAUGUAAUAGUGGUUAACAACUAAGAUAUUAGAUAUAAAUAAAUGAGUAUGGUUGUGAUCGAUCAAGAUAAGAAAAUAGGUGAAUUAAAUAUGGUGUGUGUUUAUAGGAUGAGUGUGCGCGUGUUGUGAGUGUCUGUAUUUAUCUCGUGUUUUAGAAAAAAAAUGGUUGUAAUUAGUUGAGAUAAGAGAGUAUAUGCACAAAUUAAAUUAGGUGUGGUUGAGACAAGAGAGAAUAUGGAAGAGCUGCUAUAUUUUUAGAUAAAUUUUGAAUGGCAAAUGAUGAUAUAUUUUAGGACAGAAAUAUAGCAAUUUUUCAUUAUCUUAACCAAACACAAUCAUAUUUGAUUUAAUUUAUCUACCUAUCAAUUACAACCAUCUGUUAUUUAGUUUCAUCUCUCUCCUUAAUAUUUUUAAAAUAAACUUGUAUUUUUCUGAAACAUGAUACAAACAUAGACUCUCACAUACGUGUACACGUUCACUUUAUAAAUGCACAUCCUAUUUUCUACUCCUCCGAGCUGAUAAUACUUAUCGUUUUAGAUAAGGGUAUGGUCAAACUUUAAAAUCUUUGAUUAUGAAUCAUUUUUAAAAUAUUUAUCUUUCAAAUAUGGUGACUACAUGUACAAAUUUGUCUUAAAAAGUACUUUAAUAAAAUUAUAUAUUUGUUAACACUUUUAUAUAUAUUAUAAUAGAAAAUAAUGGUCAAAGUUAUUUUUUUAAAGACCAUGCCUUUGUCAAAACGAUAAGUAUUAUCAACCCGGAGGGAGUACUACCUAUGUUUUGAUAUUAAUAAAGUCACAUUGGACUUCUCACUGCCAACAGAGGGGAUACUAGGUUGAGAUGAGAUAAGCUUUGCAUUAAUUACCAAUUACCAUCGUGUGCAAGGAAUAAUAACCUUAACCAGUACAAAUUAAUUAGGUUUAGUUUUCACUGUUGAUAGCUACCACUGGUUUUUACUAGUACUACUUAUAUUGAUAGGCAUCGAUCGGUAAUUCGAUAUAGUUUGUGCUUUCGGUGCAAAGUGAUAGCGAUAAGCAGAGAGGAUAAAAAAUCCUAAUUUUACCAAAGCAUACAUAUCCUCUCGAUCGAUCGUAUUGACCGUGAUGAUGCAGCAGCUGCAGCUCAUCAGCACCCAUAUCCACACUGUAAUUUAAUAAUAGAAUACUCCCUCCGUUUAAGUGCAGCUAUGUUUUUUUCACACUAAGCUUUAAUCAUUUGUCUUGUUUAAAAAAAAUAAAAACACAAGUCACGAAUAAAGUACGAUUCGUGUUUUAUCAUCUCAUAACAACAAAAAUAUUAAUUAUAAAAAGAUUUAAAUAAGACGAACGAUCAAAGUUAGACACGAAAGUUUAUAGUUGCACUUAAAAUAGAAGGACAGAAGAAGUACUAUUUUCUGCGUUUUACGAGAUUAACCUGUAUGCCAAAGUCAAAUUGUCGUUUGUAUCCCUGACAUGAAGCACUAGAGCAGCAGCAGAUCGCAGUAAUAAAGCAGAGUUGCAUCACAAGUUGUGAUUCACAACGCACCCCCGCGCGCGCGACCUUAUCGGUAGCGUGCGUGCGUCACACACAAGCAGAGCUAUAAAACCCAUGGAUCAUACGAUACGAACGGCAGCCAACCGCGCGCGAGAUACCGGAGAAGACGCAUGUUUUCAUUUAUAACAAUCCGAUUCCUUUUUUACCUUACAUCAUUCAGCAGUGCGGUUUCAUUUUCUACCACUAGCUCUUAGAUAAUAGAUAUGUUUUUAAGACUUAUAAUAUAAACGUAGACGCUCACGACAUAUAUAUACUUAUAAUGUUUUAAAUUACUAUAGUUAGAUAAACAUAAGUAGCGUGGUUAUAUUUAACGUGCAGAACAUUUUAAUAAUGAUAUAUUUGAAUAUUCUAUAUAAAAUUAUUGAUAUAAUAAAAAUGACCGAAAUAUAUUUGUUACUAAAAUACAAAUUUAUUGCUAAAAAAAUAGUCACGGUAUAUUGGUUAAUUAAAUUAGAAAACAAUUAAAGUUUAUGCAUAAAUAAUUAAUGAGCACUACUACACGUACUAAAUUUUUACUAACAAUCAUCUCAACCAUUUGAUUUAGGUAUGUAAAAGUUAUAAAAAAAAUCUAGAUGUACUCGUAGCAUGACACAUAUGUCUUAAUAAGAAUUUAGUGAAAAAAAAAAGUAGUACGUAUAGCCUUUACUAUCGGUGUCGAGUAUUUUCAAAUGGAGGGAGAAUUCAUAUUAUGUAGCUGCGUGCAGGGGUGGAGGUAGAGUAUCUCAGGGGGUGCCUAGGAACCCGGUCAAGAAAAUUUUUUAGCUAUACCUUAUCUAUUUUCACUAUGUAUGUACCCCUCUCAAUACAAAUUUAGAUAUCCAUACCAGCUUAAACUCGAUUUAAAGUAGAGUAAAUUAAACAAGUGACACCUCUCCGUCCCUCGCUGCGUGGCUACAGAAAAGCGGCGCGCGAGAACUAGGUAGCGGGGCAAGUUGAAGCAGCGAGAAUGCAUCCAAAAACCGGUGCUUAAUUUGGUUUCUGGUAGGCCAAGGCCAGGCCACGGGUUGCCGCUCCGGGAGAGGAGAAGAAGAGAGGAGACGCGUCGUCGAUGACGAUGAGUUGAGUUGGUUUUGGUUGGUUGGUUGCCCCAAGCCAACAACGGACGAUUCCUAAAAGGCAUGGCCUUACCUAACAAGCCUCAUUUUUAAAUGCUUCCUUUUGUCCCUUUUUAAAAUUUUUAUUGUCACCUCCCUAGCUACCUUAGUCCUUCCUUCUACGCUUAGUUACUCUUCCAUUACCAACAGUGAUCACAAAAAAAGGUAAAUCAAAAUCUUCUCUUCCAAGAAAUACCACUACUAUGUUGGUUGCAUUAUUUUACGAAUCUUCCAAGAGUUACUACUACCUCCUAACCAAUUUAAAUAUAGUCGCGAGUUUUCAUAUCCAAGUUUAACCGUCUAUCUUAUUUAAAAAAAUUAUAAAAAAUUUAAAAAUAUUAGUCACACAUAAAAUACUAUUUAUGUUUUAUCAUCUAAUAACAAUAAAAAAUACUAAUCAUAAAAUUUGUUUAAAUAAGACGAUGAUCAAACUAAAUAAUGCAAAACUGUACUCCCUCUAUUUUUUAAUAGAUGACGCCGUUGACUUUUUCUCGUAUGUUUGACCAUUCGUUUUAUUUAAAAAUUUUAUGCAAAUGUACAAGAUAUAAAUCACACUUAAAGUACAAUGAGUGAUAAAACAACUCAUAACAAAGUAAAUUAUAAUUACGUAAAUUUUUUGAAUAAGACGAAUGGUCAAACAUGUGAGAAAAAGUUAACGGCGUCAACUGUACUGCAAUUUAUAUUUUUUUUCUAUUCUAAAACUGUUUGGAGUGCUGAAAUUAUAUGAGUUUUGUACUAGUAUAUCUAAAAAAACAAGAUGAUACAGUUGAGAUGGAAGGGAGAAGAAAUUGUGGGUUCCAAGUGGGGGGCCCUAAUCGAUCUCUGUUUGAAAAGAGCCAAGAGAAAACGAUGUAUCAUUUCUCUUCUCCGUGUACAUGGAAACAGGAACAGUAUAUGCAGUACAUUCCAGCGAAAAGGAGGCAUCAUGGCACACCAAUCUUGUGUGCAGCCAAAGCAGGUCGUAAAGAAAGCGUGGUCUAACUCACGGGGCGCUUUUAAUCAAAACUGCAGGAUUAGGCGAUGGUCACAUGCGAUGCGAGGUAGUAUAGUAACAAGUCACCAUAAUUAAGAUCUGGUUCAAUGGCCCCAGCCUUGAAAGCAUCCAUCCACUCCACAUACUGGAUGAGGCACUGGAUCUAACUGAGCUAUAGUAGCUAAGUUACAGUGAAGUGACUAAUUAAGUACUUACUUAGCAUCAAGUAUUAUUUGUCAUGAUUAGUCAAUAUAUGGUAAUUACAACAGAGACAAAAUGGAGCAGCAAGAGCAGCAGAGGAGAUGUUAUCUCUCUCUCUCUCUCUCUCUCUCUCUCUCUCUGUGUGUUUUCACCUAGAAGAAAAGCUAACCAAUAUCCAAGUGACAAAACGAAAGAAGAAACUACAGAGGAGGAGGUGCUCAUUUCAUUUCCAAGCUUCUGAAGUCGAGCAUGGCUGUCCUGAGUCCCAGGAAGCUGCUGCACUUGCAGUCUGUGCUCUUGGGGAGCCCCAGGCUGCAGCUGAAGCAGACGCCGGUCUCCCUCUUCACCGGCUUCAUCAUCAUGGGCUCUUCUUGGGAAGGGAGGCUGAUGCAGAGGUCCAGAUUGAGGUCAGGGCACUUGAGUGGCUUCCCAUGGCCCCAAUCGGCGGCUGCCUGCUGCUCCUGUGCCACUGUCACCGCCUUCGGCUGAUGAGGAUGGUCCUCUCGCCGGAACACGGCGGCCUUGUCGUCCCUCGCCGCCGCCGCGGCCGCCUCGAAUGAUAUGGUGAUGUUGGACGCGCUGUCGUUGAUCGGCCGGUGUGUCACCGGGUCGAUGCCACGGCUCAGCAGCUUCCUCCUGAUGUGCGUGUUCCAGUAGUUCUUGAUCUCGUUGUCCGUUCUUCCUGGCAACCUCCCGGCUAUCAGAGACCAUCUGCAUCAAACAGGAGUAGCAACAACAACAACAACAAACAACCGUUUUAGCAAUCAGAACAGUAUCAAACACGAGCUCUUUAUAUAUAAAAACUGAAACUGAUACAACUCAUAUUCAUGCAUGCAAAUCCUAGUAUCAUUGAGAUGAACACACGUACUUGUUGCCUAAAAGGCUGUGAAGCUUGAUGAUCAGCUCAUCCUCCUCCUCGGUGAAGUUGCCGCGCUUGAGGUCAGGCCGGAGGUAGUUGAUCCACCGGAGGCGGCAGCUCUUGCCACAGCGGAGGAGGCCGGCGGCCUUGGGCAGCGAUCGCCAGCAACCUUCGCCGUGCGCCUUGAUGUAGGCAAUGAGCCGGUCAUCUUCCUCCUUGGUCCAUGCUCCCUUGUUGGUGUGUGCCUUCUCGCAGCACGGUGACCUCCCCAUGAAGACGAUGAAGCUUUCUUGAUUCUUUCCUUUCUUCUGCUGCCUCGGUGGGUUGUUUCAGUGGAAGUUGCUGCUGCUGCUGCUGCUGCUGUUGCUGGGCAGCAAAUGGGUGGGUGGAUUUUUAUAGGGACUUGACUCAAUUGGGGAGGUCUUCUAGAGGCUGAGUUGGUGAGAAAAAGGUUAGGCUGGUAGGCCUCCUCCUUGCACAGGUCAUGGCAUCAUCACUGGAUUACCAGCUUAAUUUUACCUGCAAAGCCAAAGCGAAGAGGACACACAGGCAGCAGCCGUGGAGCCUCUGCCUGAUAAAACCCUUCAAGGUAGGUGUAAAGUGAGGUAAGCCAGCAGCGCCCAACCGUGGGCUUAGGCAGAUGAUGGUGUUGACACUGCCAGCCCUGAUGGCUGACGCCUACCUCCUCUUCUCUUCCAUCCCUUUGGCGCUCUCGGUUUUAACAGCUAACUAACUGCAUCAUCUGAUCAUCUCCACCACGCCACCAUCACCACUAUUGAUGCUUCAUUCCCCUUCCAUGUCUCUGAUUUGUUCCUAGUUAGGUUCAGCUACUUUUUUGUGGGGGACAAAUCCAUUUUACCACCCUGAAAUAUCGUGUUUUUUUUCUAAAAGCCCCUUAACUCGAAAACCGGGUAUUGAAUCUUCUCGGCUAUUGAAACCGUUCGACUUAUCCACUGUGUUCAAACCAAAGGAUUCCCAUUUGCCUACAUGAGCAGAUCAAGAGGUGAGUACUUCAUGGAGGUUGUUUCCAUUCUCCGACAGAAUUAUGUCAACAUGAAAAUGAUUUGUGCCGUAUACCACGCACAUAGUAGUAGAGUGGUUGUAUACGGGUCAUCCUUGUAUUUUAAAAAAAUGAAAUACCAUGCCCUGAUCUCACCAGCUCUAAAAUUCUAGCGUUUCAUCAUUUAACAAGGAAAAUAUUUUGGUGCACCAGUACAAACCCAUGAGCUUAUUAAACACAGGGUGAGGUCCUAAACAACGGAAACCCUGAUCAUAGACUUUUUCCUUAGUUUAUUCUUCAAUAAAAUAGGAUAAACCGGAAUAGGUAUCUUGCAGUCACACUGCCUAAAUGAAUAUUAUUUGCCACCCACCUUAUUUCUUUAUUUUCUCUAUAAUAAUUCUGCUUCCAGAAUCAUAGCUAUUGUCAUGCUCCCAUCAAACUAAUUUCAUGUGGAACUUUCUGUUUUAUACUCUAAUAUAAGUUGGUUCAUCUGUUUGGUCAACCCUAGAUUAAAAAUUCACCAAACUCAUCAGUCUUGCACCUGCUUCAUAUUUCUUUCUGUAACAAGGCAGAUCAUGGAUAUCAUUAUUUAUAUCAGAUCAUUAAUUAUAUACACAAAACUGCAUGGUGAUAGAUUAACAUUAUCUUUAAUCCUUAAUAGGAAUAUAAACUAUGAUCUGGACCCCCUCCACUUCUUUAACAUGUGUUUUCGGUUGCUUAGCAGAGUACAGAGCGGUUCACAUAUUAAUAUGUACUGUACUAACUAAAAGGCCGUGGACAUCAGGAAGCAGAUGAAAUUAUGAUUUGGUUAGAUACUUCAAUGGACCCAUAAAUGCUACUAGUUAGGAGGAACUUACAUAUCCAUGACAAAUUCCAGAUGGGCUUACAUAUUAUUUGUAUACCUAAUAUAUUCUUGUGGAUGGUUACCAAACUAUGGACCAUAGUUGGUUGGGUGUAAGGAGAGGAAAUAUCCGAAACCAUUAGCUUCAGUUGGGGCCAGAAUGAUUGGGACUUCACACUCCACAAUGGUCCUCAAUAUGAUAGGAAAUGCUUAAGUUCUUGAUAUCACCACCUUCAUUUCUUAGCUGUAGGAAUCGAGUGAUUACAACCCUUGAUCCAAUUCCAAUACUGUUCUUUUUAGUGUAUGAGUGGAAUGAAUUGACAUGUGUGUGAUGUUUUCUGCUGAUUCAAGGGUACUUAAGCAAAACUAACAAAUAUUUACAUGUUAAUGAACUAGCAUGCUAGACUUGCUUCAAAUUAGUUCAGUUUUAUCCAGAACUAUAGCUAAUGAUGGAUUUUACUUUGAAAUUCUUAUGGAAAUCAAACUGCUAGUUUUAUUUUCAAUAGUGAUUUCAGCUAUUCUAUAAUGAAAUUGAUAUGGACUCUUUACCUUGUGCUUUUAACAAUUUUUGAAUUCCACAUUUUCUAAAUUAUAUUUCGAAGUGAACUCUUCGUUUUAAUCUAGACCCACCAGCAAUCAACGGUGAAAAUUUCUUUCUUUCCCUCAUUAACACGGUAAUUUCUAGGCCUUAGAGUUAAGAACAGACACAGAUGCUCUUUUGAACUUUGUUUUUAAUAAUGUAAUAGAGUAGAGAGAUAGGCAUAUCAUUUUCGCAAAAAUGGCUAAUGUUAAAUUUCUAACAUUAAAUCUAUAACAAGAGAUUUAUAUGAAAAUACAUUUCAACAAUGUACAGCAAGGGUCAUCUAUCAACUAGCUGUUCAUGCAAAUCAGAAAGCAACUAAGCAUUAGACACCAAACUUCUCUAUUGCAUAGUUAUCAAUCACUAAUCCUCAUUAUUGUUUCUAAGUAGCAAUAAGCUAGUUGGCCAUAAAUCAAGUUUAGUGUCCUGUCAGUUUGUUAUCCACCACAGUUUAAUACACUCUUAAAUAGGCUCCCAGUUUGGUGCAUUGAAUUUAAUCAAAUAAACCAUUUUGGUUGUACCCUAAUCACCACCUCACUAGCAAAAGUAGUGCAAUCACUGAAAAAAAAACGCAUUAGCCUCAGUUCUUUAGUUGUUAAAUGGUAGGCAGUAGUUCUAGAAAGCAUGAAGGCUGAUGGAAAAAGGAGGGUAGGGAAAUGGUUUGUGUAGCUGAGGUGGUGUGUCGGUUAUGUGCAGUUGUUCUACCUUCCACUUCUUAGCCACACACUUGUGGUGGAAGCCUCCUUCUCCAGGCUGGGCUGUUCUGAGUUAGGGGGAAGGGAAAGAAGGCAAGGAGAGAGGUAGGUCUAAGUCGCUCUUUUGUUGUUUUCUCUUCAAGGGGGGCAUGGGCAAUUAGCUAUCCCCACCACAUGGCACCAGCACAACACCACCUAUCUAUAACUCCUCUCCCCCAACUCCCUCUUUGUUUCCCCAACCUACAUGCCCCUUAUAUGCCUGCAUAAAGCUCCAAACUCCCAGUGCCAUCGUCCUUUUCACCCACAAUCUUCUCUCUAACUACCAGUCCUUUGCAUUCUUCUUCCAUGCAUUGGCUAGUAGCGGAUUAGGUGUGGUGUUGGUCUCCUGGACUUCAAGCCAAAUUCAUCAGCUAGUAGUUUCCUAUGGUUGACCAUAAACUCAGAUUUUACUGAGUUCAAUGUUGUUUUACAGAAUAAUUCAAGAUUAAUAGUAGUAAAAAUUACAACAAAAGGGUCUAGCAGUUAUAAUUGUUGUUCUGACUGCAGGAGAAUUUUCAGUCUUCACAUAGAUGAUUGGCAUAAGAAGACUUUCAAUACAAGUACACUACCAGAGACUUUGACUGUCUUUAAAGUUAAACAAAUAGAACAAAAUGGGCUAGAAAAACACUAAGCCCUAGACCUAUGUUCGUAGUUCCAUAUAGCAGGUCAAUACUUUUUUCAAUGGAACGAGGACAUGGAGAAGAUUAAGACUUAUGUGAACUUGGACUCAUGAAAGAAAUGUGAAGUUUACCUUGACUUGCUUUAGCAAUUUUGCCCCCAUAGAGAAUCUCUGGUAACAUGCAACAAGCAGUUUACUUAAAAGCUCUAGUUGCUGAUCAAAACAGGCAGUCCACAUAUACUUCAAAAAUUACCUUUAAUUUGUAUUAGUGUACAAGAUGCAAAAAUGGUUGCACAUGCUCACUGAUCAUUUCUACUUACCCUAUCAAAAGAAAUUCUUGUAGAUAUCUACAUAACCAGCAUUUGAACACAAGGUUCAGAGUUAAAAUGAAACUUACAUCCAAUAUAACCCCAUUCUUUCUGUAGUUUCUGAGGCUCCUUCAGUGCUUCCAUCAGAAAGUUAAUGUCGAAAGUUUCUCCAACUUCAUUUGAACGUGACUGAAGAUAUGGCUGUAGAAAGAAGAUGUCAGAAAUCCAUGUAUCCUAAAUUCCGAAUCUCAUUUAGCUUUUAGAGAAUUAAUUUCAAAUGAAAAGGAGUUGGAUGCAUCUCUUCUUGUUGUCACAUAUUCCACUGCCCAUGGAACAAAAUUUCUAAUUAUGUAGUGCCACUCUUGGCUGGUACCAACAAAUGGUAUGUGAAACUAAAUGGCAAGUUGUAGCACAAUACCAUGUUUUUACAGCUCCAACUUAGCUCAAACAGAGUAGCAUAACGAACUAAAGCUGAAAUAGCAACAAAGCAAUUCAUUGAUGAUUUACAAAUCUAGCUAGACAUGAAUGUUUGGUCAGGCUGAUCCAUCUGCGAGCUAAUACAAAUAGCAGAUAUCAUUUCCUUUCUAGUGAAUCAGUUUGUCCUUUUUUAACUACUGAUAGACCAACUCGUUUUCAGUUUAGUACAGAAGCAUCUUCCAAUAAAACAAAUAAAAUACAUAGUAUUUCCUCAGCUGCUGGGUAUUAUUGGUGGUUGAAUAAUUGAUUGGCCCAGGAAUACUCAGGAAAUCUUGGAGAAUGCACAUGCAAAUAAAUAAAGGGAAAAUUUUGUACUAUAUAUUAGUAUUACACUGAAACUUUGAUUAUUUUAUCAAAUGAGAGGCUGACAGCUAUGUAAUUUCCACAAUACAUAAAUGUUCGAUUAUCCAACUGAGCGACACUCCCAUUAUAGUAUUAUACUAACUUGGCCAACAUAAAGGCAAUUGCGAUUUGUUUGGCAUAAUAUUGAAUUUAAUUUCCUAAGAUCCAAUGGAAGAACAUCCUUUUGUACAUCUAUGUGUCCUUGAACAGUUUCUCCUUCCUCACUAUAACUAUUACCCAUACUCGAGUUUGUAAGAGUCAUUCCUGAACAAUUUUCCCACUUUCAGCUAUAGUUGAUCAUGGACUUCAGGUGCCUGCAGCUCAUCCCAAUCAUUAUAUCUAGGUUCUAGCCAGAGGCAAGUACAAAUUUUUAUUAUUGUCUGAAUACAGAGAGAGCACAGGUCGCCAGUUGAAACUAUAGUCCUAUAUCAACAUACAUAGCACCUUUUGGUGUAUUGUCUGCAUGCUAGUAUGUAAUGUGCCUAAGAGGGCAAAUUAGUGAUGUUUAUAAGUCCAGAGGAUCCUCAGAAUUUCAGCUCUCCUUUAUAAACAUAAAAAGAAUGCAUCAAAUGUGGAGCGACAGUUGAUGAGGGCAUAAGAAAGCAGCUUGCAGCCUCAUAGCAAUUUAGUACAUGAUUAGGGUCUUGCAGAUGUGAGAAAUCUUUAUUUUGUAAGGUAUCUUUUACCAAUUCUUUUAAGGCGCCACGAUAAUGAGAAAUGGAGUUAGAAUUAGAUUUACUGUUGUGACAUCAUGUUACGGAAAUGUGGUGGAUAUUGAGGGGGAAAGGUUUAAUGGAAAAUCGGGUGUUCUGAUCCAAUUUGCAAUCUUUGUCAGUGUUACUGGUCAGACUUGAUUUCUUUUUUUGUCCAAAAGACUUAAUUCACGAAAGGAAGAUGAAGGCAUUGAAACCAGAAAACCUACAAUGUCAACAGUACCCAUGAUGAACUUACCUCUUAAAAUGUAUUUAGCCAUUAGCUUUCGUUGCCAUUUAGCAUUAUAUGUGGGCUUUUCAUUUGUAUCACAUGGGUCAUGUCAACAUACAACCCAAGAAAAAAACAAUACAUGCAACUUGCUUAGAAAUUUUGGUCACAAAUAUGACUCCAGAGCUACCACAGUAUCACAAAAUGGGUUCUACAGAACAGGGACAUUUUUGUAGACAUCGAUGCAGAUGAGCAUAAUUGGGGUGCUAUUAUACACUAGGGCAGAAAAUAUACAUAGGCAACUGGCAACCACCGAGUACCAACUACAACAGAUUCAAGAACACAAUUAUGAACACAGUUAAGCAAAGUGAGUACUGUGUCCAAUGAAACAACACAAUUAAGUAUUACUGGAACCGAAUGUGGAUUACUUACAUUCUGCAGGGGCACGUUUCUCAGACCAGAAACCAAAACUUCAGAAAUGGGAAGCUGCUAAGAGGAUUUCUGCUCCUCACUCCCGUACAGUUGAACCUGCGCGAUCAUUUCAACACCGUAGGAACAAACAUAAGCAAAAUAAUAAUAAUAAUAAUAAUAAUAAUAAUAAUAAUAAUAAUAAUAAUAAUAAUAAUAAUAAUAAUAAUAAUAAUAAUAAUAAUAACACAUCGCACUUGUCAGUGCACCACCACAUCAACGGAAUGGCCUUACCAACUCACAUUUGCACCGCACGAGGACAGGCAGCCGCUUUCAACCCACACGCCCAUCAAGCCUGCGGCUGUAGAGGCAUAGCUUGCAGACAUAGCUUGCUGUCCACUACCCAGGAUGAUGGGCGCGUAGAGGCUUGAAGCCCCAACCUCUCCAUGCCUUGCUGCGCUCCGGCAUUUCGUCAAACACCAGACGGGCCCAUCUCCCAUUCUCCACCACCGCUCCCUAGCACACGAGAGAGACGACGAAGAAUACAUCCGCAGCCACCGCGACUCCACAGUUCACCGCGACACAUGCCGCGCAGGCCCAGCGACCGGCGGCGCCGCCGCGAGCGCCCGCCACGGCCAGCCACGAGAGAGCGAGAAGGCGAGAAUGCGAGAAUGGCGGCGAGUAGAAGAAAUGAAAUAAAGUCUAAUAUGACUCCCCCGACUAUAGCUCGAACUAGGCCAGAAGGGCUAGGCGUUAAAUGGGCCGGAAUUAUCUGGCCCGCAGAUCCAGCACGAGAGGUUUCCAACGGCUAGUUUUUUCGCAAACGGCUAGUUCGGGCAACGGUCGGGGAACCCAAGCUUGGAUUCAUAUAUCUCCUGUGGAAGGGAAUCCAAUGCCUAGUAGUAGUCGAGCACAAGCCGCUCCGCCGCCACCUCCUCCUCUCAGCUCCGCCGCCGCUGCCUCCUCCUCCUCCGUUCUCGGGUCGACAGCGACGAUGAUGCAGCAGCAGCAGCAGCAGGAGACGUGGCUCGCGGCCGCCGCGGCGGUGGGGCUCCGGCCGACCAAGUCGGCACCCUGCUCGCCCAUCAAGCCUGCGGAGUCGUCGGCGUCGGCUGCGGCGGCGGCGGCCAUGCUCCGGACCAACUCCGACUCCUUCCACGUCGCCCACAAGGUCCCCGUCGGCGACACGCCGUACGUGCGCGCCAAGCGCGUCCAGGUACGUGAUUGCGAGCGAGCGUUCUUGAUGGUGGUUUGGAUUGGGAUUGGGUUGUGAUGGUGGUGGUGAUUCGGCAGCUGGUGGACAAGGAUCCGGAGAAGGCGAUCGCGCUGUUCUGGGCGGCGAUCAACGCCGGCGACCGGGUGGACAGCGCGCUCAAGGACAUGGCCAUCGUGAUGAAGCAGCAGAACCGCGCGGAGGAGGCCAUCGAGGCCAUCAAGUCGCUGCGAAGCCGCUGCUCCGACCAGGCGCAGGAGUCCCUCGACAACAUCCUCCUCGACCUCUACAAGGUUCAAUCCCCCUCUUCCCCUUCUCGCCAUUGCUCUGCAACAAUGCGCGCAGCAAGCUGAUGCGUGUCGAUGAAUCUGAGCAGAGAUGCGGGCGGCUGGACGACCAGAUCUCGCUGCUCAAGCACAAGCUGCAGCUCAUCCACCAGGGCCACGCCUUCAACGGCAAGCGCACCAAGACGGCGCGUUCGCAGGGCCGCAAGUUCCAGGUCACCCUGGAGCAAGAAGCAACCAGACUUCUUGUAAGAACCCACACAUCCUCUCAUGGAUUCGUCUCUUGCAAUGCAAAUCUUGCUCAUCUUGUUCUUGGGUGUGUGUGCAGGGAAAUCUGGGGUGGGCGCUGAUGCAGAAGGAGAACUACACGGAGGCGGAGGGGGCGUACCGGAGGGCGCUGCUGAUCGGGCCGGACAACAACAAGAUGUGCAACCUGGGGAUCUGCCUGAUGAAGCAGGGGCGCGUGCUGGAGGCCAAGGACGUGCUCAAGCAGGUGCGGCCGGCGGGGGUGGACGGCCUCCGCGGCGCCGACUCGCACCUCAAGGCGUACGAGCGCGCGCAGGAGAUGCUCCGGGACCUCGAGGCCAAGCUCGUCGGCCGCCGCCUCCCGCGCGCCGGCGACCAGCUCGUCGACAAGAGCUGGCUCUUCGACGCGCUGCUGCUCGGCUCCUCCUCCAGCAUCUGGCAGCCGCAGCCGUGCAUCGACCACAUGCUGCCCCCGCCCCCGCCGCCGCCGCGCGACCAGUUCGCCGACGAGAACGCCGCCGCCGCCGCCGCCAACAAGAAGGCGGCCGCGGCCGCGCUGCAGCCCAACAUCCUCCGGGUCGACGCGCAGCCGUUCUACUCGCUGCGCAUGCCGCCGCUGGCGACGAAGCCACAGAACAUUCAGCAGAAGCCGCCGACGCCGCAGCCGCAGGUGCACGAUCCGAUGGGCAACCUGAAGAGGACACGGUCCGGCAACGCCAUGGACAAGGCGGCGGCGGCAGCUGCCGGACCAGUGGAGAAAGAACCGAUCAACGACGAGAACAGCGGGAGGAGGAAGUCACUCUCCGCCGAGGAAAGAUGGCCGGAGCUGCCCGACCACAGCGCGUUCGACGAGGCCCUCGUCGCGGCGGUCCUCGCCCCGGUCCUCGAUGACUCCGCCGCCGCCGCCGCAGAACGGAACGACAAUUGCUGCAAGCCGGCGCCGCCGGCGGGCUGCGACACGAGCCCGGCGAUGAAGGAGAAGAUCGGGAAGAGGCUGAGGAUCUUCCAGGACAUCACACAGACACUGAACACUUUCUGAUUUGAGUUCUUGAUUUUUUUUUCUUUUCUUUGCAACUCACAGCAGCAGCCGUGGCGACGCCGCGAAGGAGAUGGGCUUGUUCUCCUGCGAGCUUUCUAUGUCGCCGCUAAGUUAAUUUAGGAUUCGAUUGGGUUUUAGUUCGCUGAUGAUUCUUGAUUUGAUUUUUUUUAACACACCCUAAUAACAGCUGAUUGCUCACUUUCUUCAGCUUGACACCAAAGCUCUUCUUGUAACAGAACACGAUUGAUUUUCAUCUUGUUCUAAUUCAGUUUGUUAACAGUUGAAUAACAAAGUGUCAUUAAUUUAUCUUUGCUGUGUUUGUUUGGACUCAAUUUCUGAAUUGAUCUCACUUAAACUGUCAUUUCAUAGCUGGCCACAAAACAGUUGAACAUCCUUCCUGAUGACACUUGUUUCUGAAAACUUUAUUCCUGAUGCUAUUGAUUCUGCUGUUGAGCAAUUGCAAAUCAAUGUUUAGAACCCAACCAAUCUCUACUUGGUUUUCUUAGAAGACUCGUAGAGGUAACCUGCGAUAACUACUACGGCUGCAGCAACUGCGACCCCAAACGCACUCUGCGCGAGUGUAGCAGCAGCCGUUGAACCAUCUGAUUUUGCAGAGCUACGUGGAGCGAACCCAAGUUCGGAGAGCUUCUUGUGUGAUUCAGCGUAGUCCUUGAAGAAGGCAUCCUCAUCCUGCCAUUUGAGGAUAGGAGUUGUAGGUAUAUUCUGAGGCAUCCAUGUAGCUCUGAAUAGGAUACAUCAUCUAUCAUUUACCUUCGCGUAAUGAUCCACAAAGCGCCUGAAUUCAGGAUCUUCCAGGAGAGCCCUGUCAGUUGGAAGUUUCAAAAGUCCCUCUGAUUCCUCCCUCAGCAGUUCUCUAAAUGAAUAUGGAGAAAAAUGUCAUCAAUCUCUCAUCACUAGUUCCCAAAGCAAACGUAUGAUAGAUGGUUUAACAUUGAGCUUACAGGAAGUAAGAGUUGUCAAACUUAAGUGGUUCCUUGGUCCAUGCACCGUCAAAUCCAGAUCUUUCAGGAUGUGCCUUUCCCUGUGAGAAACAAUCCUGGCAGUGUGAUGAUACAAAUAAUUACCAGGUGCUUAUAUUCAAAUGGAGAACGAAAUUAUCACCAGGGUGUGGCCACCAGAUAGAGCUACAAUUAGGGGUGAAAACGGUACGGAAACGGACGGAAACCAUCUUUAUCGUUUUCGUUUUCAUAUUUUUUUUCGGAAUCGGAAUCGGAAUCGGAAACCCCGGAUACGAAAACGGAAUCGAAUAUUAUCAAAACCGAAAACGGAGCGAAAACGAACCGGCGCGAAUACGGUAACAAAAAUUUAUUGGAAUAAAAAACCCCUCAAACUGAUAAAUCCAAUUGAAUAAAUUAUCUAUGUUUAAAAUAAUAAUGUUGUUGAUAAAUCCCAAUGUAAGACAAAAAAUAUUCUUAUGUAAUUUUAGAUUUGCAUAACAAAUAUUUUUUAAAAAAAUAAAAGCCAAACACCAUGGUAUUCACUAUUUAGUGCUUAAAAAAAGAAUCUAGGGUAUUUCAGUCACAAAAUUUCUGGUAAUUCCAAGAAAAUUUCUGGAAAGUUUCCGACCGAUUCUGAGUUCCGACGGAAACUGCCCUUAUCAUUUCCGAUUCCGUUUCCGGGAAAAUAUUUCCGAAUUUGUUUCCGUUUCCGAAAAAUUCCGACCGACAAAUUCCGUUUUCGAAAAUAGGUCCGGUAUCCGGAAAGUUUCCGUACCGUUUUCACCCCUAGCUACAAUAUCCUUGUCAGUCAAUCCCAUUUGAUAAAAGAUGUCUCUUAAAUGUGGUGCACCUAACCAGCAAACAAGAAAGAGUAAUCAAAAUUUAUGCCUCGCGGCCUCGGUGAAUAUGACCUAAGCAGACAAAAUAGAAUAAUAGUAGAUGUUCAACAGUUGUACAAAGCCUACUGCAAAGGUAAACCAUAAAAUUUGAGAAGUGGUAGCCUCAAUAUGACAUGCGAAAAGGCCAAUACACUGACGGUUAACCAAGAAUUCAACCUGAAGAAUAUUCUUUUGCGCUCAGAAGAAAUACUCCUGAACAAAUGUGUAUAUUGGAUGGCUCAUGCAAAGCAACCGCUACUGUAACAUGUUGAUCAUUAACAAUGCAGCAAUAGUUCAACUAGAGGACAUAUGCUUCUAGUGGAUAAUUCAUUCUAAGUUCUCAACAAGAAUAUAUCUAUAUUCAGCAUAAUGAGAAGGCUUUAGUAAUAACCUUUCUUCGCAUCAGGAAGACGUCCUUCUCGCGGGCAAACUGAUGAGUCCUGAUUACAUUACAAAUCAGUUACAUAGUGAACAAGGCAAAGAUAAUGCAUCCGUCUACAAGGAAAUGACAUUUCAUUUACCCUUCUUCCAGGAACAAAGUCAACGGUUGGACCUCCAGUAACUUCAACUGCAACCACUCCAGCAAGCUGAGAAGUAAAAAUAAUCCUGGUUAGUUCAUCAAAAUAUCAUGAGUAAAUUUCACAGAACUACAGGUAUUUUGCAUAAUUUAUCACAAAACUAUAUAUUUAAGAGCUUGUUUCACAAAACUACAGAUUUAGUAUGUCCGUUUAUCACAAAACUACAGGUACUUUGUACAAUCUAUCACAAAACUACAGAUUUAAAAACUUGUUUCACAAAACUAUAGAUUUCGUGUAUUCGUUUAUCAUAGAACUACAGAUUUAGUGUCUUCAUUUAUCACAAAACUACAAAUUUAGUGUCUCCAUUAUCACAAAACUACAGGUUAAAACCUGUAGUUUUGUGAUAAAUGAAGAUAUUAAAUCUGCAGUUUUGUGAAACAAGUUCUUAAAUCUGUAGUUUUGUGAUAUAUUGUGCAUAAUACUUGUAGUUUUGUGAUAAACGAAGAUAUUAAAUCUGUAGUUUUGUGAAAUAAGUUCUUAAAUCUGUAGUUUUGUGAUAGAUCAUACAAAGUAUAUGUAGUUUUAUGAAAUUUACUCAAAUAUCAUUUCAAUUCUACUAUGAAGAAUCAUGCAAAAGCAAUGAUGUAACCGCAGAUAAUCCCUUAUUUUGCCAAAAGUUUUCCGACAUUUAUAUAUGUUUAAGUAGUACAAAUUUUAUAUUUUUAUUAGAAGUACUUCUGUGCUAUCAUGAUUUUGUAGGUCAAUGUUUAACUCUGGACACAUUGUCAGGUCAAAUGACUUGUAAAAUCAAUAGAGGGAGUACCAUGCCAAAAAAAAAUCAAUAUCAGAAAUUUUAUUACUCUCUUGAGGCUAUAUAGAAACAAGAAACACAAUGGAGGAAUCCAGAGUACCUGAUAAAGAUCAGCAUAAGUGAUAUUUGGAUGCUUUCGCUUAAUAGGCUCUGUCAGAAAAUAAGACAACCAGAUAAGUGGUAAUCAUGACACAAUUUAUUAAAGAACCAUUGAAGUAAAAUGACUUGGCAACCAAUAAUGUUCUGUACAGAAGAACGAAUUACUCAAUGAAGUCAUCAGAAUGGUGUUACAAUUUUCCAAGGUCAAGUAGUAAACAGAAGCAAAAGCUUCCGGUGAUAAAAGUGAAGAGGGAAGAGACCACCGUAAUCAAGUUUCAAAGCUACUAGGCUACUACAAGAGAAGGAACAAGAUCAGUAACACAUCAAUUAAUCUUCUUAAAAUGAUCGGCAACAAGUGAGGAUUGCCUACACAAGGACAAACAAGUAGAAAAUUAUGUAGCUACAAGGUCAAUGAUAUUGCAAAGUACACACCAAGGAGAUCAAUGGCAAUUUUUAGUCCAGCAUUUGAACCAUGAGUGUACUCUUCCUCAUGCCUAAUUGAACCAUUUGCACCCCUAGUUUUUGUUUUUGCAUCAUAUGUGCCAGCAUCAUGCCAUCUGCAAGUACAGAAGAUAAAGUCUCCACAUGAAAAAGAGAAUGGCAAAGUAACUAUCUAACAAGGAAGAUAAACAUGGAAGCUUCAUGGAGGAACACACACCAAAUGACUGACUGAGAAGCCAAAAUCAUACUACUAAAGAUUUUUAUUUUUGGGGGGGUUGCCCUUACUAGUUACUACUUUGGCAUGUGGACAUAAGUGCAUAACAAGGUAUGUGUCGCCAAAAACACUAGUAUCAAUUAUCACAAAGAUGGCGAAACAACUUGUUCUGGUGCUGUAAUGAAUAUAAAAUUUUGGUACUAAGUGUCCAAAAGGGACAACAUGCUGCCCUUGACCCUCCAAUUCCAAGUAUGCAUAUACUCGUAUCAGACUAAGAUACUAGCAUCCAAUCCCCGGUGAGAAAGGCACGGAUUCUUUUUUUUCUUUUGAAAUAUAAGCAGGAGUGUUGCCUAUUUCAUUAAUAGAGAAGGAUCGCAAGGUUCAAACAAAAUAUGUAAAUAUAUAUGAGGCCUCAAAGGUAAGAAAUAUAGAAGCUUUAUUCUCGCAAAGGUAAAAACUAAAAACUCCUCCAAUUACAUAAUAUGACUAUGACGAUGCAGAGUUCAGUUCUUUUGGAGGAAGAAUGAAACAAGAUUCAUGGAUGGAAGCAAGAAAAAGAGAAAGAGGUAAGGAAGUGAGACACAAAGGAAUCAAGUGCCAUUUGACGGUAGAAAUGCAGAGCCUAAUCCUCCUCCAAAUCCGAUUGUAGGAUUCCGCUUGCCCCAGUGACAGAUUACACGGUCAGUCCACAGAAACCAUCCUGAUCAAGCCUUUGGACCACCAUUCUUUUUUACUAUGAAAACGUGGCCCUAGCUCCAAAAGGUGUAUGGACGACCAUCUCAAGACUAUUACUACCUCCGUUUUUUAAUAGAUGACGCCGUUGACUUUUUCUCACAUGUUUGACCAUUCGUCUUAUUCAAAAAAUUUACGUAAUUAUAAUUUAUUUUGUUAUGAGUUGUUUUAUCACUCAUAGUACUUUAAGUAUGAUUUAUAUCUUAUGCAUUUGCAUAAAUUUUUUGAAUAAGACGAAUGGUCAAACAUGUGAGAAAAAGUCAACGGCGUCAUCUAUUAAAAAACGGAGGGAGUAUAUGAUAUUCAGCGUGAGUUCGUAGAUUCUCAAAGUACUUACUUCUGUGCUGUUGCUAGAAAAUGGGGCUACAUUACAUUCACAUAUAUAACCUGCCUGCCGAUUGAGAAUAUGUCAGUAUGUCACCAUUCUCCCCCAAAUUCCAUUCCCCCAAGAAAAUUAAGCCUUUCCUCAUACUAGGAUGUGGUGGCCCUCCUGGGAUCCAGGAAGGCAUUUCAAUUGCUAGCAAACUUGUGUGGCCGUGCAACAACCUUGCAGCUAGCAACCAACAGUACCGUGAAUCAGUGAUGGCUUGGAGAGCGAGCACUCUGCACUUCCUAUGAUAACUUCAGAAUCCCCGAGCUGUAAAGAUAAUUAUGGCUAGCACGCAGUCACCGACGAAUUAACCCCCUAGCUACAAACACCCAAAGCAGGCAAGCACUGAAGAACAACUGCUCGUCCAGCUCGAUCCGACACUCGAUCGAUCGAUCAGUAUAAACCCCCGCACGAGUAAAUCGACCGAAUCAAAAAAGCACAGCGAGAGAGAGGGGUGUGAGGAUCGGUUACGGACGCGAGGCGGAGCAUGAUGGGGGCGCAGCCCUUGGAGGCGAUGAGCGCGCGGAGGUCGCGGCGCGCCCCCUCGACCUGUCGCAGGUACUCCGCGUCCACCACCGGAGCCGCCAUGGUGACCGGCCGCGCGCGGGGUCGUCGCCGGCGGCGGCGGAAGCGGGGCGGCUUGGCGUGGAGACAAGCCGAGGAGACGAGGAGUGGAAACGUGGAAGCGGCAGAGGAAGGCGGCGGCGACGACGACGACGACGAAGAGGAGUAGUAGAGGAGAUAACGUGAUGGGUUGUCUUUGGCAGUUGGGCUAGCCCAUUGGUGGGCCCACUCCUUUACCGGCCGAACGAACUAGUCGUGGCUGGUGACGUCACUUGUAAUUCGUUGGGGGGGGGGAAUAAGUCUAUUUUGCCUCUUUAAAUAGUUUUUGCUCUUGAUUAAAUCGUCUCACCAAACUGCAAAACCGGGUAUAACAUCUCUUCUAAUAUCAGUGAAAAUCGACUUCUUCGGUGAUUUUAAAAGUGAUUUCUUCUGACGUGGCAAGUUGACUGUGGUGGACUUGUUGAGUCAGCAGGUGGGACCAACGUGCAUGUGACUUUCAUCUUCUUCCUCACCUCUCCCCUCUUUGUCCUCUCUUCCUCCUCCUCCUCCUCCUCCUCUCUCUUCCCCUUCUAGUGGCUCCAUCGGCUACCGACAAGGAAGGGAAGGGAAGGAGCCCUAGUGCAAGCAACUCAACCUGAUGGCAUUCCUGAGGCACCUCCGGAGCAAGUAGCUAGAACCACCCCUAGCACCCUGCGGUGCGCCACCGAUGUAGCCGAAUUUAUCUCGCUUCGCCAUCUCCGGGCAGAACCACUCAGACGUCGCAAACAUCCUUCACGCGUUGUGCAUCACCAACACGGCGGCAGGCGGAGGUCGAGGAAGACCAGCGUAACUGGGUUGGAGAAGGUGAGCACCACUAUCACGUCGAACGAGUUGAGCUUCUUGAUGGAGAAGAGGUAGUAGUGAUGUCGACCCUAUGCCGCCUGACAUAUGCGUUGCGACGGUGUGAACAAAGAACAAUAUAUCUCAUGCUAACAGUUUUGAGGUCUUCUUUUCUCCCCCGCAUUAAAAGCUUUCUCAUCCAUGCAAAGCGGCGGUGAGGCUACACUACCACCAGUACUACUAUUGCUACUUAUCAGCUCAGAAGGCGGAGAUAACACUAACGCGGGAGGUUGGUGAGGCUGCGGUGGCGAUGUUCGGGCUUCGUCUCCGUCCUCACAGACAGGGGAGCUCGCGCGAGGUCGCGGAAAGAGCGGGAAGACACGGUAGCUCGGGGAAACCACGGCGGUAGCAGCAUUCCCGCUCCGUUCACCUGGGGCUGCUACCGCCUUGCUCUUCUCGGCCGCCCGCCGCCCCUCUCCUCAUCGGGCGCUGGUCUAGAGUUCAUGGGUGAGAGAUGCAAGAGAGGAGAGAGAGGAGAGCCCUUGACAUGUGGGUCCCACAUGCUAACUCAGCGAGUCAACCAUAGUCAACCUGCCACGUUAUCAAAAACCACUUCCCUAACCAGCUAAGGAGUCAAUUUGCUCUAGUUUUUAAAGAUUGUGGAGUGUUCAGGAGCUAAGAGAGAGAUAAAAUAGACUUAUUCCAUUCGUGGGGGAAUACAUUGGCCCAGUGAGAUCAACGGGCCCAAUAAAUUCUGCAGAAUCUUAGCACAAAAAGGCUGGUUAUUGUGGAUCUGCGGGCCUGUAGGCUACGUCUAGCUUCACAUUAUUUUCUUUUUCCGUUAUUUUUUGGCUGGACAGAGGGACAGCCUUUACACUCACUCUAUCUAAAGUCGGGCACCAUGAUUCGUGCAGGAGGACGUACCGUCCUCACAAUGAUGUUAGAGUGAUCCAAGCUCGUACGGAUUGAGCAUUGCACGAUCUGAUUGAUCAUCCCGGAUUUUCCUUUCGGUCCAUCAACGAAAGUAAAUGUGCCCAAUGCUACUAAGGCCCUCUUUAGAUCCCACCUAAAAUUUUUCACCUUAUAAUAUCGAACGUUUAAACACAUGUAUGAAAUAUUGAACAUAGACUAAAAAAAUAACUAAUUGUAUAGAUUGCAACUAAUUUGCGAGACGACUCUUUUAAGCCUAUUUGCUAUAUGAUUUGACAAUGUAAUGUUUCAUUAAAUAUUUGCUAAUGACGGAUUAAUUAUGCUUAAUAAAUUUGUCUCGCGGUUUACUGACGGAUUAUGUAAUCUGUUUUGUUAUUAGACUACAUUUAAUACUUCAAAUGUGUAUCCGUAUAUCCGAUAUGACACGCCAAAACUUUUCACCUCUGGAUCUAAACACAGCCUAAUAAAGCAACACAACAACAACAAACUGCUACUACGGAGUAUGAGUACUACCAUAAUCUACUCUCUUUGUCCCGUUUUAAGUGUAGUUGUGAGUUUCUGUGUCCAAUAUUUGAUCGUUCAUCUUAUUUAAAUUUUUUUUAAAAAAUAAGUCACGCAUAAAGUAUUAUACAUAUUUUAUCAUUUAAUAACAAAUAAAAUAAUAACUAUAAAAUAAAUUAAAUAAGACGAACGGUGAAAUAGUAGACACAGAAAUCUACAUCUGGCCUUAAAAUGGGAUGGAUGGAGUAACUGAGAAUAGCGGUACAUUCUUUCGAGAAGGGUUGAUCACAAAAGCCAACCAAAGGUGGUCGAGGAGAGCAGCAAGCCAGUGAGCCAGCAUCCGCCUCAGCCUCUUUGGAAAAAGCAAACGAAAUAAAAAGCCGGGCCGUGCAUGCAUUCAGCAAACGCAUUUAACUCGAACGCCACAAAUCCCUCCCGAACCGGGCGGUUCAAACGCUCAUUUCAGGGCCGCAUUCUCGAAUUCGAAUUCAAAUUCAACCAAACCCCAAACUCCCCACCACCACACACACGGUAGAGAAGUACUCAAUAAGUUCUAUAAAAACCCAAUCUAAUAUUGGAUGUCUAUAUUUAGAUUUAUUGUAUUUGGAUAUAUUAAGUGGCGGAGCUAAGGCCUGAUUUGCACGGGCAAUGGCCCGGGCUCCACCAGCUGCAAGCAGCAAUUCACCAGAAAAUUAGUGCCUAAUUACCUUAGUAAUCACCUUUCUUAGUCACCGGCAAGGCAGUGCAAUCUACAAUGUAACUAGUACAACAACAAACGUGCUCAACACAAACUUUUAAAACAAAUGUGCAUACUAAAGUUAUCUAUGAAUUAUAUAGGCUUGUAUAUACCUCAAUUUGUUGUUAGACUCGUCAAGGCUCAUGCAAUUUUUUUAAAAUCCGUCACUGGAUGUAUUUAAUCAUAGGCUCUGUUUAAGGAGCUUAAGAUUCUGAGAAUCUAUUGGUUGGUAGCUAGCUUCUAAGAAUAUGGAGAAGCUGGGUUUUUCAGCUUCUAUGUUCUCGUUCAUUUUCUGAAUUCUACAACUACGUAUUCUCAGAAUCUGGGUGAUAAUCUGCACUGUUUAGGGGAGGUCCAUGGAUUCGUUUUUGGUGAGACCGAGGGAAUUACAACAAACAGUCCAGUCAUUUCACCCACCGCGAGUAGAGUAACUGCCGGCGAUCGCAAUCAGGGGUGGAGACUGGAGAGAGCAGCAUUCAAUAGUGUCGGCCUCCCCGCGCAACGUUCCUUUCCAUGCGCUUUUCUGCAAAGGAGGCUCAAAAACAGCAACGAGCCAACGAGACGAGACCGCCUCGGUGGUCGCUGCUGUGCCGUGCCGCGCCGCGCCGCGCGGCCCACGCCCAAUAAAAAGCCGCAAAAACUCGCGCAAACCCCCGCUCCAAAGCCGUGCCCGUGCCGACCCGAACCGAACCAGCGACCGACGCACGGCACGCACGACCGUUGGGGUGCAGGAGCGGGUUCCCGACGCUGCCCUCGGAAGCAUCGGCUCGUGCGCGACGAGGCGAGGGGCAGUUUGGGGAUCGCUGAAUCCGGCCGAGAAAGAGAGCAUGCACACUGCCCGAGAUCUCAUGCCCCUCUCGCUCUCUGUUUUUACUCCUCCACUGCCGUGUGUGUGUGUCACAGGCAACACGCGUGCAAAAGAUCGAACACCUACGGGGCGAGGCGAGCUCAUCUCUAUCCAUCCAUCCAUCUCGACCUCGCGGCGGCGCCGGCGGCGAUGGGGCUGUGCCAGUCGAGGCUGGAGAGGCAGGAGGCGGUGUCGAGGUGCAAGGCGAGGCGGCGGUACACGAAGCAGCUGGUGCAGGCGAGGCGGGACAUGGCGGCGGCGCACGCGCUGUAUCUCCGGGCGCUGCGUGCCACGGGCGCCGCGCUGCUGCAGUUCGCCAGCGCCGAGGCGGACCACCCGCACCCGCACCACCACGUCUCCGCGGCGCCGCCGCCGCCGCAGACGCCGCCGUCCCCGCCGCCUCCGCCACCGCCGCCGCCGCCGCCUCCCCCGCCGCUCAGCCCGACGCCGACCACCACGUCGUGGACGACCAACUCCUCCUCGAUCAGCGCGUCCCCGAUCUUGCCCCCGCCGCCGCCGCCGCCAAUGCCGUCCAGCUGGGACUUCUGGGACCCCUUCGCCCCGUCCUCCUCCCGCUCCGCCACCGAGGACGCCGAGUGGGACGACGCCGCCACCACCAUCGUCGACGCCCCCAACGCCCCGCCCGUCGUCACCGUCGCCGCCGCCGCGGCCCCGCCCCCGUCCGUCGUCACCGCCACCACCACCACCUCCACCGCCAGCGAGCUCACCGUCGUCGCCGUGCCCCGCGGCGGAGGCGGCGCCGGGAAGAAGGACCUCGCCGAGAUCGCCACCGAGCUCGACGAGUACUUCCUCAAGGCGGCCGACGCCGGCGCCCGCGUCGCCGCGCUGCUCGAGGCCCCCAACUGCGAGCCUCCCGAGACCAACAACAGCAGCUUCCCAGGCAAGACGAUCUCCAAAUCAGUCACUCGAUUGAGCUCCAUCUUGCUCACAUUCCACUUAUUUCUGACAAAUUAUCUGUUGCAUGCAACUGAAAUCGACGAAUGCUGCAGGGAAGGUACUGAAUUACGGCAAGAACUUGAGGCCGAUGGGAUGGUCAUGGGGCGGAAGCGGGUACAGCAAAGGUAGCAAUGGUUUCUCAAGAUUCGGAAGAGGGGACGAAGGGAUGGGUAAUGGCGGAAGCAGCGGAAUUCUUAGCCAUUCAUCCACCGUGGAGAAGCUCUACGCCUGGGAGAAGAAGCUGUUUCUUGAGGUCAAGGUAAUUACUUUGAUCUUUUAACUUUAUUGACAGCAUUCUGAACUUUGCUUUCUUGCUAGUAAUUAAGAAGUAACUAAGCAAGAACAGACAGAAUGGCCGAAAUGUACUGCUCAGUUAGAUCUCAGUGGGUGAGUGCUUUGGGCUUUUGAGGAGCCCGUCCUUUUUUCAGUUUGAUUAUUAAGCUGUGAUGGGAGAUACUAACAUGGAUUCCGAUGGGUUGCAAUUGGUUUUGUCUGAACAAAAGCAGCUACUAGUGGGCACAAGUACUAGUAGUGCGUAAUGCACAUGUAUACUGCUAGCUUUAUCGUUCCAUGUAGCAAUAUUUUUUCCCUGUGUGUCAGUGUUCAGUAGCUUCUGUAAGUAUGAUAUGCGCUAUGCUUUUGGAGUUCAUCGAAGUAAAAGGAUCAUUCCAAUUGUAUUACUACCAUGGAAGGUUUAGCUGAAUGGGAGUGGACUGCAGAGAGUGAAAUUCAUGUUUAAGUAUGCCUUUGAAAUUAUUGAUCUCAGGGAGUGUAAUACUUGGAUCAUAUAGUUUGUUUUUGUUUGUUUGGUUUAAUUUCUUUUGUUACUUUUGGUUGUCUCCCCUAAGCAAUCAUGAAACAUCGACUUUAUAUAUAACUUUAAAGUUAGAAUCCUCCUGUUUAUCUUUAUAGAAUUAACUUAACAGAGAUUUUCUUGUUCUUUCUAUGACUGCACAACUAGCGCAGAGUUAUGAGGGGCUUAAGCAGGAGCAUGAUAAGAAGAUAGGGCUAUUGAGGAAGCAGGAGGUGAAGGGUGUGGACUACUUGAAGAUGGAGAAGAACAAGAUGGAGAUCGAGAGCCUCGAUUCCAAGAUGCUUGUUGCCACGCAGUCCAUCGAGACCACCACUUCUGAGAUAAUGAGGCUGAGAGAAUCCGAGCUCUUCCCUCAGCUUCUUGAGCUCGUUGCUGGGUUAGUGCAAUGAUUCAUUCACCCUCUAUUCUGUCGUACCUUGUGCAUCUAGCUGCAGUAGUCCUGGACUAUUAACAUGAUCUCUACUUCCACUUGCCCCUGUCGUUUUUCUAGUUUGCAUGUGACCAUGGCUGUGUGAUGUAUAGACUGAGCACAUAUGGGCCAUACAUACUAUGGCUUUGCCAUGCUUGGCUGUAGUGGCAUUGGCUAUUUACUCUUUGCAUCUACCAACAUAGCUCACUCUCCCAUUGCAUUUAUCUUUCUCUUCAUGUAAAGGCACCUUUGCCACUGUACGAGUAACCUUUCACUCAUAUUGGGCAACUUUGAAGUAAUGGAGUUUGGAAGGAGCAAUGCAGUAGUGUACUAGUAGCUGGUAGGUUCUCCAAGUUUUGACUAGUCUGAGUGAAUCUCCUGUACAUUGAUUUGGUUAGACCAAGCCUGUCUCCACAGGAUCUCCUAGUCAUUAUUGCCCAUCUAGCUGACAUCUUCGGGUAAUGGUGACGUAAGUUAUACAUGAAACUUUUGAAGUGUUUGACAUGUUGUUGUUUGCCGUAUUGCUGACUUUAAGUAUUUUUGAAGUGUUUGAUCAGCAGUGUUACUGUCUUACUGAUAAGCUCAUUGUUUCUGGGAGAACACUAGUUCUCCAGUAAAGAAGAGAAGGUCAUUGAGGUAUUAGUGCAUUCUGCAUUGCACUUACCCCUUUAGAUAUCCAUUUCUCAUAGGGGGUCUCUGGCUAUACUUAACAUGACUGCAUAAAUCUGGAGUAUGCAUUGGAAUUUUGGAUUAUUUUGCUUCAAUAUCAACAAUUUAGUGGAAAACAUAAUUUUCAUAUAACCUUUUCCUUCAAUGAUAUGAUGGGCCAAUGCUACACAAAGUUUGGUUGAUACACUCUACCCCUACCUUAUUGAAGACUGCUGUAACAUAACCUAGCUAGUUAUGUUACUGCACUUUACUUCAAAUUCUUGUAUACUAAAAUUCCAGCUGGUACCCCUGUUUCAGCUUGAAGUGGUCUCCCUAUGUAUAAGUAUUCUCAGAGUCUACAUACUGUCAGUUGCAUUAAUUAUUUUCUGGAAGUACAUUUCCUUUCUUCAGCACCAUGCCUAUGCUUUUUUUUCCAUUCUCAUAGAGUGUUCCUUUUUUUUAUGAAUGAAUUCCAGCUUGAUGAGUAUGUGGAGGGGCAUGUAUGAGUGUCAUCAAGUACAGACUCACAUGGUGCAGCAGCUUGAGUACCUCAACAAUUCCUUGAGCACUAACCCAACUUCCAAUGUCCACCGGCAAGCAGCUCUACAGCUUGAGAUCGAGGUUGACAGAUGGUACUCAGCAUUCUGCAGUCUGGUUAAGUCCCAGAGAGACUAUGUCUAUUCAUUGACCGGAUGGCUUCGCCUCUCACUAUUCCAAUCCUAUCAUGAUCCAUACAACAAAGCUCAUCAGAACUCUGAUAUCUACAGCUUGUGUGAGGAAUGGCAGCUAGCCAUUGAUCGAAUCCCCGAUAAGGUAGCCUCGGAAGGGAUCAAAACUCUCCUGACAGUGAUACACGCAGUUGUGGUACAACAGGCGGAGGAGCAAAAGCAAAAGAAGAGGUCAGAGUCUGCAUUCAAGGAACUGGAGAAGAAGGCAGAGGAACUAAGAUCCCUUGAAUCCAAAUAUGGGCCAUAUUCGGGUGCUGAAGGCUAUGGAGAUAUGUCUCGGAAGUCGCCAGUAUCAGACAAGCGAGCGAAGGUGGAAGCUCUGAGAUGUCGGGCGGACGAGGAGAAGAGCAAGUAUGAGAAGAGCAUUGGGGUCACAAGAGCAAUGACCUUGAACAACCUUCAGACAGGUUUCCCUAACGUUUUUCAGGCGAUGACGGGAUUCGCCAGCGUUUGCAUGGAAGCGUUUGAAUCGGUGUACAACUUCAAGAGUUCAGAUCGGAUCCUUGAUUCGAAGAGGCUACUAACAUGAGAUUCUGAGAAGUUGUCUUGUGUUGGUGCUUGGUAGGUCACUGUAUAAAGUGUAUACAGUUCUAGAGUUCUUGUAGAAUAGCAGGUGGAACAGGGUUUAACUUACAACCGUCUCUGUCUGUUAUCGUCUUCUAUCUUAUGGUACUAGAGUAGGCAGGCACAGAAAUGCCUCGAGUUCAUUUACUCGCUGUGAACGAACUUGAGGCCUUGUUCUUCCUCUUUUUGGUUAGCUCUGAGGUGUUUGUCCAUUCUUGGAUUCGAAAUCUAAAAUCUGGCAAAUUCAAAAGCUCUGGUUUUCGAAUUGUUUCAUAUCUUGCAAAAUUUUGUACGAUGACAGCAGUAUUUCGCAUACUGUAUAGUCUAUUAUAAUUCGGCCUGCCCGUUUUCAUGUUCACACGUCAUGUCAAAGAAUUUUGUCGAACGCACAACUUCUUUUUAAAAGAAUUCAACUCUGCCAGAAUUCUAUGUUUAUCUGCAUUGAAGGAUAAUGGGUCAUUACAUCUCACAUCUAAUUCCACUUCCGAUGCCAAUAGCAUGGUUGCUUCUACGUUGUUCUCAACACAAUUUUGAAAAAAUAACAAAAUAUCUCAACAAGGUAAAACAGAUGCCUGGACACAAAGAAGUAAAUAUCUACAGAACUCAAUCACAGGUAUUGGCCAAACUCUGUUUGUAGCAACAACAUUCAUAUGUAUCAUCCUGUAUCUCACGAAGUUCAAGCAUUUCACCUACUUCAUCACGGUUGCUAUGAAGUUCUCCACUGCAUCUCUAUCUGAAUCUGACCAUUUUUGGAAUCAAUGAGGUGGUACUUCUCAUUGAUCCGCUUGUUGCUGAUCACAUCUGCGAGGCUUAUAUCAAUGUAGCCUAAGGUUUCCUGAAUAAAUUAAAAUACUCAUCAGUGAUUCUGAUAUUCAUCAUGCACAAGUCGAGAAAGUAAAAUGUUGGCAUGGGACAGAACUUCCAGGCACAAAACAAAUACCUUGCCGUGUAUCAAUCCUUUCUUUGAAGCUUUACUUAGAACUUCAAUAUGCAGUUUAUCAUUUACAGGGGGUUCCUCGCAUACAAACUCGAAUUCGUCCUCCCACCGUGGAUCCCUGUUUUUCUUGAUUACCUACAAAAUUGAGGUAGAAUUUUAUAGGUUGGGGGGGGGGGGGGGCACAUGAGAUCAUACCACAAACAAUUUCAGUGCAGAUGUUCAAGUGAAUAAUAUUUGCAAGAUAUUAGUACCUUUGUUUUCUUCUCUUCUCCUUUGAAAAUUAUCUUUGCAUAUGGGUUUGUGUGAUGCUUUCCUUCAAGAUCUUGAGCUUCAUGAACAACAACAUAAAGCAGUCCUCCACCAGCUGGAGUACCAUCAGGAGCUUUCUCCACCACAUCAGCAUUAUCGAUGCCUUCUUUCUCCAUAUCCUCUUCCUUGAAAGGCUUAUAUGUCACCUCCAGAGUAAGCUGACCACGGGACUUCUCAUUUUGUACAUCAUUAGGAUCCAUCGUCUUAAGCAAGUUAACAGUCAUGACUUUAGUCUCAUCUGCGGGAAGUUCUUUCAACAGAAUGUUGUUCAUGCCCAUUUUCUCAUGCUUGCCAACCUGUAUACAUCAAAAGAAAUAAUCAUGUCUUUUUUGGUAUAAAAAAUGCAGAAAAAAGUAGCGGAUUUCAUUAAUGAAGCGGUCCAUACCUGUUCCCAAUCAAAGACAUUAAUUUCCAGUGCCUGAGUUUCAGGGUCUGUCACAACAAAUUUGAAAUCCUCAUUCCACUCUGGAUUGAGAUUGCUACGCUUCACUGUUGUUUUCUUGGACGGAAGCUUGUCAUCUGACAUCUUAAGUUUCACAUAUGGGUCCGAUUUACCCAACAGAUCCUUCUUUCGCAGGUUUUGAGCUCUUAAAACUUUCACAAGUAGAAUUCCAACAGGCUUCUUAGAAGCUCUGCAAAUAGAUGGAACCAUUAAUGUGGCAUCUCAAAAACUGCAUACAAACAAAUAAUAGACUAAGUGAUAGAUAAUGUACUUUGAGGGAUCCAUUAUGGGAACUUCCAAUGUCUUUGGCCACAAAUACAUGCUCGCAACUUGCUUUUUUAUGGUCUCCUGCAAAUGCACAAAUGGAAGUGGUCAAAAUAUGAACUACUUGUACUGAAUGGAGUGAGGCAGUCUGUGGCACAUCCACUGUAAUGGCUAAGAUAGACACCAUCAAAUAACAUCAAGUCAAGGGCUCAAGGCUAUAGGAUAUGAAAUUAUAGCAAACAAGAAAUAUCUUGCUUUUGCUACAUAAGAAUGUGUGUACGAAUCUAAGUCUAAGCACGUGUAGACCAAUAACAGAAGCAAGUUACAGUACCACAUUACAAGUUUGCUGUGAAUGUUAAAAGAACUGUAGCAGUUCUUUCAUGACGGCUCACUUUAGCUCUACGUAUUUCUAGCAAACUAAUGAAAAUCUCAACACCAUAGACCAACAAACUUUCGCAUAAGAAGGCUCAAAGUAGGAGUCAGGAAUACCUGAACAAAUCUGUAAAGACCAGGGAUAGCCAUUAAAUCUGCUCCGAAAAGUUUCAGCCCGAAGUCAACGUGUGGCUGCCAAACCAACAUAACUAGUAAGAAGGUUGCCAGCAGGGUAAUAAACAUACAAGCGAUCAGAUAUCAGACCUUCUCCAUGAGAGAAACAAGGAUUUUUGCGAAGCAAGGAAAUGUAGGGACCAAUGGCUUCAGAGUAAUACGAGGUGAAGCAAAGACUUGCAGAUCCACAAUCUGAAAUUUUGUUUCACAUGAACAAUGAAUAACUUAAUUAGCUCAAUUCUAUAUCAUAUCACAUAAUGAGAACACCAAUUACUACUUCAGCCCAUGACAAAAAAAAAACCUGGACAGUUGCUUUCAACCCAUAAGCCUUUACAACAACAGUGACAUUGGGAUUUGCAGCCCACUUAAGAGAUGGUUCCAUUAUCAAUUCUUGUUCUUCUGUGACAUACACUUUCAUUCCUGGAGAAGCAAAUAUCAUACAACAGAUUCAGUGUAAUGCCAGGGUACAAAGAGAGCUGAGCACAUAGAACAUUAUUGUCCACCAUACAUGUUUAUGGUGAUGUCCAUAUGACAUUAACUUACAAUAAGUAAUAAACAAGCUGUACAGACCUAUGGCUAUAAUGCAUAGAGUUGGUCAUAAAAACAUAGUAUGACAGCUUAGUGGGAACAAAGUAGUAGCAAUGCAUUCAUAUUCUAUAUCUCCAGCGAUGCAAACCAUAACUACUCUGAUGCUGAUUUGAUUACAGUUGAUCGUAAAACAAGUUGAUAUGAACACAACUGUUUGCACAAUAUACAGAAACAAGGGCCACUUCUAAGGAAAAGACAUGUGAACUACAUAUGUAUGCAUGUAUAUAAUGAGAAAGUGCACUAACCUUGAAAGGUGGGUGGUAAGCUACCCAAUGUAAGUGAUUCAAACUCAAUAGAUUCUAGUUUAUACGUCUUCCUGUUCUCUUCAAUGAUUGGCUUUGCAAUAUCCAGUGCAGUUCUGCAGAUCGCCUACAGGAUAAAUGCACAAUAAAGUUUCUAUUGUCAAUCAGAGAGAUCCAUUUCAUUCUUGGUGACUUGGUGUAGUCUACAGCAAGAUAAGGGUACCUUGUUGAGGUAAGGCCACAUCAUCUCCAAAAAUCUAUUCAGCCAAUCAAUCUAACAAAGAAUAAGAGGAAGAUGAGAAAUAUGAGAUAAGCUAGCAUUGAUGCUGUUCAAGUGCAUGAGUUUUCUUCAGCGAGUAGAUGAUAGUUUAAAGAAUGGGUAAGCAUACUCUAUCAUAGUCAGGAUUCUUGACCCACAAAGGAAUUUCAGGAAGGAUACCGUCCAACGAUAUUGAGUCAUAUUCGACAAGUGGGCGAACUUUGACGUCCUGAAAGGCAAUCAGAGGAAGAAAUUACCCCCAUGCAGCACAACAAUAUGGUGCAUUACACCAAGAAAAACUCAAAUGUGUGCCGUUCCAGUACAUAUGGUAUCAAUGGACAUGUACAUGCAUAUAUAUAGUGUAAUAGGUCAUCAUACACCAACUGAAAGGUUGCCUUUAUUUGAAAAUCAUGAAAGAUAUCGUUUAAACACCCAAAUAAAAUAAUAGAUGCUUAUAUAUGGCAUAUUAACAGUAUGUGGUUGAGACUAACUGAAUUAGGACUUCACAAAAAACUAAAUGAGUUCAUCAAUGCCUCCGUCGUCAAAUUAUUUUCUGUAACAGCAAGAGCCAAACUGUUCCCAGGCCAUUUUGGUUGUAAGGUGUAGACAUCUGUUAAUAAGCAGCACCACACAUUCCACAACACAAGUAUUCAUUAUAUGACAAUAUGAUAAAAUUUUAUACAGUAUGAAAGGAAGAGAAUCAUUGAAAUAUAGAUGUGCACCUUGACAUCAGUUGGCUGGAAGUAGAUGAAGAAGUAGUAUCCGAUGACAAUACCAGCGGAGAAUCCAAAGCCAAACCCAGAGAAACCAAGCACCGUACUAAUCACACCCAUCUCAGACUCGUUUUAGUACCUCCAAAGUUAUAGCAGAUUUCAGCCUAAGGCUGCAAAAAUCAAACAUGUCGGAAGAUGAAACAAAGGCUUACACUCAGGUAAAUUAAUCAAUUGAAACACUUCAUUCAGCUGAAUCAUGAGAGAACAACAAGUGGUCUAGCCAGAUCCCUAUCACUAGCUCGUACCUCCUCUUUUUUUUUUUUGGUGAAAAUACUCUAUUCAGCUUUUUGCGUGAGAGCAUCAAAAUAUCCCGGCAUAAGCAAAAUUCAGAGCAAACAGAUUUGAACAAAUUGCAGAAAGCAACAUGGAGCAACUUCCAACAUUAGAAACUGGAGGGGCCCAUCAAUCAAGAUUUCCCCCCUAGUACGACAGUAUGAAAGUAACCUUCACCCGCAUAUCACCCAAAAAAAAAAGUACAUGUUGAAAGUUCUUUUAAUAAAAAAUAGUGAAAACGACCUGCAGGAGACUGAUAGAAACAAAGUUUAGCACAGCUAAUGCCAAUUGGUUCGGUAACAAGAAGAUAUAGUCAUAUGGUGAAGAGAAAACUUGUAAACUUUAAAAAUGAUAAUGCAGAUUUCAGAAUAAUAUAGGCUGGAACCACCCAAAGUUGCAAUGUUUUAAUUAAAUAAUUAAGCGAGAAGACAAAAGGUGGAUUCAAGUGGUGGAAGAAAAGAACAUCAAAGGUGUGCUUUACGGAUGGUUUCUUGCUUGGCUGUGGGGUUGGCGCUUUAAUCUUUGCUUUUGGGGUGGGUUUCGUAUUAGAGCAAAUCCGCUGUACACCAAACUGAAGAUUUCAACAAAAUAUAGUGGUGGGAUCUGCUUGUGAAAAAAAAGAGAAUAAAGUUCGCUUGGAGGUAGGACAGAGAAUAUUGUUACAGAGUGUGAAAUUUUCUCUUGUUCGAUUAAAUAGAAUUCAACCAAAAACAUGAAAUGAAUUGCACAGUUUAUCUAUGCUAGAUUCACAAAUUUACAUUAUUCAUAAUAUUGCUCAAACAACACAUCCGCGCACAGUGUUCACAUACGAAAGGUAAUUCCAAACGGAAGCAAAUUAGUUUUGCCGAAUUCACUGACUCACUUCAUGCAUGUUUCUCCUAAAUAAGACAUGAUUCGAUAAUUGUCUCAAAUCGACGUUAAUCGCCAGCAAAUAAAAAAAAGUCGCACGAAAAUGUACCCCAAAAAUGGUGAACCCAAUCCGCCCCUACGAUUGCACGGAUCAAAAAUUCAAAAUCGAUCCUACAGUGGGAAAAAAAAAACCCUAGACGAAUCCAACUUUAGCCGCAACCGGACAGACGAGAAAACACCCAACAAAAAUCAAAAACUCCCAUCCAAUCCUACAACAGCCCAAAAAUCCAGGCAACGAACAAAAACCUAGAUCGCCCCCCAACGCGAGAACGACGACCGAUCCGAGCAGUCGGGGAAGAGGAAGAGGAGGAGACGAACCAGUGAGAGAGAGAGCCCGCUCCUCGGCCAGUCACCCCCCCUGAGAUUCAGGCCAUGGAACUCGCUCCGAUCCGGUUGUGAGUGCUCGGAAUCGGAUUCGCCGAGGCGAGGAGAUGGAAUUUGGGGGGAAGCCGAGGUGGAGGAGGAGAGGUCGGGGUCGCACGUUGCGUUGCGGCGCCUCACGCGCGUGAGGCCGCGAUCCAAGGUGUGUGUGUGUGGGGGGGGGGGGGGGGGGGGGGUGGAAGAGGGAGGAGGGAGACGAGUGCCUAAUUAAAGAAGCGAAGCGAGUUUGAUUUGUUUCCUCUCCUCUCCUCUCCUGCCUGCUGCUGGAUGGGUGUGAAGUGUGAACUGUGGUGGAGUCGGAUGAGUGAUCUCGGGGACGCCGACGUGUGGGGACCGGGGAUGGUCAUGGUCCUCCCUGGCUCAUCUGCCCCCCCCCCCCCCCCCCAACUUUUGUAGUUCAAACCUUUUCUUGUCUUGUGUCGUGCAGUACCAAAAAUCAGCGAAAUUUGCGUGAAGUGUUUUAAAAAGGAUCCUUUCGAACGUAUGAAAGGGAAAGGAUUUUUUUUUAGGAUUUGAAUCAUAAAAUUCCGAUGUAGUUAUUCGCAGCAAAUGAUUGGUCCUCGAAAUUUUCAUUGAAAAUCCCGUGAAAUGAACCAUCGGUUAAUCCCUCCCUCGAGGAUUUAUAUUAGUUCUGAAAGUGAAAUGAACCGUGUUCGGAUAAUCCCACCCUCCAGAAUUUAUAUUAGUUCUGAAAUUAAUCUCCUCCACUUAUAGAAAUUUUAGAGGAAAACAAACAGGCAUCUUACCUCGUUUUUAGGUAAUGGACAGUCAUGGUUUCUUCUUUUUAUAUGUAUGAUUCCAUCAGUGCAUGUACAAUGGUAUGUAAUAAUGGGCUCUCUUCACUGUUAUGCAAGUAAAUUUGGUGACGUGGAAGAAAGAGAUGGAAGAAAUGAGAAAUAUCGUUGCUACGCAUGAUAACAGCUCAGAGUGGACUCUUAGCAUAAUGGAAAAUUUGUUGCAUGAGGGUGGAGAAAAGGAAAUAAGUAUAAUAAAAAAUUAUUUGAUACAUUAAUGGUUUAGAAAUCUUAUUACCUCUACUAUUAUAGGAGGAUUGUCUUUAGUGAUAUUAAUUAGUAUAGAGAGCUCAUAUUAGACUCUACCUUUGUACAUGCCCUCAGGGUUUUUCCCGUGUGUCAUCGGAUUAGAUUAUUCCAAUUUUUUUUAGUUUAUAUAGAGUCUGUAUGAAGAGACAUUCUAUACAUGGGUUUUUUUCCUUCUAUCUAAGGUGGUGUUUGGAUCCAGACACUUAACUUUAACUUUAGUCCCUGUAUUUAGACACUAAUUUAGAAUAUUAAAUAUAGACUACUUACAAAACUAAUUACAUAAAUCAAAGCUAAUUCGCGAGACAAUUUUUUAAGCCUAAUUAAUCCAUAAUUAGAUAAUGUUUACUGUAGCAUCACAUAGGCUAAUUAUGGAUUAAUUAGGCUCAACAGAUUCGUCUCGCGAAUUAGUCCAAGAUUAUGGAUGGGUUUUAUUAAUAGUCUACAUUCAAUAUUUAUAAUUAGUGUCCAAACAUCCGAUGUGAUAAGGACUUAAAGUUUUAGUCCCAUCUAAACAGGGUCUAAAGUUAUAUGCUCUUCUCGAUUUCUAUGUAGCUUAUAAGACGCUACAGAAUUUUACAACUUGAUUUGAUGUUUUUUUCCAUCGAAGUUGUUUUCUUUCAAUUUCUUGUGUUUUUCCUAUGAUCCGUUCAAACGGUGAUUCUUGUUUUUUUUUUUUGCGGUUCUCUGUUUACCCUUAUAUUUCUAUUAAAAUCAUAGUACACAUGUCUCAAAAUAUAAAAGUCUAAUUCUUUCGUUCUAUAAAAUACUAAUCAGGACAUAAUGUGACACAUCAUAGUACUACUACGUGGACAUGAGGUUGUCGAUAUUCAAGUAGAAUAUGCCACACUGUGUAUUUGAUUGGUUUUUUAUGAAAGAGAAAGAUUAGUAUUGGAUGGGAUAUAUAUUAGUAUAAUGAAUCUAGAUAGCAAGUCUAUUUAGUUUCGUAGUAUGAUAUAUUUUAUCUAGUGCUAGGCUAUUACUCCGUAUAUUAUAAAAUGGAAGAAGUAUGCUUUUCCUAUCUAUCUGUUUUCUUAAUCUGCUUUUCACGUAGACCAUCAAUUUUUUUGAAACAAGUAGACCAUCAAUUUUGGUUACAUGCGAGGUUGCCAAAUGGCAACGAACAAAUAAAGAGCAUGUCUCUGCAUUUCAUUUUGGCCAUUAGUUUGGCGGCCUUAAGCUGAUAAGCCGUAAAAAUACCUUAUUAGUAAUAAAAACUAAUUUCUAAGGAAAACUUUAUAUUUAUACCUAAGCAAUUUUAAACUGAAAAAUAAACUACUCUCGACAAUUUUAAAUUAAAAUUUCGACAGCAGAAAAUCGGAGGCAUUUGCAUGGCCUAGCAACCAGGUCAGUAGCAGCCACGCACGUACCACCGGUUCAUCACCCGACCAGUCAAAUCAGGGCGUUAUUUUCAUGAUCCAAAUGCAGACAACGGAUUGAUCGGUCGUGUCGCGUCGUGCAACAGAGCAAAGACGACGUGGAUGCUCCAAGUCGUGAGACGUUUCCCAGCCAGAAAAAAACUCGCUACUCUCCUUGACGCAGAAAGGGCCAAAAUUCUGCUUGAUAUGCGUAAUUUCCUCGGAACUCAUAUAAUACUUGUGUGUGGUAAGAACAGUGUAUGUCUCCAUCAGGCCAUAGUUCGUUUUCAGGACAAAAUGCAUCUCGCUAUCUCCUCGGUGGAAUGGCGCAUACUGGGGGUGUAUAAUCAUGCAGACUGCAGACACCUUUGAAGCUGUCCUGUGUCGGCAGCGUUGCGUCGGAUUGGAUAGGCCCUCGAAUUGUUCGACAACGACCUUGCUCCCCUUCCUUCAGGCCCAUUCUCUCGUGAAAGCAAACGUCGGAUUCGAACAGGAUCUACUAAUAAAGGAAAAAGUACACCGAAGAUACCUCAACUUAACUUGUCAUCGGGUUACAAAAUUGUCCCCCAACCACAACGUCCCUCAACUAACUAAACCGAACGGUUUCGUUUGAGAUUUUUUUUUGGUGGUUUUGAUUUCGGUUUUGUCCGACGUGGCGCUGAGUAGCGUGAAACUCAUAUGGACCCACAUGUCAGCGUGGCCACAUCAUCAUUAUCUCCCUUUUCCUCUCCCCUCUCCCUUCCUCAUCUCUCUCUCCAUCCUCUGCGAGGCCGUAGUGCGAGGCGGGACGGGAGAGGAGGGCGUCGGCAGCCGGCGACUGGCGACGCGACGGCGGUGAUGGCGGCUACUGGCGACGCGGCGGCGGUGGGGGAGGAGCUGCGGGCGGGCGGCCGGGGAGGGACGGCGCGCGGGCUCACCCGCCGGCAGCCGCCCACGAGGCGGCAGCGAGGGGAGGAGCUGCAGACGGGCUGCGGGGAAGGGGUGGCGCGCGGCCGGUAGAGAAGCAGCGUGCGGGCGGCCGGGGAGGAGCGGCGCUGUCGGCGACUCCCACUCUCAGAUCCCCCUCGCUCUUUCUCUCUCUCACCAGGGUCCAGGGGCGCUGUCGGCGGCGCGGUGGCGCCACAGUGUCAGCAAGAAACAAACAUAUGCAAAUCCAAUCUGAUGGGAGGAGCAUAGCAACCGAUGGUGAAAAUCUUUGAUAUGUGUGUGUUGAUUUAGCGGAGAGAUCAGUGAGCAUGUGAUUCGCAUAUUGAUUGUUUGGUUCUUUCUAAGUAAGAGAAGAAGUGAAAUGCUCCUAUUUGCGGUGCAGCCGAGCAGCAAGCAGAACGGAGAAAGCCGCAACGGGUGUACCUUGGGGAGCGAGCAGAAGGAAGGAUUUGGCAGGGUCGAUGCCGGAGAGCCGACGCGCGGCGAGAGCUGACGCAGCGCAGACUGCAGAGAGAGCACGUGCGGCGGCGGCGGCGGCGGUGGCGGCGUCGAGGUCAACGGCCGCUUGCCGCAAGGUGUUCAGCGACGCCGAGCUGAUAGCCGUGCAGCAGCAGGCGCCGCUCGUGGGUGCAAUGCAACUGGUGGACGGCAUCAAGAUGCUGCUCAACGACUACUGGCCUGCGGCGGCGGCGGUCGCCGGGAACGGGAUGGCGGCAGCGCCCUCUUCGACGAGGCUCUCGGCCGACCACUACGUGCUGAGAAAAGUGAGAGAUGAGGAAGGGAGAGAAGAGAGGAAAAGAGAGGAUGCUGACGUGGCCACACUGACAUGUGGGGCCCACGUGGAUCCCACGCUAAGUCAGCUGCCACAUCGGAUAAAACCGGAGUCAAAACCACUAAGAGCAAGUGUUAUGGUAGAUGUGACUACCACAUCUAAAUUUAUCCGUACUUAGGUGUCAUUCGAACCUACUAGGAUGAACAUUUAGAAAAGAAAAUAUUAACGUGUGAUUAAUUGGGUUUUAACUAUUUUAGACUUGGAAAUGAAUUUAUUGAGAUUUUAAACCAACUUCUACAUAGAAAUUUUUCGUUUGAAAUACACCGUUUAGCGAUUCGAAGAGCAUGCUAAUAAAAUAAUCUGAGAUAAAAUCUUAUCCAGAGACUUUUUUCCGGUGAGAAUAGAAUGUUAACGUGUUGGGCCAGAAGAGGUGAGAAGGCCGUUUCCAUAGCUCGUUUUACUGGGCCGAGCAACCAGAGGCCCACCGUGCAUCACAUUGACGGUGCCCCCCAUACGGCACGCAGACAGAACAGCAGAAGCGUGCCGAGACGGCGAGGUAUCCCGUAUCAUCCCCCUCCCGACCCGGCCGCCGCGGCUCGCGCCAACGUUGCCGUACGUCGACUUGUGCUGCAUCUCAAGCAAACAAAGCGCUGAAACGAAACGGCAGGAUCGAUACCCCCCGAGGCGGCUUCGCCUUUCCUCCCUCCAACCACGUGCCACCCGCGCGCGUCGGCGAUCCCUACGUCCGCGCGCGCGCGCCGCGAUCGGACGGCUCCCACCCCUCGGCCGGCCGCCGCCCACGCCUCGCGUGUCGCGGCACCUGUCGGCCACCCCCGCUCCCCGCGGCGCACGCGACCUGAAGAAAAUUUUAACAAACGCCGUGUUUAGAUCCUAAAUAAUUAUUCAAACAUCCAACUUUUCCAUCUUAUCAAAACUUUUAUACAUACAUAAAUUUCUAACUUUUCCGUCACAUAAUUCCAAUUACAACCAAACUUUUAAUUUUAGUAUGAACUAAAUACAACAAAAAAAAAACUUCUCUCUCCAUUUCAUUUCAAGCGCACCUAUUUUUAUGUCGAUCGUUCGUAUUAUUUGAAAAAAUUUAAAAAAGUACUACAACUCAUAAAAAAUAUUUAUGUUUAUCAUCUAAUAACAAUAAAAUACUAAUUAUAAGAAAAUUAAAUAAAAUAGAUGAUGAAAGUUGGAUACCUAAAAUUAUGGCUACGUUUAACGUGGAACGGAGGAGUACUAUCAUGUCCCAAUCGCCUGCCGAGCCGAGAGGGAAAAAAAGGUGACCGAAGUGGCCGCGAGCACGGUACGUCGCUCGGUACGUUACGUACGUACGUACGCCUUGCCUAUCCGUUGCGAGCGGUAGACCAGGGUUGGUGGUGCUGCGUGCAGGUCACGGCCGCUACGGCUAUAAAAUUGGCCAUUUGGCCCAGGAGAGAGGGGGUCCUGGCACACACGGCCGAACUUUACCCAACGGCUCUCUUUGCAUUUAACCACCUGUUGCUUGCUAUUUAUACACUGCAGAUGCUCCAGAGAAAAUCCCGCUCUUACAGAGAGUCCUAACUGUGCUUUGCUUUGCUUGUUGUUUGACAUGAUACUAUAGCAUCCACUUUGUUCAUCUUUUUCGUUUAACUAAUUUCUUCUCUUUUUUUUGUCCUUUUUCUUUACAAUUAUAAGCUGCUUCGAUCUCGAUCUGUUUUGGUCGAUUGAGAUCAGCAAGCAAGCAACCAUCUUUUUAUUUUUAUUUUAUUUUUCUUUCAUACAUCUCCACCUAUUUUUUGCUGGUUGGAGUUCUUCUAUUUCUCUUUUAUCUUUUCAUAGUUUCGAUUUGCACUUCAGCUUUUCUGAUCUACUCACCAUCAUCAUCAGCUUGCGGCUGCUCAGGUCAGAUCAGCUUGUUUCAUUCGCAUCUAUAGCUUCUUUUUUUCCGCUCAAACUGUUCAGAUUUGCAAGCGAGAUCGGUGCCAAUGGAGAACGCCUUUAAAUCGUUGAGCUCUUCGGCAAAAUCGCCAUCGUUCAUGGCUUCCAACAAGCACUAUCACGGCGUCGUCAACCACCAGCCUCCGUUCCCACAACCGCCGGCGACGCCACCGCAGCCUCCGCUCCUGCCGCUGCCGGCGCGCCCCCAUGCCCCGCCGCCGCAGCAGCACGCCGCCUGGCCGGCGCCACAACGUUCCAAGAAACCAAGCCACGCCACCGCCACCGCCGCCGCCGCCGCCGCGGCGCUGGGCCCCAAGAAGACGGCGCCGGUGCCCAUCCCUGUACAGGCGGCGCCGUCGAAGAAGAGGGCGGCGGCGGCGAGCCAGCAAGAGGCGGCGGAAUGGACGACGACGACGGACUCGCUGUACUCGGUGUCGCCGCCGCCGAGCUGCGUUCCGAUGCCGACGUCCCUGCUGGUCGGUGCAGCGGCCGGGAGGAAGGCGGCGACCGCGUGCGCCGUGGAGGUGGCCGGCGGUGGCGGCGUGGACGUCGGAGCGACCGACGAGCUCCGGCGGCUACUCCGGCUCUAGCGGCCCCACACGUGCCCCUGCUUGCAGCAACAUGCCAUCGAUGUUUGUUGUUUGUUCUACGUUUUGGUGCAACUUGUAUACGUGCCCGAAAUAAAGAUGAGCACGAUGUUAUUGCUACAGGUUGUAUUGGGUAUUUGCCCUCUGAAUUCAAUAUAUACAAUGUGUUUGUGUUUGUGUCACCAGCUGGAUUGAAAAUGAGAAAGUUUUGUUCUUCUUUUGUUGAUCUACUCCGAAAUGCAAACCAAGGUCAGUUCAUAGCAGAAAAGGUUGCGAGGAGAUUAGAGUCUUUGUAUUGGUAGAUCUCAUCUCAGAAUAAUAAGCAAGGGGCAGGUUGUCACCGUUUCUUCACCUGAAGCAAUAGUAGAUGUGGAGAAUGGAGAAUUCUGUAAAUCAGAUCACUAUGAAUUCUGAUUUCAAUUAUCACGCAGACAUGCAGCGAGGUGUUUUGUCGACACGUUGCAUACCUUACGAAAAAGUGGCAAAUGAUCACUCAUCCCUUCUUAAAAACAGAAACAGCUUUAUUAAAUCUGGUGCAAGAAUUGGCAACAGCAAGGAAAAUGCAGUAAACCCUUCUUGUCAAUGGGGACAACUGUAUCACGAUUGAUCAGUCUUUACGCGCUACAACCAGAAACCAACCCCUAUCCACAUUCUCCAUUAUUUCUCCGACAAAAAAAAAAGGGGGAAAGAUCUCAUACAUAUACAAUGCAGUCUCCUCUCUGAAAUGAUAAUGUAGCCUAUUUAGUAUACAGUCUGAAGAUCCAAGUAGGAAGAAUCAGCAGUCGCAGAAUGCACGGAGGGUUUCGUCGAGGGCAUUCC